UGCAACAUCUGACCGGUUCAUUGGUAAAGGCGGUCCAAAAAGGUUAAAACCAUCUUCGCCUGGCAAAUCUUGAGUCUUAAAUGGUUUCAAUGCGUUUGUUUUUAAUAAAUCACCCAUUUUCCUCACGGCACUAACACAACGAGAAAGGUCUGCCUUGUUUGCAAAGUAGUUGAAUUUGACAUUUGGGCCGACUUUGACAUCAUAGGAUGAUUGCAGUUUAAGAGAACCAUAGGACAAGGGUGCUGGAUUUUUGGUAACAAUGUGCCCGAAAGUUGAAUUUAUCGUCAUGGGAAUAGUUGGAUUAGGGAAAAGACUAAAGGCCAUAGUAGAAAAUGGCAACCCGGAGACGGUCUCUAUAUAGUAAUCACUUGUGAUACCAGCAAUCUGUGCAGUAGAAGGUUCUAGUUCAGAUGGGGGCAAAAUGGUAACGUAAUUACGAGGAUUGUCACGCAUAAACUGCCCAACGUAAGGUUGUGGGUGAACAACUGGGAUUUUAAGAGAUGAAAGGUAGGACUUCGGGCCAACACCACUAAGUAGCAGAAGUUGAGGACUCCCAAUUGCCCCUGCACUCAAUAUAACCUCACCUUUACCACGUAUCAAUGCCUGAUGAGACCUCCCAUAGGAAUCAGUGUAUAUGAUUCCUUUAGCUGACAAACCUGCAUUCAACCGAUACUAGAAUUGAACAUAUAUUUAACUUACAAGUUAUUAAAUAUAUAGAAUAGAUUCAAAUUCUUCAAAUAUAUCAAGGAGUUUUUUUUUUUUCAACGCCCUGAUAGAUUUGAUUUUUGUUUUUCGAUCGAAACAUAUUAAUGUACUUACACAUAUGUACAUUCACAGUAAUAUGUAAGCAACAAACAAGAUCAAAAUCAAAGUCCAAUCAAAAUCCAAUCUAAGAUGGAUUUAAUGAAAAAAAAAAGAAAAGGAAAACCUUAACUCGUGUCAUCGAAGGAUGGAAAUCUAAAUGGCCUUUAAUUGUAUAUAUCAAAUGUUAGCAUACCUGAUGCCUUGGAAGAGAAAAUGAUCCUCUCUACUGCGGCAUGAAUUGCAACUCUCAGGUUUUUUGGAUGUCCUUUAUUUAGCAGUUCCACGGCACCAUGUCUUCUUCCACGAUCGUCAAAGAUCGUACCCGUGAUUUUAGUUCCCUGAAUGUGAUCCAAAGUAAGUCCAUUGUCUGGACGAACACCAGCUUCUAACAAUGCAUCUUUCACAACAGAUUGCCAGUGUGAUAAAUUCGGACGGAACACUAGAGUGUUUUCAACCCAUUCAUAUGAAUUAUUGACUAAGUUCAUGUCCAAUUUAAUUCCUGAUUUCUUGAGGAAUUCACUGUCGGCCCUUGAGUAAAGACCAAUAUUGAUCAUACUUGACCCGCCUAGGACCCGUCCUCUUACAAAAGCUACACCAUCUUCUGAUGUGAACCUCUGGGCUGGCGUCUUACCGUCAUCUUCUUGCAUGAAAUUUGCAAGAAUCCCAGCGUUACUCAACACGUUUGGAUAUGCUGUGGGAAUAUCUCCCCUUUCUAGGAGGAGCACGGAGUAGUUCGCGGAUAAAGUUGCUGCCAAUGGGCACCCUGCCGUGCCCCCUCCAACCACAAUGUAGUCAUAUUUUUCUUGCAAUGGUAGAUCAGUUGCGUUACGUACAAAUUUCAAGUAGCUAAAAUCUGCAGUAUAUGAAUAUAGAGAUGAGGAAACAAGAUUAUAUAACGAGAACUGUUUAUUAUUAAAUUUAUUGUUAUGUAAGUUACUCGAAGAACCAAUGAAACUUUUAAAAUAUAUUUGGUACCUUGAAUGUUAGAAGGAGUGGCGAAUGAGUGAACCCCUAAUUGAGGGCAGAAGACAAAAAAGUACAAAAGCAAUAAUCUAGUAGCAAUUGCUGAUUUCUCCAUAUUAUUUUCGAAACAAGAUCUACGUUUUUCUCCUGAAAAUAAAAUAUUAAAUGAAAAGUUAGUUUCUUGUUCUUCAAGUAAAGACUUUUGGAGUAAAAUUGCUCUUGAGCCAUACUGUAAAACACACGAGGUCCCACAAGUAUUUUUUUUUAGCUCCAUACACAGAGUUGAAAGAGCCCAACUCUAAACUUAAGAGUUUAGCAACCAAAUCCUCUCCCAACCCAAGUCCAUUUGGUGCUAAAAAUUCAAUUUCUACAUUCCCAAGUUUUAGACUAUUGUUCAAGUUGAGAAAUUUUUCAGAUGAGAACACAAGGUACACCAUAUGUUUUAAUAGAAGUGGUGAAUAUUUUUUUUUUAAGUUAUUAACUUUUUAGCACACAUAUCUUACUAUUUGUAUAAUAACACGUGGUUUACCACUCCGUAUAUCAAUCUUACUGAAAAAUCUUUCGUUCAACUUGCUAUUUCUAAUGGUUCCCACCAUUAAGAAGCACUUGAAUGGUGUGACUGGGCUUGACGUGGACGCGCUGGGAGGCACGCGCAAACGUAUGGUGAGUUGAGCCCACACGCUGUCGCACUGCAUGCAGAAAACUUGAAAAAAGUUUUGCGCUCAAGCUGGUUCAAAGCAGGACCUAGUCUCUUGUGUUGGUCAUGUUAUUGCAGCAUAUAUAAUAUAUUCCUUGUUUUUUCAUGCAAACAUUUCCUAUUUUCAACAUUGAAGUCAAUAUUGUCACAAUUGUGCAAUUUUGAAUUCUUGUCACAAUUCAAAUUUUUUAAGUUAAAAUGAUCGUAAAAAUAACUUAAGAUAACAAAAUAUCUUUGAACAAAAAAAGUUAACAAAAGAAAUUUGAGACUAAACUACUUGUUUGACAUUUAAAAUAGCUAAGGUGCUAAAUUUUAGCAUUGCAGAGUUGGGGGAGAAAAACAGUUUGACAACAUAAAAUUUGUCUUUUGUUUGCCAAAUUUUGCAUUUGGCAACUCCCCACUAGAGUUGGUCUAAAGAAAUCUUAUUUUCCUUCAAUCAUUUUUGCAUUUUAACUAAUAUUCUAUCAUAAUUUAAAAUAAAAACAUUCUUUUUUCUCAAUACCAUUACAAAUUUCUAAUAAAGAUUUUUUUUUACAAACAAUAGGAUAAUAUUUUAAUACUUUAGAUAUAAACUAAUAUAAUCUUGUGUUUAAAUGAGUGCAAGAGAGAAUACUCUUAACCAACUGAGUUACAAGUCACUUGCUAUUAAGAUUUUUAAUUUAAGCCUAAGGUGAAAAAUAAAAUGAGAAAGAGGAUGAGGUGUGAGUGCAAUUAUAAAUGAAGCAGGAUAUUUUCACAAAAAUAAAAGGGGUGUGCUGUCCACACACCCUCUUAAUUUUCAGUUGUCGGAUUAAAUGAAUUGAAGAAGAUCAAAGGACAAAAAUUAAUAAGGAGUAUGUGGAUUUCACACCCCAAAUAAAAAUAGAACUAGAAAAUAGAAUUUUGUUGGAAUAUUCUAUUUUGAAGUGUGAAAUAUGGAGUAUGAUUGGACAAGUAAACUUUUAGAGUUGGAAUAAUAUGAAGUGAUAUUAUUUAUAAAAUUACAUUUAUAAUUCAUGACUGGUUGUUAUAUUUUGUAUUCGUGGUUGCACUAUAUCAUUAUUGAUAAUGUCAUCACUUAUAUCGACGUAUACAACCAAAUUAUAACAAUUAUAACCACAUAUUAACUUUCACUGUGUAUGUAGACUAUUUUCUCUUAAGCAAUCACAACCAUUAAUUUGGCUGCCAUAAGCAAAUACAACGAAGAGAUUAUAUUAUCGAGCCUCUUGGGCAACCAGUGCAAAAGGAAGUCGAAGCGUAAGGCAUGCCUUACGCUCGUUGGAAUGAACCAAAUAUAAUCAGACCGAAAUAGAAUGAUUAAGGACUGGUUUGACAUUCCUGAAUUUUUUUUUAAAAGUCGUUUUUUUUUUAAGUUUGAGCUAAAAUUGUGUUUGGUAAAUUAAAAAACAUGGAUCCAAAACAACAGAAAACUCUUGCUUAUGAAGACAAUACUAUUUUUUUUUUUCACAACACAAAGACCCCAAACUAGCCCUAAAGUAGCCAAUUCAUUUGCCACAAUAUUGGCCUCCCUCCACACAUGAGCAAAUACAACUUUUGUGAGAGUCUAUUCAUCAAUCCUCUCAAUUGAUUGAACUUACUAUGAAAGACUAUUGAUAAAUAGAGUGUUGAGAAAUAAUGGAAAUCAAAUAAGAAAUUUAAACGCAUGAAGACUAUUGCAUAAAACUUACACUGAAGCUAGUUGUUGGAAGUUCUUAUUACGGUAUUGGGAUCUGUAGCAAAAAUUAUAUUGGAAUUAUAUAGAGUUUUUGGGGUCAUGUGAACCCAUUGACCCCUCCGGCUUCACGCUAGUGGUGGAUUUAGAAUUUCAAUAUCCUGAAGGAUUUAGAAUUUCAAUAUCGGGGAUCCUAAUGUAAAAAUUUCAAAUAAAACUUAGAUGCAAAUAACUUUAAAAAAAAAAUUAACAAUAAAUACUUUUCAUUCCUAAAUCAUGAUAGUAGAAAUACUAAAUUUGUCUAUGAAAAGGUUUCAUACUUCGAAAAUGUUUCAUUAUAUUUCAUUAUCGAUACAAGAAUAAAAAAAUCUUACUACACAAUUAAACUAUCACUUAACCAUUAAUUUUUUAUUUUGUUGAGGAGUGAAUGCUUAAUGAUAUUUAUGGUGAAAAAUGCACUAUUCACUAACGCAUCUGCAACUGUAAAACCGAAGUCAAUUAUUCAGAAUAAAAAAUAAUAAAUUAAAUGCACUAAUGAAGACAUAAAAAUGUAUAUAUGAAUUAACCAGCAUAUGAUCAAAUUAAUAAAAAAAUAACAAACUAUAUCACAAUAAUUAUAUAAAUAUUUUCAUCUAAUACACAUAAGACAAAAAUUAUAAAAUCUCAUGUGAUGGUGGAGAGAGCUGGAUUGAUGGUGGUGGGUUUCCGUUGGGAUUAGGGUUGGAUGGGUGGAUUUGGGGUUUGUGUUAAUUAAUGAGGGAAUUGCACGAAGAAUAGUAGGGCCUCGGGUUUGUAGACGAAAGAGAGUUUUAAUUUUUUUUUUUUAGAAUGUGUGCUGGUUUGUAGACGAAAGAGAGUUUUUUUUUGCUGCGCUGCAAUCUAUAGAGUUCUAAAACCAGCACAUAUUAAGAGAGCUUUCAUAAGGUUUCGGUACCACCCGGAUCCAUUAAUAAAUUCGCCCUUACUUCACUCAUGAAUCAACGUGACUCAAAUACCAUGUUAAGCAUAAAAUAUCAAAUACCAUGUUAAGCAUAAAAGAAAGCAGAGAAGGAAGAGAAAAGCAGAAGAAACACAGUAUAUUUCAUAGACUGAAGAGAAUGAAUAACAAACUUAGCCUUCCCUUUCUCAAUUUAUUCACGGCUCUUCAUUUCUUACACUUGACAACAUUAACAUGUUUAGUAUCGGAUUAGAUUGUUAGUGAAAAAAAGAGACAAGAUUUACCCGAGACGACAAUAUCGCAUUUGGUUUUGAAGCUAUUUCCAAGCACUCCUUACCCGCAAGGCAAUGGCAUAGAUUUGCUGUAUCUUAUUCCUUCUUAUAUAACUGCUCGCCAGGCCGCUGAAGGUUCUAAGCAUCUGUUGUUGGAUACUUAUCAACAGUCAAUGACAAUUUACAUAUAUAUAUAUAAAUUUGAAUAUAUAAUAUAUAAUAAAUGCAACUCAAUAAUAUGAACAAAACGAAAUUAACUUCAAAUAGAUAAAAUAAUGAUUGAGGCUUAUGUACCGCAAUAUUCUUAAGACAUAAUUUUGUCCUUACUCUAUACUUGUAAUUCAAUGGGCAUCCGCUUCACCAAAAUUCAACGAUCUAAGUCAAGAUCCCAACAUCGGAAAACUUGACUUCUAGUAGAAUGAGAAUUCUUGUAAAAAAACUCCCAACAUCUGUCACUUAUCUUUUAUUACACGAGUCUUUGUUCUUCACUUGUUUAUGUAAGACAUGGGAAGGAGGAGGACAUGGUCUAGGAUUUAUCCUGUUCAGCGUUUACUUGGGAAGGAGGAGGACCAGGUUUAGAAUUUGUCCUGUUCAGCCUUUACUUGGUCCCGGAAGUUGGUUGGCAUUUUAAUUUUAACUAGCCUUCGUGCACGCGCGCCCGAAGUUAGUUGACAUUUUAAUUUUAACUAGCCUUCAUGCACGCGCGUGCAAAAUGUAUUUUUUGAAUAACGGCAUGCUAUGCGCGACUUACACGUUUUAAAUCAUGUUAGAAGAAAAGUCAAAUAUUUGAAGUAAAUGAAUAAUUUUUUAUCAUGCUAAAAGAAACCCCUCAUAAACCAAUUAAAGCAGCUGAAUUCACAUAAUAAAAUUAGUCUCAAUAGAAUUUACAUUAAGAAUAGAGAAAAUAAUAUUUAAUAAAUAAUUGAUUGAAUCACAUUAUUGUUAUCCCAUUGUGAGGCAAAGCCCACCCCCUUAUCGUUUGUUAAAAAAGAAUCAUUUGACAACUAAUUUAAUCACAUUAUUAUCCGCGUGCGAAAUACUUUUUUAUAACUAGCAUUACAGGUCUCUUAAUAUGUUUUGAAUGUGUUUAAAAUAGAGAAAAUAAUAUUUAAUAAACAACUAAUUGAAUCACAUUAUGAAACUAAGCCCACCUCCUUCCCCAUUAGUAUAAAUAAUAUUGUUUGUUACAAAAAAAAAAUCAUUUGACAACUAAUUUAAUCACAUUAUUAUCCACGUUCGAAAUAUCUUUUUUAUAACUGGCAUUACACGUCUCUUAAGAUGUUUUGAACGUGUUUAAAAAUAAAUAAAUUGAAUCACAUUAUUACUAGCUAUUGUGAGGUACUAAUUUAAAAAAAAACCACAAAAUCAUUCAUUAUUAAAAAAAUAAUAUUAAAAUGACGAAAAUGCCCUUGUCUUAUUUGAUGCAUUAUUUUGAGAUGCCUUUGAAGUUUUUUGUUUUGGGAGCAUUUUUGUCCAAUUAUUUUUGGUAAAGCAUUAUGACAUCGAAACACUAUUCACCUUUUGUGUUCUUUUUAUAUAUAACUAGCAGAGAGCACACACUUUGUGUGUGUGAACAAUUUCUCUUAAUAAGUGCAUAUUUUUUUUCUAUACUAUUAUAUUAAGAGAAGCCUCAUUGUCAACUUUUCCCCUUUUUUUUCCUAUUUUGUCCUUCUUAUGUAUCAAAAGUGUUAUUAAGAGAAGCCUCCUUGUCAACUUUUUCCUCUUUUUUUCCUAUUUUGUCCUCCUUAUGUAAAUAUUGUGUAUCAAAAGUAAGGGUAAAAUUGGAAAAAUAAGUAUAUGAUUGUCAUUUUCUCAAAAAAAAAAAACAUAGUAAAAUAGGAAAAAUAUGUAUAUGAUUGUCAUUUUGUCAAAAUAUACAAAAAUACUAUUUAGUCAUUCUUUUUGUCAACAUUGUGUAUCAAAAGUGAGGGCAAAAAAUGAAAAAAAAAGGGCAAAAAGUUGACAAGCCCUCUUCUCUUAAUAGAAUAGAUAGAUAAUGGAGAAGUACAUGUGUUACAAUGACUUUGGCCUACAAAAUAAUUGCUAAGAGAAUCUCACCAAUUAAGUGUAAGAGAGAUAUUCGUUACGAAAGAGACUGGUAUGGAUUUGAACCCAUGACUUGUUUGUUUGUUUUUUUUUUUUUUACAAAUGAUACUAUUUAUACUGAAGGAGAGGGAGAUAGGUUAAGCCUAGAUCUCUUACUUAUAACUAAGGAAUAAUACCACUAGAUCGUAGUAUUAAAUGAUAAUGAUAUACAAUUUUUUUCUUAAUAGUCGGAUAAAACUUAUAGCCUUGCAAUGAAGUAUGGUUUUAUUUUUGUUGCCAAAAGUCAUCAUGUCUACCGUCAGCGCUUCCACCAGUGACCAACGCUCGUGACUGCGCAUAACGUCAUAGUGUUAUAUUAGAAUUUUGGGUGCGUUUGUUGCACCGGAUUGUCUCGGACUGAAUUAGCUGCAGAGACUAAGCUGGAAUGGCUUAGACUAGACUAAGCUAGACUAGCUUAGUGAAGCGUUUGUUGCAGUAUCGAACUAGGAAGCCGGAUUAUAAUAUUAUAUUAUUUAAUCUAUAUCUAUUGAUAUUUUAUUAUUAAUUUAAUCUUAUAUCAAUUAAUAUUUAUUAUUUCUUUAUCAUUUUCCAUUUUUCUAGAGUCAUCUUCUUCUCUAAUCUUUAUACAUCUCAAUUUUUUCUUUCUCAUUGUUUACUCCUCCAGUGUCGCCCUCCACUCUCCCCUUUUCCUCUUUUUUCUACUCCGCCCCCUCCCUUUCUCCCGUUUCACCUUUGUACCACUAUCCUCUCUCCCCUCUCUCCGUUUGUAUUUAUUUUGUUUCACCUAAUAUGAAACGCUUGAAGUGGGAGCCAGAGUUGCAGGUAAGCGGAGAGAUUUCAAAUUGCGAAGAUCGUUCUCGGAUCUUAAGUUCUUCAAGCGAAGAUCGAUCUCUCUGUUUUCUGGGUCUGAUUCAAUUUCAAUCGAAGAAAAUGGAGAACCCAUUUCUGCAUAUCGACCAAGUGUUCUUUUGUGGGUUCGUCAGGAAAUCAAGGUUGUGGGUUCGUCGGGAAAUCUGAGAUGUGGGCUCGUCGGGAAUUUGCAGAUUUUGUUUCUUUUUUAUCCAGAAAAAAGAAUUGCAGUUGACGAGUUUGGCGUUGGAGAUGAAAUCGUGCCCGAAGUCUUUGCCGUCAAAAUCAAGGUCAAAGAGGUGAAUCAAGCAGGACGAAGUGAGAUGCCAUCGAAAUCGAGGUCGAGGAGGUGAAUCAAGCAGAAUGAAGCGAAGUUCCUAGCUAAUCCCGUGGUUUUUUGGGGGACUUGUGAAGACCGGCUAGCGACGCCUCUAGUGAAAGCAAGUCCCAGUUAAUCUCAUUAACUAGUCCCAUAAGCCACCAAACACAAGACUACAAUCCAAUCCAAUCCAGUGAAGACUAAGAAGGGUAAACAAACGCUCCCUUAAGGUUUUUUUUUUAUGAAUUAGAAUUUUAAGUUUUGCCGAUGCUUUUGACCUUUUGUUAUUUAUUUAAUUUUGUUCUUAACCCACUCUAUAACUUCUGGGCCUGCAUUAUCUUAUCAAUAUCUUUGACAUUGCAGUCACUCAUAAGAUGUCUUUAAAAAAAAAGCAAAUAGCGAUUAAAUUAAUAUGUAUAGUUUGAAAAAAGGUACCCCUUGAAAAGUGGACUUUGUCUAUGUCAGGUACAUAAAUUAUUUCCGUCUAAUAGAAAAUGGCGUGGAAUGGAAUUCUGCAAAUCUGACUAAACUUUGUUUAUAUAUAUAUAUAUAUAUAGACACACACACACACAUAAUUAUUCCUCCAGUCUGCGCCUGGACAUUUGUGGUGCCUUGGGGGUUACGGCUUAACAACACAUACACUUCUUAUAUGAAAUUACUUUUUAAAUCGUCAUUCUAUAUAGCCGACUGAUUGACACGAUCUGACCUGCAGGUUUAGACCCUGACCAAUGAAUUUCAUUAAACAAUAAAGUUUGUGAAUGCAAAUUUCUUCUUUUUUGUUCUUGAAUAAAAUUACACCUAUAAAAUAAAUAACAUUUUAGGUCAAGACCAAGAGACUCACGUGCCCACGAUAAAUGGGGGCUUUGGCCAAAAAAUCUCCGAUGCUAAAAUUAGAAUUUAGAGAGAAAAAAUGUUUGGAGAAUUUUGAGAAUUUAGUAAGAGAAUUGUAAUUGAGUUUUGGAGAGAUGAUGGAGUUUUAAUAGGGGUGUGGCCGGCCCCUUUGGGAGAGAAAGGACCGGCCACUUGGUUCAUUUUGUGGGCUAGGUUCUUGAUUUGUGUUUAAUAAGGAAUAAUUGAAUAAUAAAUCAAUUAAUGAGCUAAUUAAUAGAAUAAUUUCCUAAUUGAUUAGCUAAUUAAUAUAAUAAAAGGGGAAUGAUUUGGAAGUUACCUUGUGGAGAUGAUUUGAUGAGGAUAGAUGAAAUAGGUUUUGAAUUAUUACCUAUUUUUGGCACUUUUGACUUGGUUGAGGGUUGAUUGACCGCUGCUGGCGCGUAAGCAUCCCGGUAUGCCUCGAGGGUAAUUUUGUCAUUUUAACCUAAAAAUCCAUGUAUUGCCUUGUGAUUAUUUGGCUCCACAAAGUUCACGAAGAUGAUCGAUGUUGCAUGAAUAGUAGAUUGCACAGUAGUUGUGAUAUACCUUAUGACAAGGUUUAUACAAGCUGAUCAGCUCGGAAAAUAUUAACCAAAUAGAACCGGACGUUGCAUUACAUCAGCAGUAGAUUGGUCAUGAUUUGGCUAAGCAUGGAUGCCAUUAUCUACAAUUAGGUGUCACUAACACUACUGUUCUUUAUUUUCUUAUUCAUUAGGUUUAGAGCACAACCUUGUAUAUUUAGAGUUUUUAAAUCCUGUGAAUAAUUUCAUCCCUUGUAUUUCGAUUACCAUUUACAAUUAGAAAACAACUGCAAUAUUAUUGCGCCAACUCGUAUCCAAACUGUUAAAUCUUGAUUAUCCGAAGUAGCAUAGUUUCAUUCAUUUGUAUUUGAACUCUCUUUUUUGUAGUCUUAGGGCCACCGACUCAGAUCCGAACUUUUUAAUUCCAAAUGUGCUGGAGUAACUUCAUUUCUUUGUAUUGGACUAUUAUUUGGGAUUUGUAAUCAACUGUCAUAUUAGGUCGUUAGUAUCAUUUCUUUAAUUUUUUUCAUUAAGGAAAAACAUUAAAAGCAAUUAUUCGCCCUGUUAAGGAAUACAGGGAAAAUCUUGCCUUAUAAUUUGGAUGAAAAAAAGGCUCGCCGAAUAUAUAUAUAGCUAAGAUGAGUACAUAAUGGAGACAUAUAUAUAUAUAUAUAUAUAUAUAUAUAUAUAUAUAUAUAUAUAUAUAUAUAUAGAUAAGAAGAGUACAUAAUGGAGACAAAGGUACCUUGGCCAAAAUCCAAAUCAUUUGAGUUCUAAAGAGGUAUGCAAAUGCAAGAGUACAUUUCUUGCAAAAAAUCAAUUCUUGUAUUGUGCUUUGAAAGAUGUGAUUUAUUUUAGUUUUGUAGAUUAAUAUAAAUAGAUUUAAAUAAUUUAAAUUAAACAUUAUUUUUAAUUUCCAAUAAAAAAAAUUAAUGGCUUUACCCGACGAACAGAUUCGUCAAGCAAACUGUUAUUGCAUUUUUAUUUUAGUUUUGUUAAACAGUUGCUUUCGUCUGGCUAAAGUAUUUAAUUUGCAAAUUUGCAAAAACUUGACGAAAUUAUGUCGUCGAGCAAGAUAUAUCCAUCAACCAAGGGUGGUCAACGCUCCUUUACCCGAAGACUUUGUUUCGUCCAUUGAAAUUUUAGGUGACGAAUCCUUAUUUAGCCCAAAAAAAGUAUUUCGUCUGGCAAGGAAUUUUUUGUAGUGUUAAUUGAAAACAAUUUAAAAAGAAGAAAAAAAAAAGAAAAAAAAACCAAUAAAACUAAGGGAAAUGUGGUCGCCUUGGUGAAAAAAUACAAAUAAAAACCCUACUUCUAUUCAAUAAGAGCUUUCUUCAAGGAAAUUGCCUUCACUUAGGUUUAUCCAUAUCGACAAAAAAUGAAUAACAUAUCAACCAAAUAUCAACAGCAUAUUAAUGAAAUAUCAACGUUUGGACAACAUAUGGAUACAUAUUGAAUUUUAGGAAGAGGGCUUUGCAAUAGGGUCAUCGAACCAAUUUCCCUAAAACUAAUGUGCCUACAGCUUCGAUUCAAUUGUUCUAUCCAUCCAGUACCACUUGAGUCUUGAGUUACAUCAUGACUUUAUUAGCUAAGUUUGUCUUAAGUAAAAACCAUAACACUAACCCUUGUUCAAUAAUCUUCAACUUAUUGCAUGACAAAUUAACCAUAAUCUUGAAUUAUGAUCAACGCCCCUUGCAAGCUGAUCUUUCUUCCAGCAUUCGAAGGCCAACAUGCCUGCCCAAAGAACAAAAUUUGGAGUGGGAAAACAACAAUAUCAUAUUAUUAGAAAGAAAAGAAAAAAAACCAAAUAAUUUAUAUUUCGGAUGAUUUAGUAGAUAUUAUUUAGUUAAAUAUAAUUAAAUAGUUGUAUAAUGUAUAGGUAAUUUCUCAUGGUUUUAUUUGAAUGCAUGUAACAUGCAUACCUGCCUAACAUCAUAAGAGUGGCUUGAGGAUUGGUCCCUGGUGAUAAACUUUUGAACACAGAUCCAUCAACAACACGUAAUGCCUUGAUCCCCCUGACCCGGAAAUCUCCAUCAACUACCUUUCCGACGAGGCAUCCACCAUGGUAGUGCCAAAUUGUGGCUACUGUAUCUCGACAGAAUGUUUCAAUGGAUGCAACAUCUGACUGGUUCAUUGGUAAAGGUGGUCCAAAAAGGUUAAAACCAUUUUCGCCUGGCAAAUCUCGAAUCUUAAAUGGUUUCAAUGAGGUUGUUUUUAAUAAAUCACCCAUUUUCCUCACGGCACUAACACAACGAGAAAGGUCUGCCUUCUUUGCAAAGUAGUUAAAUUUGACACUUGGGCCGACUUUGACAUCAUAGGAUGAUUGCAGUUUAAGAGAACCAUAGGACAAGGGUGCUGGAUUUUUGGUAACAAUGUGCCCGAAAGUUGAAUUUAUCGUCAUGGGAAUAGUUGGAUUAGGGAAAAGACUAAAGGCCAUGGUAGAAAAUGGUAAGCCGGAGAAAGUCUCUAUAUAGUAAUCACUUGUGAUACCAGCAAUCUGUGCAGUAGAAGGUUCUAGUUCAGAUGGCGGCAAAAUGGUAACGUAAUGACGAGGAUUGUCACGCAUAAACUGCCCAACGUAAGGUUGUGGGUGAACAACUGGGAUUUUAAGAGAUGAAAGGUAGGACUUCGGGCCAACACCGCUAAGUAGCAGAAGUUGAGGACUCCCAAUUGCUCCUGCACUCAAUAUAACCUCACCCUUACCACGUAUCAAUGCCUGAUGAGACCUCCCGUUAGAAUCAGUGUAUAUGAUUCCUUUAGCUGACAAACCUGCAUUAAAUCGAUAUUAGAAUUGAACAUAUAUUUAAUUUACAAGUUAUUAAAUACAUAGAAUAUAUUCAAAUUCUUCAAAUAUAUCUAGGCGUUUUUUUUUUUUUUCUAACGCCCUGAUAGAUUUGAUUUUUGUUUUUCGAUCGAAACAUAUUAAUGUACCUGCACGUAUGUAUAUUCACAGUUAUAUGUACGCAACAUACAAGAUCAAAAUCAAAGUCCAAUCGAAACCCAAUCUAAAAUGGGUUUAAUGAAAAACAUAAGAAAACCUAUCGAAGGAUGAAAAUCUAAAUGGCCUUUAAUUGUAUAUAUCAAAUGUUAGCAUACCUGAUGCUUUGGAAGAGAAAAUGAUCCUCUCUACUGCGGCAUGAAUUGCAACUCUUAGGUUUUUUGGAUGUCCUUUAUUUAGCAGUUCCACAGCUCCAUGUCUUCUUCCACGAUCGUCAAAGAUCGUACCCGUGAUUUUAGUUCCCUGAAUGUGGUCCAAAGUAAGUCCAUUGUCUGGACGAACACCAGCUUCUAACAGUGCAUCUUUCACAACAGAUUGCCAGUGUGAUAAAUUCGGACGGAAUACUAGAGUGUUUUCAACCCAUUCAUAUGAAUUAUUGACUAAGUUCAUGUCCAAUUUAAUUCCUGAUUUCUUGAGGAAUUCACUGUCGGCUCUUGAGUAAAGACCAACAUUGAUCAUACUUGACCCGCCCAGGACCCGUCCUCUUACAAAAGCUACACCAUCUUCUGAUGUGAACCUCUGGGCCGGCGUCUUACCGUCAUCUUCUUGCAUGAAAUUUGCAAGAAUCCCAGCGUUACUCAACACGUUUGGAUAUGCUGUGGGAAUAUCUCCCCUUUCUAGAAGGAGCACGGAGUAGUUCGCGGAUAAAGUUGCUGCCAAUGGGCACCCUGCCGUGCCCCCUCCAACCACAAUGUAGUCAUAUUUUUCUUGCAAUGGUAGAUCAGUUGCGUUACGUACAAAUUUCAAGUAGCUAAAAUCUGCAGUAUAUGAAUAAAGAGAUGAGGAAACAAGAUUAUAUAACGAGAACUGUCCGUUAUUAAAUUUAUUUGUCAUGGAAGUUACUUGAAGAACCAAUGAGACUUUUAAAAUAUAUUUAGUACCUUGGACGUCUGAAGGAGUGGCGAAUGAGUGAACCCCUAAUUGAGGGCAGAAAACAAAAAAGUACAAAAGAAACAAUAUAGCAGCAAUUGCUGAAUUCUCCAUAUUAUUUUCGAAACAAGAUAUACGUUUUUCUCCUGAAAAUAAAAUAUUAAAAGAAUAAUUAGUUUCUUGUUCUUCAAAUAAAGACUUUUGGAGUAAAUUGCUCUCGAGCCAUACUCUAAAACACACAAGUUCCCACAAGUUUUUAUUUGAGCUCCAUAUAUGGAGUUGAAAGAGCCCGACUCUAAACUUAGAGUUUAGCAACCAAAUCCUCUCCCAACCCAUGUCCAUUUGGUGCUAAAAAUUCAAUUUCUACAUUCCCAAGUUUUAGGACUACUUUUCAAGUUGCUAUUUCUAAUGGUUCCCACCAUCAAAAGCACUUGAAUGGUGUGACUGGGCUUGAUGUGGACGCGCUGGGAGGCACGCAAACGCUGUCUCACUUAGCAUGCAGAAAACUUGAAAAAAGUUUGCGCCCAAGCUGGUUCAAGGCAAGGACCAAGUCUCUUGUGUUGGUCAUGUUAUUGCGGCAUAUAUAUGAUAUAUUCCUUGGUUUUUUUUUUCAGACAUUUCCUAUUUUCAACAUUGAAGUCAAUAUUGUCACAAAUUGUGCGAUUUUGACUUCUUGUCAGAAUUAAAAUUUUUAAAGUUAAAAUGUUCAUAAAAAUAACUUAAGAUAACAAAAUUUAUUUGAAAAAAAAAAGUUAACAAAAGAAAUUUGAGACUAAACUACUUGUUUGACAUUUAAAAUAGCUAAAGUGUUAAAUUUUAGCAUUGCAAGGUUGGAGGAGAAAAAUAAUUUGACAACCUAAAAUUUGUCUUUUGUUUGCCAAAUUUUGCAUUUGGCAACUCCCCACCGGAGUUGGUCUAAAGAAAUCUUAUUUUCCUUCAAUCAUUUUUUCUUUUUAACAAAUAUUCUAUCAUAAUUUAAAAUAAAACGUUCCUUUUCUCAAAAAAAUUAUACCAUUACAAAUUUCUAAUAAAGAUUUUUUUUACAAACAAAAGGAUAAUAUUUUAAUCCUUCAUAUAUAAACUAAUAUAAUUUUGUAGUUAAUAUAAGUGCAAGAGAGAAUACUCUUAACCAAUUGAGUCACAAUUUGUAACAAAUUUCCUAUAAUCUAGCCUUUUGAUUACACUCUUAUCCGUUAGAGAUAAUUGUCAAAAGAAAAAUGGUUAGAUUCAAAAUUAUUUUCACAAUAAUGCUACAAUUUAGCAAUAAUUAUUUACGAUUUAAGAUAUUUUCUUUCCAAAAUAGUUUAAAAUAUUUUUAAAUCCCCAAAAUCAAACGUAUCAAAAUAAGUUCUUCUUUUAGUAUGUUUAGAGAAAAUAGGAUUGAGAAUAAUAUAAACGUACCAAUACACAAUGUGUACAAAAUAAAACGUACCAAAAUAAAAAUAAUGUACCAAUAUUAACAAUACCUAAAUCCAAAUCAAAAGUACCAAAAUUUCAAAUAAACGUACCAAUUAAUGAUUUUUGUAAAUUCAAACGUACCCGCAGAUAAUAUAUACGUAAUGUCUUGUACCUAAUAAUAAUUCGUCAACAACUGUACUUAAAUAAAAAACAGCAAAAAAAAAAACAACAACAAAUUAUAUAUAUAUGUAUAUAAUUUCACAAAAAAAAUUGAAAAAAUUACACGGAGCUUUUAUAUUGAUCACCAACUAUUUGAAAAAGAAAAAAAACCAUUUGGAAAAAGAAAUAAUAUUAAAUGUUUGCAUAAAAAAUGUGAUCGAAAAAACAUAUUUGGAAGAAGAGAAAAUAUAAUUUAAUUAAUAAUAUCUCCACUAAAUAAGGAAAAGUGCAUCAUGCAGAUAAAAGGAUAAAUUCAAAAAUUAUUUUAAUUUAAAAAAAAAUAGAGGUGACUAUUGGUCAAAGUACUUUAAUCAAAUUUUAAAAAGACACAGAUGUUGAAUCUAAAUAAUAUAGAAAAACUGUAGGGGAUUCUAAUUUUCCCUAAAUAAAAAGGAAGAAGAAUAUUUUCACAAAAUAAAAGGGGUGUGCUAUCCACACAUUUCUUUUUACUUCUUACAUACUCUCUUAAUUUUCGGCUGUCGAAUCGAAUGAAUUGAAGAAUAUCAAAAGCAGAAAUUAAUAAGGAGUAUGUGAAAACUAAAAAGAUGUGUGUGAAUUUCACACCCAAAUAAAAAUAGAACUAGGAAAUAGAAUUUUGUUGGAAUAUUCGAUUAUGAAGUGUGACAUAUAGAGUAUGAUUGGACAAGUAAACUUUUAGAGUUGGAAUAGUAUGAAGUUAUAUUAUUUUAAAAUUACAUUUAUAAUUCAGAACUGGUGGUUAUAUUUUGGAUUCGUCGUUCUACAAUAUCAUUAUUGAUAGUGUCAUUACUUAUUAUCUCGACGUAUACAACCAAAUUAUAACAGUUAUAACCACAUAUUUACUUUCACUAUGUAAUUAGACUAUUUUCACUUAAGCGAUCACAACCAUUAAUUUAGCUGCCAUAAGCGAAUACAACUUCCUUUUUUUUGGAGAAACGAAGAGAUUAUAUUAUCGAGCCUCUUGGGCAACCAGUACAAAAGGAAGUCGAAGUGCAAAGCAUACCUUAUGCUCGUUGGAACAAGAUUGACCCAAAUAUAAUCAGACCGAAUAGAAUGAUUAAGGGUUGGUUUCACAUUCCUGAAUGUUUUUUUCAAAGUCAUUUUAAAAAAAUAUUGGAGCUAAAAUUGUGUUUGAUAAAUUAAAAAAAAAGUGUUUAUUUAUUUAUUGUUUUUUUUCAAAACAUGAGUCUAAAACAGUAGAAAACCCUUGCUUAUGAAAACAAUAAUUUUUUUUUUAACAGCACAAAAACGUCAGACUAGCCCUAAAAUAGUCAAUGCAUUUGCCACAAUAUUGGCCUCCCUCCGCACAUGAGCAAGUACAACUUUUGUGAAAGUCUUUUGAGAAAUACUGGAAAUCAAAUAAGAAAUUCAAACGCAUGAAGACUAUUGCAUAAAACUUACACUGAAGCUAAUUGUUGGAAGUUCUUACUAGGGUAUUCGGAUCUGUAGCAAAAAGUAUAUUGGAACGAUAUAUAGAGUUUUUGGGGUCAUGUGAACCCAUUCCCCCUUCCCCCUUCCCCCUUCCCCUCGCUACUGCAUGUGAACUUGACAUUAGUGGUGGAUUUAGAAUUUCAAUAGUGUGAGCUUUCUAAUGUACAAAUUUUAAAACAAUUUAGAUUCAAAUACCAUUUAAUUUUUUACAAUAAAUGCUUUUCAUUCCUAAAUCAUGAUAGUACAAAUACUAAAUUUGUUUACAACAAAGUUUCAUACUACAAAAACGUUUCAUUAUCAAUACAAAAAAAAAAAGAAAUUUACUAAACAACUAAAGCAUCACUUAAUUAUUAGUCUCUCAUUUGUUGAGAAGUGAAUGCUUAAUGAUAUUCAUGGCGAAAAAUGCACUAUUCACUAACGCAUCUGUAACUGAUAAAACUGAAACCAGUUCAAAUUGGAAUUAUUCAGAAUAAAAAAUAAUAAAUCAUAUGCAUUAAUGAAGACAUAAAAAUGUAUAUAUGAAUUAACUAGCAUAUGAUCAAAUUAGUAAAAAAAUAACAAACCAUAUCACAAUAAUUAUAUCAAUAUUUUCAUCUAAUUUCUAUAAAAAAAAAAUAUUUUCAUCUAGUACACAUAAGACAAAAAUAUAAAAUCUCAUGUGACGGUGGAGAGAGGUGGAUUAAUGGUGGUGGGUUUCCAUUGGGAUUCGGGUUGGAUGGGUGGAUUUGGGUUUGUGUUAAUUAAAUGAAGGAAUUGCAUGAAAAAGACUUGGGCCUCGGAUUUGUAGAUGAAAAAGACUUUUAAUUUUUUUUUUAAGAGUGGCUUGCCCAAAUCGAUACUGUUUUGACCAGUUCAUUAAAAUCAAAAUUAAGAUUAGUAAUGCUACAAUUAUUAUUUAUUUGUAUUAUAUUUCUAGUAGAGGUAGGGCGGCCCGUCAACGCAUGUAUAUCUUAUUUCUAUUAAAAAAAUGAUACAAAUAUAUGAUAAGAGUAUCAUUUUUGAAUUAAGACUUCUUCAUCUUCUUCCUUAACCCUCUGCUGGUUGAUGCGCUACAAUCUAUAGAGUUCUAAAACCAACACAUAUUCAGUCCAUUGGGUGGAUCUCAAAGGUCUUCACAAGUGCUUCUUAGAACUUUCAGAAGGUCCCGAGACCACCCGGAUUUGUUAAUAAAUUCGUCCUGGCUUCACACAUGAGUCAACCUGACUCAAAUACCAUGUUAAGCAUAAAAACUCAAAUACCACGUUAAGCAUAAAAGAAAGCAGUUAAUGAAGAGGAAAACAGAAGAAACACUGUAUAUUUCAUAGACUGAAGGGAAUGAAUAACAAACUUAGCCUUCCCUUUCUCUACUUUCACGGCCCUUCAUUUCUUACACUUGACAACAAUAACAUAUUUAUUGACAAGAUCGGAUUAGACUGUUAGUGAAAAAAAGAGACGAGAUUUACCCGAGACAAUAUCCCGUUUGGUUUUGAAGUUAUUUCCAAGAACUCCUUACCGGCAAGGCAAUGGCAUAGAUUUGCUGUAUCUGAUUCCUCCUUAUAUAACUGCUCCCUAGGCCGCUGAAGAUUCAAAGCAUCUGUUGUUGAAUAAUCAGCAACAAUUUAUGACAAUUUAUAUAUACAAAUAAAUUCGAAUGUACUAAUAAUAAAUGCAACAUAAUAAUUUGGCUGAGUAUGAAAAAAACUAAAUUAACUUUAAACAGAUACAAUAAUGAUGGAGACUUGAGUACCGCAGUGUUCUUAAAACAUAAUUUUGUCAUUGCUCUAUGUGUAUAGUUCGGUGGAAGUUCGUUUAAUCAGGAUUUAACAAUUUAAGUCGACAUGAGAAGUUGGUUGGCAUUUUAAAUUUGAUAAUAGAGAAGUACGUGUUACAAUGAGUUUGGCGUACAAAAUAAUUGCCAAAUAAGAGACUCACCAUUUAAGGGUAGGAGAGAAAUCCUUUACGGAAGAGACUGAUGGAUUAGAUUGCGAAAUAGAUUGAAAAUCAAGUCAAAAAUGCACAAAAGCCGGCAGAAGAAAUCAAGCUUUGUAGAUUCGGACUUUGGUAACCGAUUUGAACAAUGACCUUUUUUUUUUAAAUUUUUUUACAAACAAUAUUAUAUACAUUAAGAGGAGAGAGAUAUGUUAAGUCAAUGAGUUAGCAAUAGUGUGGUUCAAAUUCGUCUUUAACGAGAAUCGAAUCUAAAAUCUCUCACUUACAAGCAAAAGCAAAGAGAAAUAACACUAAAUCGUAGUACUAAAUGACAAUGAUAUGAUUUUUUUUUUAAUAGACAGUUAAAACUUAUAGCCUUGCAAUAAAGUAUUGGUUAUUUAUUUAUUUAUUUAUUUUUGUGUUGUUGCCAAAACUCGUCGUGUUUGUUCAGCUCUUCUACCACCAAUGGUUGCGUGACUGCGCGUAAUAUCAUAGUAUUAUAUUAGAAUUUUGAGUUUUAAAGAUGUUUAUGACUUUUGUUAUUUAUUUAAUUUUGUUCUUACUUGGAUUUUUAAGAACUUCUGGGCCUACAUUAUCUUAUCAAUAUCAUUGAGAUUGCGAUCACUCAUAAGAUGUUUUAAAAAAAGAAAAUAGCGAUUUAAUUUAUAUGUAUAGUUUGAAGAAUGUUACAGCCUUGCAGGUACCCCUUGAAAAGUCGACUAUGUCUAUGUCAGGUACAUAAAUUAUUUCCAUCUAGCCGAAAAAUGGCGUGGCAUGGAAUUCUGCAAAUCUGACUAAACUUUCUUUACACACACACACACACACAAUUUUUCCUCCAGUCUGCGCCUGGACAUUUGUGGUGCCUUGGGGGGUUGCGGCUUAACAGCACGUACAUUUCUUAUAUGAAAUUAGUUUUUUAAUCGUCAUUCCAUAUAGUCGACUGAUUGAGCCACACAAUCUGACCAGCAGGUUUAGACCCUGACCAAUGUAUAUUUCAUCAAACAAUAAAGUCCACGAAGAUGAUCGAUGUUGCUUGAAUAUUAGAUUUCUCAGCGGUUGUGAUAUGCCAUAUGACAAGGUUUAUACAAGCUGAUCAGCUCGGAAAAUAUUAACCAAGUGGAAGCUGAUGUUGCAUUGCAUCAGCAGUAGAUUGGUCAUGAUUUGGCAAAGCAUGGAUGCCAGUAUCUACAAUUAGGUGUCACUGACACUACCAUUCGUUAUUUUCUUAUUCAUCAAGUUUAGUGCACAAACUUGUAUACUUAGAGUUUGUAAAUCCUGUGAAUAAUUCCAUCCUUCGUAUUUCCACUGCUAUUUACAAUUAGAAAACAACUGCAAUAUUAUUGCGCCAACUAGUAGUCUUAGGGCCGCCGACUCGGAUCCAAACUUUUUAAUUCCAAAUGUGCUAGAGUAACUUCAUUCCUUUGUAUUGGACUAUUAUUUCGGAUUUGUAAUCAACUGUCAUAUUAUAUUAGGUCCUUAGUAUCAUUUCUUUAAUUUUUUUUUCAUUGAGGAAAAACAUUAAAAGCAAUUAUUCGCCCUGUUAAGGAAUACAGAGAAAAUCUGGCCUUAUAAUUUGGAUGAAAAAAAGGCUUGCCGAAUAUAUAUACAGCUAAGAAGAGUACAUAAUGGAGACAAAGCUAUUUUGGCCAAAAUCCAAAUUAUUUGAGUUCUAAAGAGGUAUGCAAAUGCAAGAGUACAUUUCUUGCACAAAAUCAAUUCUUGUAUUGUGCUUUGAAAGUGUGGGAUAAAUAUUAACAAUCAAUGACAAAUUUAUAUAUGCUAAUAAAUAACAAAUGCAAAUAAAUAAUUUAACAGAGUAUGAACAAAACGAAAUAAUAUUAAACAGACAAACUGAAUAUCGAGGCUUGAGUACUGUAAUGUCCUUGAAACAGAAAUUUCGUCCUUACUCUGUACUUGUAGUUCUAUGGACGUCUGUCUCACAGGAAUUCAACGAUCUAAAUCAAGAUUCCAGCAUCGGAAAAUUAGACUUCUGACAAAUUUCUUUGUGAUUCUCUUAGUAAGAAGUUUUGGGAUUGUAGAAGAAGAAUUUGAUUUUUUGUGUGUUCUAAAUGCCAUGCAGAUGAAUGUUAUAUAAUAGGUUUAUGCCUGUUCGCAAUAGGUAUGAGAAUGAGAUGCAUCUGUUAGGAGACAUCUUCUCAAAGGGGUGCUUUAUUCUCUAGCAUUCUUUCAUCACUUCAAACUCAUCUUUAUGUCUUCUUAAAGGGGUGCUUUGCUCUCUGGCGUUCUUUCACCACUUCAGACUUCAUCUGGAAAAUGAGUCUGUUGAUAUAAAAAUUAAUUAAUUAAUUAAAUAUGAAAUUAAUUAUUAAUUCAAUUAUAUAUUAAAUAUAUAUUAAUAAUCAAUUAAUUAACGCAUCCCAAAGCCCAAAUCCAAGGUUCAGUACAACUUUAUUCUCUAUGGUCCAUGACUCUAAUCAUUUUCUAAAAGGGACAAAGCCUUAUAAAGUGGGGGAACCUUUUGGUGGUGACCAAUGUGGGACAAUAAAAUAUCUUUCUAAAAAGAACAAAGCCUUAUAAAAUGAGGGAACAUUUUGGUGGUGACCAAUGUGAGACAAUGAAAUAUCUACUUAAAAUUUCCAACAGAAAGUGUAUAAUCAGAUUAGUAUUGACCCGGUUUCUCUUAAAGACAGUCUUGUAUCAUUUUAUUUAGCCUUUUCUUUACUGGUUUUACCAAGUUUGGCUUUUUUUAUUGAUACGAAAAAUAUUUUACAUUAAUUCAAUAUAGACUGUGAGGUGAAGAAUUUGAACUCGGUUGCAUAGGGAUAACAACAUUUGCUUUAGCCAACAUGGCUAUGCCUGCGUUUGCUACAUGUUUUUACCAAGAUUAACAUAAGAGAUUGAUCCUUCUAGUUUUGAGGUAGGCUUGAUUCAUAUGAAUAUUUGAUUAUUUUUCCGUUUUUUGUAUUGCAGGUUUCAUUCCUAAGAUGUCUCCAGUUUCAGGCGAAAUGAAUGUUUGCGAUGGUGAGUUUGAGUUUUGUCAUUAAAGGUUAAAAUUCGUGAGAAAUAUUUUUGUUUUUGGACAUUACAAAGGGUUAGAAAAUUAGGAAAGGAAGAACCAUUUGUCAUAUAUAUUUAUAGUGUAAUGCCGUGUUUAAAAUGGUAACUUAGAAUCCUAUAUUGACACUAAGACAAUCUCCAACUCCUGCGUUAAAACCUAAAACUUUUAACCCGUUGUCGAUGCACAAAACCGGAGAUCUUGAAACAACGUAAAUCCGACCGUGAAUCUGCAAGUAAUGUAAAUGACACAAGAUGUAUCGUGGUUCACCCCAAGGUUUGGGCUACGUCCACAUUGAUUAUGUAUUUAUUUGAGGUGUUAUGGAAGUGAGGGAGAGAGAUUCAGAGCCUCUGAGGGAGAGAGUGAGAUCUCUGAUGGCCUAUGAAUUGGCCUCUUCUAAUUGUGAGGGUGAUGGGUCAUUUUAUAGAAUAAGGACUCCUCACUUAUUAAAUAUUUGCCCAUUCCUUUAUCACAUAAUUACAUUUAAGUCCCCCGAGUAUUUGUACGAGAUCUAAAUAUGAGGCCCUAAAUAUGGUAUAAAUAGUAGUCCCCCAAGUCUUCAGUCAAGAGAGUUUUUUGGUUGGAGACUUGAAAUUUAGUCCAUGUGUGGGCCGAAGUAACUAGAUGUUGCCUUGAACUGAUGUUCGAUAUAAGGCAGUGCUCAAUCUGAAAUGAUGCUUAACUAGAAGUAGCACAUGCUGCGAGGCUGCUCGGCUUGUGACUUAUGUUGCCUUGGUUGGCUCGGCUUGUGGCGUUUAAGGUGAGGGAGUCUCUUUUAUAGAAUAAGGGUUCGCUCCUCAAUACAUAAGUGAUGAGAUAGAGUUGAUGCUCGCGGCGAGGCGGUUGCUCAAUAGGUGGCGUUGCUCUCUAAUGAACGUGAGGGAGUCCCUUUUAUAAAAUAAGGACUCGCUUCUCAAUACAUAAACGAUGGGCUAGAGUUGAUGCUCUCUAAUAAUGGUGAGGGAGUCCCUUUUAUAAAAUAAAGGCUCGUUCCUCAAUACAUAAAUAAUGGGCUAGAGUCCCCCAAGUAUUUUUCAUGAGGCCCAAUAUAUGGUACAUAGUGUAGUCCCCCAAGUCUUCGGUCAAUAGAGUCUGUUGGCUGGAGACUUUAAAUUGAAUCCAUGUACGGGCCAAAAUAGUGGUUGUUUAGAAGCGGUCUUUGUAGACCAUGCACUGAAGCUUUGUAGGUGAAGCUUUGAAGUUGGAGCUUUUGUAAAUGAAGCUUUUGAUGCUACAGCUCUGUAAAUGAAGCUUUUGAAGCUAGAGCUUUUGUAAAUGAAGCUUUUGAAGCUGAUUGACGUGAGUGAUGCUCAUGAAUGUUUAUGUUGAUUAACAUGAGUGAUGCUCAUGCUCAUGGAUGUUGUCAUGAGUGAUGCUCAUGAAUAUUGACAUGAGUGAUGCUUAUGAAUGUUUAUGUAUGAUUGAUAUGAGUGAUGCUUAUGAAUGUUUAUGUAUGAUUGACAUGAGUAGUGCUCAUGUAUAAUUUUGAAGUAUUGGGCGUACUUUUGAUCACCUGGUUGGUGGUAAUAGCGGCAGGCUGCCGAAUAAAUUUGGAGUACUGAGCGUACUUUGAUCACCUGGUUGGUGGUAAUAGCGGUAGGUUGCUGAAUAAUUGUGGAGUACUGGGCGUACUUUUAAUAGCCUGGUUGGAGCUAUUUUGGGCAUAUGGGUCUUCGCCCUCCACAUGACAUUGCAUCCUAUUAUUUUGGGCUUGCUUUUUUUUUUUAAUUUUUUUAUUACCCUCUGGUGGGGUUUAUACAGAUGUCUCCGAAAGAUAAGAAAAAUAAAUUACAUCAUUCAAAAACAAGAAAAGUAAAUCACAUCAUUCUGGUGGGGUGUUUAUUCCUUACUUUUGCUUUCUGCUUUUACUUUUCUCUUUCUGCUUUUGCUUUCUCUUUUUUGCUACAUGGUCUACGAGUCCUCCGUAAUUAUCUCUGGUCCUCCCUCACUUUUUUUCUUCUUCUUUUUAAUGCUUUUCCAAUCACUUCCCAUGUGAAAAUCCACUAUGGUACUUUGAAAAAGCAUCUAAAUUUGUUUGACAUUGUCCCACGCGGGGGCUUUGCUGGUAUUGCCCAAUACUAGGGUGUUGCUGGUAUUGCGCAUAACUGAAUCUAUAACAUGUACCUCUCGCUCCAUCGCUUCAAUUUUCACUAGAGGUGAAACAAAGAACUGGGAAAAUCUUCUCAAGGCACCCUUAAGAAACUCUGGCUUCACUUCAAAAUGGUAGAAGGUAUGAUCUGCUUCUGUGUAUGCAUUUGAUGAACCUCCAUGCUUGGACAAGUAACUAUCAUACUCAUUUUCAUCUGGACACCCUGUACUCCCUAUGAAGAGCAUGUGUUUUAGAAAAAUGCGCAAGCCCCUUUCCACGCUUUGUGUAUCCAGCCUCGUGAAGAUAUUGGGGUAUCUGUGUAGUUUUUCUAGAACCGGUUUCACCAACAAUAACAAGGACCUGAUGUUUUUCAAUAGCAGCGAGCAAUGAUUCACGGUAUGUGUAGAUGGGUAAUGUUUUUCUAUCUUCUCGAAGCUUCUCUAAGGCUGAUUUCGCCCUCGACUCAAGUAACUUUGAGGGUUCCCCAUCCUCAUCAAACUUAUCACCAUCCAUCACCGAUGCCUUGAUAAACUCAAUCUGGUCCUCAAAUACAAAUCUCUGCUUCCUAUCUCAACGUACAUUGCUGCUGCUGCUUUCUUAGUCUGAGAACCUCCUCCCUUCCUGCUUCCGGUUAUCGGCAGUCGGCGGCGGCUUCUGAGCUGACAUUGGUUCCGUGCUCGCGCUUGCACUCGCGUUGGAGCCUCCUGGCGACGACAUCAGUGACAUCUCACACGCUAGAGCUUCCUGGCGUUGUUGGGUUUUGAGCUGGAGCCAACGAUAGAGGCAGAUUUGUUGUCGGUCGGAUCGGUAUGAUCGAUGACGUGGCCUUGAGGAGAACACGAUAUGGCGGACCAGUUGCAUGGAUUGGAGUGGUGGAGGUUCCAGUGUGAGGAGAAUGAGGGUGGCGGUGAAGUAGAGGAGUGGAGCCAGGAGAAGAGAAGGGUGGUUUCGGGGUUUCCGGCUGAGGCAAAAGUGGGUGUGUAAAUAACAGAAGAGUGGGAGGAAGAGGCGCCUAAGGGGAAGGAUUGCCUUGAGCUGGGCCGCAACACUGUAAACAUUUUCCUCAUUUUCCAAACCUUUCUUCUCGGGUUGUAUCAUUUGGGUUUUGCAGAUUUUGCGGAUUCACGGUGGAGGUGAAAAAAUGAGAGAGAACCGACACAGCUUUUCGUGUCGUUUCCCACAGACGGCGCCAAAUGUUGAUGCACAAAACCAGAGAUCUUGGAACAACGUAAAUCUAACCGUGAAUCUACAAGUAAUGUAAAUAACACAAGAUGUAUCGUGGUUCAUCCCAAGGUUUGGGCUACGUCCAUACUGAUUAUGUAUUUAUUUGAGGUGUUAGGGAAGUGAGGGAGAGAGAUUCAGAGCCUUUGAGGGAGAGAGUGAGGUCUCUGAUGGCCUAGGAAUUGGCCUCUUCUAAUUGUGAGGGUGAUGGGUCCUUUUAUAGAAUAAGGACUCAUCAGUUAUUACAUAUUUGCCCAUUCCUUUAUCACAUAAUUACAUUUAAGUCCCCUGAGUAUUUGUACAAGAUCUAAGUACGAGGCCCUAAAUAUGGUAUAAAUACCCGUAAUAUUUAGGUUUUAACACAUAAACAACUUUUCUCGUUUAAUCCUUCUAGAUUAAAUUUUUAGCCCGAAAUUAUUAAAGAAUGAAUUUAGGAUACUUUUUUUUUUCUUAAACUAACAUUAAAAAAAAAUUAUGUAUACUAUCCUAAUUUAAUUUUUUGAACAUUUUAACGUCAAAACAUUUAGAUUCCGAUAAAUAUUAAAAAAUCAAUAAACCGACAUCAUGAAACACUAUGAAAGAAUAUGAAACACAUAAAAUAAUUUUUUAAAUUACUAUAACAAUUAGAUUUAAAUUUGGACCGUUUAGAUUUUUUUUACCAUUGGAUUUUGUUGAUGCACAAAAUUAGUGGAAACUUCGGUACAACAGAAAAUGUUAAGUUUAUGACAUUCGCUAGAUUUCUCCGGUCACUAGUGUUGAUAUGUAUGUAAAUGGAUAGAGAUAGGGAAGCAAACACAAGAUGUACGUGGUUCACCCAGAUUGGCUACGUCCAUGGAGUAGAGGAGUUCUCAUUAAUUGUGAAGGGUUUACACAAGUACAUAGGUUCAAGCUCUCCUUUAGUGAGUACAAGUGAAUGAUUUAGUACAAAUGACAUUAGGAAAUAUUGUGAGAUAAUGAUCUUUAUUUAUAGAAGAGAGUUUCUAGUUUCAUUCUAACAUUGACACGUGUCGUGUUGUGAUUGGCUUCUGAUGUUGACACAUGUCGCGCUAUGAUUGGCUUCUGAUGUCGACACGUGUCGCGCUAUGAUUGGCCUCCUGGUUGGAGGGAAACUCUUCUGGGUCCUUGACAGUAUAACGUUAACCGGUGCUCAGUAGUUUCGGGAUUGGUCAAGUAUGGUACAAACAGUGCUCCCCUAAGUUCCCGAGUGAGGGAAUCUCCACGGUUGGGGACUUGCAAGAUCCAAGCCAUUCACGAAACUUCUAAGUACUGAAGUGUGGUAUCAUUUUCACUUGCCUUAUCUGUCUCAUACGUAGCUGUGGCAUCUUCUCUGGAAGUACUUUUCCUCCAUCCAGGGGUGGUAUCUUUAACCGAUGAAGAUGCACAAGGUAAUGUAUCAAUUUCACUUGAAGCUUACUUGUAGUUUCGGCUUGGUCAAGUGCGAUACAAAACCCUAUAGUAGAAGUCCCCCAAGUCGCCGAGCUAGGAGAUUUGCCGAAAGAGGUAACAGACAAGGUAAGCAAUCAGACUUCCAAGCAAGCAACCUGGAUUGGAGGUUCGACUUCGGAUUCUGGUUGAUUGUUCUCCUUCUCCUUGUGUCGUAAACAGCAACAAGGAUAAGGAGAAGCAAAUGGAGAAGAGAUGAUAUAAGAUACUUUUGCUUUUGAAGAAGUAACUUUCCACAGGCUUAUUCUUGAACUGGGCUGGAGGGUUUUCUGGUUUCUUCCAGAGUAUAAGGCCAACUCAAGAAUUUGAGGGUCAAAACAAGUCCAUCAAAUCAAGAGUGCGUUUGACCUUGAUGAUAUGGGAUACUUUUGCUGUUGACGAAGUAAUACAUGAAUCGGCACAUGUUCCGUUGCGCUUGUCUCCACAUGCUUCCUUGUAUCCUUCUCACUUGUCCUAUCUGUUCCUCAUGCAGAUGUGGUAUCUUUUCUGGAAGUAUAAGAUGUUAAAGAUGAGUACUCGAGAGCAAUGCCAGGUAAGUAAUCAGGCAAGGGGUUCCAGGUAGUUAGUUCAUGACUGGAAGCUUGAUUUCAAGUGCUAACUGAUUGCUCUCUUUCUCCUUGUCUUGCAGGUAAGAACAAGGGCAAAGGAAAAGACAGGGAAAAAGCAUGAUAUGAGAUACUCUUACUUUUGACCCUGAUUAUAUGAGAUACUCUUGCUCUGGUGUGGCUGGUUUGCAUAGGUAUUAUUGGGGGGGGGGGAAGAAAACUGAGUAUUUUGAGAGUCUUCGUUGGGAGUGCCCUCUCAGAUAUGAGGAAGGGUUGAGCAUUUUUGCAGGUCUGCCUGUCCGUGGAGGAUGGAUGUCGACAUAUAUAGGAGUCUCCCUAACAACAAGUAGUAAUGCUAUUCCUUUACCCUUCUUGGUCGUAGCAAUGUUAUGGGAGCUGCAAGUUUAACGUGUUUUAACUUUGUCAGAGCACUUUGAAAAAGUGGUAUGUGGUAUCUGGAAAACUGAUGUUGCGUGUGAAGAUUACAGACAAGCUUUAUCCAAGGGAAUCUGGCUCUCGAAGUUCAGAGAGCGAUGCCUCUUCGGUUUUCGAACAACCAAUCAUGUCGGGAAUGUGGCUCUCAAGAUUCGAAGAACGUGCCUCUUAGAUUUUUGAGAAAACAAUCCUGUUAGGAGUCUAGCUCUUGAUAUUCGGAGAGCAGUGCCUCUUUGAUUUUUAAGAAAGUAAUCCUAUUGGGAGUCUGGCUCUUGAGAUUUAGAGGGCGGUGCCUCCUCGAUUUUUGAGCAAGUAAUAAUGAUAUUCCUUUACCCUUCUUGGUCAUAGCAAUGUAGUGGGAGCUGUAAGUUUCACAUGUUUUAAAUUUGUCCGAGCGUUUUGAAAAAGUGGUCUGUGGUAUCUAGAAAGCUGAUGUUGCAUGUGAAGAUUGCAGACAAGCUUUAUCUAUGAAAAUCUGGCUUUCGAAGUUCGGAGAGCGGUGCCUCUUCGGUUUUCGAACAAGCAAUCCUGUCGGGGAUCUGGCUCUUGAGAUUCAGAGAAUGGUGCCUCUUCGAUUUUUGAGAAAGCAAUCCUGUUGGGAGUCUGACUCUUGAAAUUCGGAGAGCAGUGUUUCUUCGAUUUUUGAGAAAGUAAUCUUGUUGGGAGUCUGGCUCUCGAGAUUCGAAGAGUCAUGGCUCUUUGAUUUUUGAGCAAGCAAUCUUGUUAUGAGUGUUUUCUCGAAUGUGAGUAAAGGUUAGACAUUUUUGCCAGUCUACCUUGCCACGGAGCACGGAGGUUGACACACAUUGGGACUUUUUAGUUAUCAAGCGGUGGUGCUGUUCCUUUACCCUUGUGGGUAAUAGUAGGGUAGCUGGAUCUUCAAAAUUUAUGUGUCUAAACUAUGUCAGAGAUCUUUGGCAAAGUAAUAUGUGGUACCCGAUGAGCUGAUGUUGCCUGUGGAAAGUGGUGCCUCUUCAAAAUCCGAAGAGUGGUGCCUCUUUGAUUUUUGAACCAACGGCCCUGUUGCCAUUUCUUUUAUAAGGGCACCAAUUGUGUGCAAGAAGUACAUUCAGAGAGUUAUUGCUUGUAGGAAUUUUCCCCUUACUUCAGAGAUUUAUUGCACCUCAUUUCUUCUUCAUCAUUUCUGAUAAUGUCUGGCCCAUCCGACCGUCGCUUUGACUUGAACUUUGGUGAAGAGGCAGCCAUGCCUUCUCAAGACAACAUAUGGCGCCCAUCCUUCUUAUCUCCUACUGGUCAUCUUACCAUUGGGGACUCUGUGAUGAAGAAUGAUAUGAUCGCUGCGGUGGUGGCUAGGAACCUUCUCACUUCCAAAGUUAACAGACUAUUUUCCAAACGGUCUGAUGAGUUGGCUGUUAAGGAUUCUCUGGCUCUCAGUGUUCAGUGUGCAGGUUCUGUGUCUAAUAUGGCCCAACACCUAUUUUCUCGAACCCGCCAAGUUGAAUCAUUGGCGGCUGAAGUGAUAAGUCUCAAACAGGAUAUCAGAGGGCUCAAGAAUGAGAAUAAACAGUUGCACAGGCUCGCACAUGACUAUUCUACAAACAUGAAGAGGAAGCUCGACCAGCUGCAGGAAUCUGAUGGUCAGAUUUUACUUGAUCAUCAGAGGUUUGUGGGUUUAUUCUAAAGACAUUUAUUGCCUUCGUCUUCUGGGGCUGUACUGCGUAAUGAAGCUCCAAAUGAUCAACCUUCGAUGCCUCCUCCUUCUGGGUUUCUGCCUAGUACUGAGGCUCCGAAUAAUCACCCUCUGGUGCCUCAUUUUUCUAGGGCUCUGCUGACUGCUGAGACUUCUCCUGAGCAACCUUUGUGAAGGCUCUCUCUUGUUUGUUUAUUUUGAUUCAUGUAUUUGUACAUAUUUGUAACUUAUCGGAGAUAUCAAUAGACAAGUUUUGCUUCAUUUCAACGUAUUGUGUUAAAUACACCAAGGCCUUCUUCACUAAGUUCUUUGAAUUUUUCCUUUUGUUGAAGCUUGUAUGUUGAAGCUUUGUGAGUGAAGCAUGUAGGUUGAGGUAGUGCUCCCUUAAUUUCCCGAGUGAGGAAAACUUCUCGUUUGGAGACUUGAAAAAUCCAAGUUACUGAGUGGUCGUGAGACUUCCGAGUAUCAAGGUGCAGUAACAUAUGGUAAGAGUCCCCCAAGUCUCCGGUCAAAGGAGUUGACGAAUGAGGCAUUUCCUUUCUAAGUGGUAGCCCAAAACUCCUUCUUCAUAUAUAUUUGUUAUGAAAGUUAUUAGGCCCAAAGAAGAGGAGGUCUAAGCAAAUUUUUUUUUCGAAUUUUCGAAUUUUUGAAUUUUCCAAUUUCCGAAAAAAAAUAUAUAUAUAUUUUUAAAGCUUUGUAGGUGAAACUUUGAUGUUGAAGCUUUGUAGGUGAAGCUUUGAGGUUGAAGCUUUGUUGGGCACCAUGAAUUGAUUUUGCUUCACACUAUCUUGAUCAAGAUAGUGUGAAGCUUUUGUAGGUGAAGUUUUUGUGUUGAAGCUUUGUAGGUGAAGCUUUUGUGGGUGAAGCUUUUAUAGGUGAAGCUUUUGUGGGUGAAGCUUUUAUAGGUGAAGCUUUUGUGGGUCAAGCUUUUGUGGGUCAAGCUUUUAUGGGUCAAGCUUUUGUAAGUCAAGCUUUUAUGGGUCAAGCUUUUGUGGGUCAAACUUUUGUGGGUGAAGCUUUUGUAGGUCAAGUUUUUGUGGGUCAAACUUUUGUGGAUCAAGCUUUUGUGGGUGAAGCUUUUGUAGGUGAAGCUUUUGUGGGUCAAGUUUUUACGGGUGAAGCUUUUGUGGGUCAAGCUUUUGUAGGUGAAGCUUUUGUGUUGAAGUUUUUGUGGGUUAAGCUUUUGUGUUGAAGCUUUAGAGUUGAAGCUUUGUAGGUGAAGUUUUGGAGUUGAAGCUUUUGCUAGGUACCAUGAAUUGAUUUUGCUUCACACUAUCUUGAUCAAGAUAGUGUGAAGCUUUUGAGAAUUUGUAGUUGUCCUCCAUUGAUGAAACUUUGUUGAAUUUUUUUUUUUUUUUUUGGGAAACUAGAAAUUUGAAAAUAUGGGAGACACAACAUAUACAAAUUUUGCUUCCAUACUGUUGAGCAAGAGAUUGUGAUGCAAGCCACACCUUGUAAUAGUUGAAGGUUUGGAUGAACCAUAUAAAUUGAAUUUGCUUCGAAGGUCUGAGAAUUGUAGUUGCCCUCCAUUGAUAAAGCUUUUGUUGGCACCAUAAAUUGGUUUUGCUUCACACUAUCUUGAUCAAGAGUGUGUGAAGCUUUUGAGAAUUGUGGUUGAACUCAUUUGAUGAAGCUUUUGUUGGCACCAUAAAUUGGUUUUGCUUCAAACUGUCUUGAUCAACAGUGUGUGAAACUUUUGAGAAUUGUGGUUGCUCUCCAUUGAUAAAGCUCUUGUUGGCACCGUAAAUUGGUUUUGCUUCACACUGUCUUGAUCAAGAGUGUGUGAAGCUUUUGAGAAUUAUGACUGCCCUUCAUUGAUGAAGCUUUUGUUGGCACCAUAAAUUGGUUUUACUUCACACUGUCUUGAUCAAGAGUGUGUGAAGUUUUUGAGAAUUGUGAUUGCCCUCCAUUGAUGAAGCUCUUGUUGUUGGCACCAUAAAAUUGUUUUGCUUCACACUGUCUUGAUCAAGAGUGUGUAAAGCUUUUGAGAAUUGUGGUUGCCCUCUAUUGAUGAAGCUCUUGUUGGCACCAUAAAUUGGUUUUGCUUCACACUGUCUUGAUAAAGAGUGUGUGAAGUUUUUGAGAAUUGUGGUUGAACUCCUUUGAUGAAGCUCUUGUUGGCACCAUAAAUUGGUUUUGCUUCACACUGUCUUGAUCAAGAGUGUGUGAAGCUUUUAAGAAUUGUGGUUGCCUCCAUUGAUGAAGUUCUUAUUGGCACCAUAAAUUGGUUUUGCUUCACACUGUCUUGAUUAAGAGUGUGUGAAGCUUUUGAGAAUUGUUGUUGAACUCCUUUGAUGAAGCUCUUGUUGGCACCAUAAAUUGGUUUUACUUCACACUGUCUUGAUCAAGAGUGUGUGAAUCUUUUGAGAAUUGUGAUUGGCCUCCAUUGAUGAAGCUCUUGUUGGUACCAUAAAUUGGUUUUGUUUCACACUGUCUUGAUCAAGAGUGUGUGAAGCUUUCUACGAGUUGUAGUGUUUGCAUUGUUACAGAGGGGAAAUGUUUGAAGCAGAUGCAAGAGGGCUGAAUAGCUUAAUUUUCGUAUGCAAUACACUAAAGUUGUUGUUAGCUUGCAAUAAAACUUUGUUGGUGACCAUAACUCUUGUUGGGCAUAAGUGCUCCCAUAGUUCAGUUGUCAAGUUUGAGGGUUUUUGAUUAUUUGUGAAUGCUAGGAGUUCACAUGUACAAGUUGUACCACUCGUCUUCUGGUAGGUGGAAUGAAUGGUAAGUUGCUUUCAUCACUUGGUUGGUGGUACGAAUGUGAGUUCUUUCUUCCCCUGGUUAGUGGCAUGAAUGGCAAGUUGCCAAAUGAUAUUAGAGUACAGGUUGUACAUUUCAUCACCUGGUUGGUGGCAUGAAGGAUAGUACAAGUUGUAUACUUCAUCACCUGGUCGGUGGCAUGAAGGAGAGUACGGGGUUGUACAUUUCAUUACCUGGUUCGUGGCAUAAAUGGCAAGUUGCCAAAUGAUAUUAUAGUACGGAUUAUACAUUUCAUCACCUGAUUGGUGGCAUGAAGGAGAGUACGGGUUGUACAUUUCAUCACCUGGUUGAUGGCAUGAAGAUGAGUUCCUUCUUCACCUGGUUGGUGGCAUGAGUGGCAAGUUACCAAUUGAUAUUAGAGUACGGGUUGUACAUUUCAUCACCUGGUUGGUGGCAUGAAGAUGAGUUCUUUCUUCACAUUUAAUUACCUAGUUGGUGAGAAUAAGGGCAAGGUGUCUAGGCACAUUGUAGCAAGUGUCGAAUGACACAAAAUAUGUUGAACCCUUUCAAAGCACAGUUAGCUUAUGUAUGAAUGUGUUGGAAUGUAUGAUUGAACGAAUAUUCUAUGAAGCUGCUCGUUUAUUUGUAUAGUCUUGUUGACAUAUACUUAGACUUUGUUUCAUGUUGGAAGCAUUCAUGUUGAAGCUUUGAAUCCGAGUGUUUCAUUGCUAGGAAUGUAAGAAGAUUAGGAUCGAGUUGUCUAAAUCACCUUUUUAUUGAAUUCAUGCCAAAUAGUCUUCGUUACAUAGGAUGCCGAAAGGCUGAAGCUUAACACUUGUACAAUGUGAGUUUACUUGUAAUAGUACUUCAAGUGAUCAGCGUUCCAUGGAUGGCCAAGGGUCUAGCCAUCAGAGCUUCUAAGCUUGUAGGAGCCAGGGUGACUGAUGCCAACAAUUUCAAACGAUCCAUCCCAGUUUGGACUAAGUGUUAUUUCACUCGGGACUCUGUCGCAGAGUAAUCUUUUCUUUAAUACCUAGUCCCCUACUUUGGAAGAACGAGGUUUGACCCUUGAGUCAUAGUAAUUGGAGAUGCGCUGCUUGUAGGUGACAUUCUUCAAGUGAGUCUGGUUUCUGUGUUCCUCGACUAGAUCUAAAUUGAGGGUAAGUUGUUUGUCAUUUUCUCUUUGCACGUAGUUCUGGACUCGGAACGUUGCUUGCUCAAGCUCAACUGAGACAAUUGCCUCUGUACCAAAGGCAAGUGAGAAUGGGGUUUCUCCUGUUGAUGUCCGAUACGAAGUGCGGUAUGACCAAAGAACUUGGGGUACAAAUUCUGGCCAACAACCUUUAGCCUUGUCCAAGCUGGUUUUCAAAGUUCGCUUGAUUAUUUUGUUGAGGGCUUCAACUUGUCCAUUAAACUAGGGAUGAGCUGGGGAGGCAAAACAUAAGUUGAUGUUGAACUUAAAGUAGAACAUCAUGAACUUAUUGUUGUCGAACUGUCGUCCGUUGUCAGUGACUAUCGCAUUGGGAAUGCCGAAUCUGCAAAGGAUGUUCUUCUAUACGAAGUCUUCUAUUUUUGCCUAAGUAAUGGUUGCCAAGGGUUAUACUUCGGCCCCUUUUGUGAAGUAGUCAACUGCUGCAACGAUUGCAUAGCGAACCUUGCCCUUCCCUGCAAGCAUUGGGCAGAUCAAAUCAAGUCCACAUUAAGUGAAGGGCUAAAGGCUGAUCAUAGGAGUGAGCGACUCGGAAGGGGAGUGAGGAAUAGUUGCGUAGUGUUGACAUUUAUCACAUGAACGAGAUAUUCUGAUGGCAUCUUAGUGGAGUGUUGGCCAGUAAUAUCCUUGGUGAAAAAUCUUGUGUGCUAGAGAUCGAGAUCCAGCAUAAUCUAUGCAGACUCCUUCAUGCAUUUCCCAAAGGACAGUUUCUGCCUCUGCGGGCGUAAGGCAUCUUAGGUAUGGUAGGUUAAAACCCCGCUUGUAGAAUUGGUCAAUAAUGAUCAAGUAACGGGUAGCCUUGUAUCGAAUCUGCUUAGCUUGGACUUUGUCAUUUGGAAGGGUGCCGUGAGCAAGGAAUCUAUAAAUCGGGGUAAUCCAACUAUCUCCUUGUUGUAAGUUGCACACUUCCGCAGCCAUGGUGCUUGGUGCUGCCAACAAUUCGACCUGAUUUUUUCUCCCAAUCUUGUCUUCCACCGCUGAGGUGAGGUGAGCCAAAGCAUCUGCAUGACUGUUUGCCGCUCGAGGAAUUUGGGUGAUCUGGUAGUGGAAGUGCUUGAGCAACAAUUGUGGUUGUGCCAUAUAUGCUGCCAUGGAGCUAUCCUUAGCGUCAAAGUUGUUGGUGACCUGGUUAACCACCAAUUGGGAGUCACUAAAGAUAUCAAUUUGUUUAACCCCAAGGUGUUUGGCCAAACAUAAGCCUGCUAGGAGGGCUUCAUAUUCGACCUCAUUGUUUGACGCCUUGAAUUUGAAACGAAGAGCAUACUUCAUCGCCACUUUGUCAGGGGUCGUAAGGACUAAUCCUGCUUCACAACCCUGUUGGUUGGACGAGCUAUCAACAUAUAGACUCCAUGCUGGGGCUGUUGGUUCUAUUUUCUGAGCUUCCGAUGGUAAUGUAACCACUUCUUUAGGUGUAGAAACAAUGUCAACAGGAUAUGUGAAGUCGGCAAUGAAGUCUGUCAUUGCUUGGCCCUUUUCAGCUGGCUUUGGUUGGUAGGAGAUGUCAAACUCACAUAAUGUUUUCGAGCAGACAUGACCAAUGCUAAAGCUAAUUUCUCAAUGUUGGAGUAUCGUGUCUCCGCAUCUUGUAAAGCCUUGCUAACGUAUUAGACAUGCCGUUCGACAUUACCAUCAUUUCAAAUGAGAACGGAAUUUACUGCUGAAGCCGAUACCGACAGAUAGAUAAUGAGAGUGUCACCAACCUCAGGUUUGGAGAACAAAUGGGCUUUACUCAUGUAGUCUUUGAGGUUCUUGAAUGUCUUAGCACAUUCAUCAGUCCAUGUAAUGUACUUCUUACUUCCCUUAAGUGCUUUGAAGAAAUGAGCACAUCUGUCUGUGGCCUUAGAAAUGAACCUAGUUAAGGCUGCCACCUUGCCAGUAAGGCUCUGGAUGUCUUUUGAAGUUACCGGUCCCUUCAUGUCGAGGAUUGCUUUGAUUUUCUUGGGAUUAGCCUCAAUACCUCGUUGGCUUAUCAUAAAGCCUAAGAAUUUGCCAGAGCCUACGCCGAAGGCACAUUUGUUGGGGUUCAACCUCAUUCGAUACCUCUUCAGAAUGGUGAAAGUUUCAGAUAGGUUGGUGAUGUGUUGGUCAGCAUGUUUGCUCUUGACUAGCAUAUCAUCAACGUAAACUUCCAUGUUCUUCCAAAUCUGUUCGGCGAACAUUGAAUUGACCAAUCUCUGAUAAGUCGUUCUUGCAUUCUUUAGGCCGAAAGGCAUGACUUUAUAACAAUAGUCCCCUGUCAGUAGUGAAGGUUGUGUGUUCUUGGUCUGGAGGGUUCAUGAUGAUUUGGUUGUAUCCUGAGUAAGCAUCCAUGAAGCUUAAGAGUUCACACCCUGUCGUAGAGUCUAUAAGUCUGUCUAUGAGAGGAAGAGGAAACCUAUCAUUCGGGCAUCCUUUGUUUAGGUCGGUGUAAUCGACACACAUUCUCCCCAAGACCUUUUGGAGUAGGAGACUUUCCUUGGUCGGAUUCUUCUUAACAAGGACAACAUUUGCUACCCACGUUGGAUAAUUGACUUCGCGGACGAAGCCUAUGCCUUUGACUUUUUCAACUUCUGCCUUUAUUGCCUCGUACUGUUCAGCGUCAUUAGAUAUUCGCUUCUAUCUUACUAGCUUGGUCUUGGGGUCAAUACUUAAGCGAUGACAGAUUAUAUCGGGAGAGAUGCUUGGCAUGUCCUCGUAUAACCAGGCAAAAACCUCAGUGUUCUCUUGCAAAAAAAAGAGAUCAAUGCCAACCGAAUGGGCGGUGACAAGGUGGUACCAAUCUUCACCAUGCGAUCCGGAUAAUCUUUUGAGAUAGAGACAUUCUCUAACUCUUCAGCGGGUUAUGCUUGCUGGGUGAAAGAGUCAUCUCAAGGAUAGUCGGAUUAACUAUUGCCACUGUGAAGAUCCAAGUUGGCUUCAUCUGGGCUGGUCUUUAUGACUUGGUCAUGUAUAGAAAGGGUUUCCUUGGGCACAUACAAGUGUUGUUGCUUGACCGAAGUGUUGUAACAUGAUCGUGUACUAAGUUGAUUUCCUCUUAUGUAACCAUUGCCAUAGGGGGUUGGAAAUUUCAUCAACAACAUAUGUGUGGAUACCAUGGCCUUGAGAUCAUUGAUGCCUAUGCGUCCGAAGAUGACAUUGUAUUCCAUUGGGCAAACCACCACCCGGAAGUUAGUGGUAAUGGUAGCUGUGUAAGGGCCUGUACCAAUGGUGAAAGGUAAGUGUAUGCUUCCCAAAGGUUGCACGAUAUCACCGGAGAAGUUUAUCAGAGGGGAAAUCGAGUGGUCGAGCAAGUAUUCAGCUACAUUAAGUGCCCUGAAAGCUUCAGCAAACAUGAUAUUGACCGAAGCCCCCGUGUCUACCAGGAUUCGUCGUACUUCAAAGUUGGCUAUGUGAGCUUCCACGAUCAAUGGGUCGUUAUGAGGGUAGAUGAUACCUUUUUCUUCCUCAGGGUAGAAACAUAUUGGAUCCCAGUUAGGCUUUUGAUACUUACCUCCCCUGAUGUCUUCCACAUGAAACACUUGGUGGCCAGACCUUAAAGCUCGUUCACUAUUUUUCAUGGCCCUGUUGGAAGAUUUAAAUAUGGUUAUGCCACCACUUAUGGAAUAUGUCACAUUUAUCUGGCAUUGGUUACGGUUACCCCUUGAAGGGUGAAGGAGGAAUUGAUCAAUUUUUCCUUCACGUGCCAAAUCUUUAAUAUGAUCACGAAGGAUGAUACAUUUCUCGCCGUCAUGGCCGUUAUGUUCGUGGUAGCAGCAAAACGUGCCCGUCUUCUUCGUGGGCUUGUAAUUCGGGUGCCUCGACUUUAGCUUCGGUAUCAAGUGUGCUAUGCUAGGGUAAAUGGCCACGCAUGUGGCGUUCAAAGGUGUGUAUGCCUCAUACCUCGGGGUAGGGGUUGUCCUGACAUGUGCUUGACCCACUGUGUUAACUGCCUGGGGUCAGGGAUUAUCAUGACGAUACCCGUGGUUAUCGCGGUAGUGUCCCUUACUCAUUUUACUAAAAUGAGACUGGUGAGGAUGAAAAUCUUUCCUUUUGCCCUGAGAUUGAUAUGUUUGUUGACUUGGCAAAGUAUUAAGUAAAGCAGGGGGAGGCACCGCUGCCGUUUGGAAGGUCGAGGUUUUCUCAUUUGGUUGGAUCUGGCUUUCACUCCCUACUUGCUGAUAAGGGGUGGUUGUGGGGGGUUUCCCUUGAUAUGUCCUUGCCUCAACGAAGGCAUGGUUGUAAGCUUGUGCCAUCACCUCAGAGUAAGUUUUCCAAGUGUUGGCAUUGAUCAUGUACUUGAAGAAACAAUCACGUAGGCCUGCCGUGAAAGCCUUAAGGGCAGUCUUGUCAUCUGCCUCAGCGCAGCGAGAAUACUCAUGGCUGAAACGACCAGUAUACUCUCGUAGUAACUCGUCCGGCUUCUGGCGAAUACUGUACAAGUCAUCUGCAGAAUGCAAGCGAUUGGUCUGGAAGAUGUGUUGAGAGACAAACAGUUUCCUCAGUUCCUCAAAUGAGUCUACUGUCUCAGGUGGAAAACGGCAAUACCAGUUUAGAGCUCCGCCAGAGAGUGUGGAGGGGGAAGAGAAGACAUCGUUCUUCGUUGGUGUGCAUUUGAUAUGCCAUAGUGGACUUAAAGAGGUUAAGGUGUUCAAUUGGGUCAUCCCUUCCAGUAUAGAGUUGUAAACCAAGCUUUUGUUUUGUCUUCGCUUGAAAGGGGGUGUCAAAGAUCCUCUUUGUGAGAGGGCCAGUCCUGGGUUGAUUCCAGUCAGAUAUCUAGGCCUGACGUUCGGCCUUCAACUUGUUUACUUCCUCAAUGAGCUGUAGGACAAAAGGGUCUUGAGUGGAGUCAUGUACCACUGAGAUUUUCUUUCGUAAGUCUCCAUCGCCUCUUGGAAGUAGAAAGUUUGAGUAAGGGCGUGUGAUUUUUCCUUGGACUCGCCGUACUGACUUCUAGGGCGAGUUUUUUGGAAUACCUCAGAGUCCCCUGUACCUUCAUGUUCCUCUAGGACAUGUCGUUCCUUCCCUAGAUUGGUAGCUGGCCUGGGUCGUGGGAGGGGACCAAGUCUUUCAGAAACCCUUGGGUCAUUGAUCUUCGAGCAUAUGUGGAGGGGAUUCUCUCGACGUUGCUUUAGGAAGUCUCGGCAGUCACGAUAAACGGCUUUUGAUCAUUCCAACCCUUCUGCAAGGAGGUGUCGUCCUCCACUUCUCCUGCUUCGGGUCGAAUCAAUUGGGUUGAGAGAAGUCUCAUGUUGAUCAAUGUUUUAAUGAUUAGCUCGCUCAUCAUCAGUGAUACCCAUGUCGAAGGAAGGUGACCCUCUGUGUUGGGGGGCACCCAGAUGAUGGUUGAUGUCCACAGGGGCAACAAGCUCGCGUGUUUGAGUACGCAUAGUUUCGUGAGCGUCUCAAAGAGCUUCUCAUACUGCUCCUGGAUGACCUUAUUCCUCAUUGCUAUCUUGUUGUUUUGAGCUUCUAGCUCAUCGACUUUAACUUGAAGAGCAACUCUCUUUCCUUCCUUCUUUCGUUGCUUCGCACUAGGUGCAAGAUGGGUGUCAUUCUGUGUGCUGUGGCUUCAUUUGCUCCCCAUGUUGGAGAGGGAUGCCUGGUCAAAAGAGAGUGUACAAAUGGUAGAAACCAGAUUGACAAAGCUGAAGAGAGUGGGAAUAAGUGUCGUUCCCACAGACGGCGCCAAAUAUUGAUGCACAAAAUCAGUGGGGACUUUGAUACAACAGAAAAUGUUAAGUUUAUAACCUUCGCUAGAUUGCUCCGGUCACUAGUGUGGAUAUGUAUGUAAAUGGAUAGAGACAAGGAAGCAAACACAAGAUGUAUAUGGUUCACCCAGAUUGGCUACAUCCACGGAGUAGAGGAGUUCUCAUUAAUUGUGAAGGGUUUACACAAGUACAAAGGUUCAAGCUCUCCUUUAGUGAGUACAAGUGAAUGAUUUAGUACAAAUGACAUUAGAAAAUAUUGUGAGAGAAUGAUCUCUAUUUAUAGAAGAGAGUUUCUAGUUUCAUUAUAACAUUAACACGUGUCGUGUUGUGAUUGGCUUUUGAUGUUGACACAUGUCGCGCUAUGAUUGGCUUCUGAUAUCGACACGUGUCGCGCUAUAAUUGGCCUCCUGGUUGGAGGAAAACUCUUAAGGGUCCUUGACGGCAUAACGUUGACCGAUGCUCCGUAGUUUCGGGAUUGGUUAAGUAUGGUACAAACAUAUUUAAUCAUAUUAGAUCUCAACCGUUGGAUUCAAUUAAUUUAUAAAUAUAAAAUUAAAAGAAAUAUACAUAUAUGAUGGGUCAGCCCCACUAACCCAGAUGAAAUAAUGGCCUAAAUUUGCCAUAGAAAUGAGUUAUGAGUUAAAAUUUAUAAUUGUUCCAAGAGUAAGAGCAAAUUGAAAUAAGUUUAGAAUAUAAAAUUUGAGUUUUAUUUUAAGAAUUGGAGUGAGUUGGAGUGGGUCCACGUGUACCUGUCCGAACUCCUUUUGGGAUUAAAUUAUUUCAAACUUUCGACAUUAGACAAAGAAAUUGUUUGGAACAACUAAUUAAAUAAUCAAAUAGACUCAUACGCCAAUGAUAAAAGAAAGCAGGACUUCCCUUUUAACUUUGUACGAAUCAUAAUACUUCAUGGUUAUUCACGAGCUUUAUUUGGGAAUAACUUUAAACAUUAUGAUGGAAAAAGACUAUCUCCAGAUCUCUUCCUUCCAAUUCAUCAAAUCAGGAAAUUCAGACUAUUAAAAUUUGAUUCAACGGCUAAAUUUAUUAUAACUUUUAAAGUGAGCUCCUAUUUGUAAUCAUUGAAUUAAAUUUUAAUAGUCCCCUGAUUUAAUGUAUUAGAAAGAAGAGAUCCGCAAAUGAUUCAUUUUCCAUUAUGAACAACCCUAAGAAUUUCUUCGUCACUCCUUUCAUAUCAGACAGCAUGUGGCGCAUAAAUGAUUAGCGACGUUAAGUGUUCGUACAGGGAUGACAGCAUUGGUAGCCUUUAUUUGUUGGACAAGGAUUGUCUGCCCUCCCACUUCCGAUGCUUUCCCGUGUCCUCCUGUUUUGUGUGGUUACGGUUAAGUCACGUCAACAUUUUAUAUUAUUUUUUUUAUAGAGAUAAUAAGACAAAAAUAAAUAAUAAUAUAAAAUGUUGAUAUGGCUUAACCGUGACCACACAAAUAAGAGGGCACGAGAGGACAUGAAAAGUGGGAGGACAGACAACUUGUCCUUAUUUGUUAGCAGCAGAAAAUAGUUCUUCUCUCAACGUCACUGUUUGUCGUCCAUGGUACGGUGAUUGUUCAAGGAAGCAUGUGAAUUCAUUUCUCAAUAAACUAUUAAUUGUUAGAAUUAAAUUCGCGCACAAUCAUUUGUAUAUGAACAAUCGAAUAGAAUAAGAUAACAUUAAUGUGCAUUAAAUUCGUGCACAAUCAUUUGUAUAUGAACAAUCGAAUAGAAUAAGAUAACAUUAAUGUACAUUGAGCUUAUAACAUUAAUGCCCUCUAUCUGUAGAUUUAGGACAAAUUUAUUUGAACUCCUAUAAUUUUACCUUACUCCCAAAUUAAACUUUAAAUAUGAAUUGUUUUAUGGAAAUAUUUAUUUGAACUCAUAUAAUUUCACACUACACCUAACAACUUUUAAAUGUGAAUUGUUGUUGAAUUUUUUAUGUGUAUUUCAUAUCAAAACAAUUACAAGAUGAAACAUUAUAUAGGAAAAGAAAAAGAACAUAAGCCUAACUUGCCUAACUUGCCUAACUUGCCUAAUUUCCUAACUUGCCUAACUUGCCUAAUUUACACAAAGAAGGUUGACUAGCCUAACUUCACUAGUCAUCCAACAUGUUUAUUUCAUGCAUGCAUUUUAACAAAAGAUAUGACUUGCAUGCAUUCCAACAAUUGUUUUCAGGAAACAUUUAUUUGAACCCAUAUAAUUUUACUCUACACCCAACUUAAACUUUAAAUGUAAAUUGUUUUAGGGUAAAUUACAUUUGGCAUCCUCAAGUUUGAGUGCAAUUACAAUCUCAUACAACAACUUUCGAAUAUUUUAAUCUCAUACAUUUACUUUUAUUUUAUUUCAAUGUUAUAAAAAUCUAUUAAGUUAACCGUUAAGUAAUGAUAUGGUAAUAAUGAUUUCCGUAUUUGUACACGUGACUACUAAACUUGGGUCACAUGGCCAAACCAUUAUUAAAAAAUAUUUAAUUAAAAAAAUUAGGUUUUUUUUUUAAUAAUUAAAAGCUUAAAAAUAGAAAAUGAAAAAAAAAAAAACCCCCAAAUCUGCUUCACCGCCAUUUCCACCCAACCUACUGCAAAUGCAGAGCCCCACCCUAACCUCAGCGUCUUCCUCAGUAAGAAUUUUUUUAUUUCUUUUAGCUUUUGGUUUAUGGAUUUAGCUGGGUUUUUGAGAAUUUGAAGUGGAACGGGUGGUUUAGGCUCUGCAUGUUGUCUGGGAAGAAAAUUGGGUGUGUUUGCUUAGAGGGAAAAUGAGAGAAAUUGGGUAGGAAUUCUCUGUUUCUGUACUGAGUGUGGAAAAUUAUGAUACGUUUUCAUUUUUUUGGCUUUUGGGAUGGAGAUUGACGGAUCUGGGGCGGGAUGCGGGCACAUCGGGGUUCGAAGAAAAAAAAUUGAAGACGUCAUCUGCUUACAGACGGGUUUGCCAUUGACGGACAAGAAGAAUCCAUAUGCGAUAGACUUUGCCGUCGGCCAUGGAAAUGGUGGCUCAAAGCUCUGUGAUGAAAGACUCGGACUGGCGUUGAAGUCGAGUAGAGACGCCACCAUACCCACCGCCGACGCAGCGGCGAUGCUCUGCUUUUUCGGCUUCUUUGCCUUCCUGGAAAGAGAAUGAAAGCUUGUUUCUCGGAAAAAUUGGGAUGGAAAUUUGGAAUUUGAUUUUUCAUCAUAGAGUAUAGAGUAUAGAAUGAAUUUUUUAAAGUGGCAAUAAUAUAUGCAUUGUUUAAAUUGGUAUAUAGUUAAAUUUGGAUUCUUUUUUUGGGGAUCCUAGGAAUCUCGUGAUCGGAACCGUUCAUUUCGUGAUCGGAACCGUUCAUUGUACAUUAUACUGUUAAAAAUUAUUUUAAAAUUUAAAAUUUAAAAUUAAAUAUAAAUAGUAACUAAUAAAAACUGACUGCACGACAUAUUAUGAACGAUCGCGAUCAUGGAUCUUUAAAAUCCCAAAACUUUGUUCUCAUUAAUUUGACAAGUCUUCCAAAAAAAAUUACUUCGAGAAGUCAACUGAUACAAGUAUUGUUUGAAAACAAUUUAAAAAGAAGAAAAAAACUGAUAAAACUUAGGGGAAAUUAACAGAAAUGAAAAAAACUGACAAAUAUUGUUUGUAAACAAUUUCAUUGUUUUUUGGUUUUUUUGGAAUACACAAUUUCAUUGUUUAGUUGCAUUUUAGAGGCAAACCUUAAAGAAACUUAGCUAGGAAGAAAACUCAGUCUGUAAAAUUUUCCCCUUUUCGUUCAAUGCAAUAAUUUCAAGACAUAUAACAGUAUAUGUAUAUAUAUACUAAACCUUGUUGAAUAAUCUUCAACUUAUUACGUGACAAUUUAACCAUGACACUAAACCUUGUUGAAUAGUCUUCAACUUAUUACAUGCCAAAUUGGCCAUAACUAAACCUUGUUGAAUAGUCUUCAACUUAUUACAUGCCAAAUUGGCCAUAACACUAAACAUUGUUGAAUAAUCUUCAACCUAUUACAUGAGAAAUUAAUCAAAAUCUUAAAGAAACGUGUCAUUCUGAUAUCAAAGAUAUCCAAUAUACGGUUGAAAUGUUGAAUUAUGAUCAACGCCCCUUGCUAGCUGAUCUUUCUUCCAGUAUUCGAAGGCCAACAUACCUGCCCAAAGAACAAAAUUUGGAGUGGGAAAACAACAACAAUAUAUUCUUAUUAUUCACGUCCAAACUAAGGAUUUAGUUACUAUGAUUUAGUUAAAUAUUGAAAACUAAAGUAGUUGUAUUAUGUACAGGUAAUGUCCAUGUGGUUUUAUUUGAAUGCACUUAACAUGCAUACCUGCCUAACAUCAUAAGAGUGGCCUGAGGAUUGGUCCCUGGUGAUGAAUUGAAUAUAGAUCCAUCAACAACACGUAAUGCCUUGAUCCCCGUGACCCGGAGAUCUCCAUCAACUACCUUUCCGGCGGAGCAUCCACCAUGGUAAUGCCAAUGUGUGGCUACCGUAUCUCGACAAAAAGAUGCAUCAUCCGACUGGUUCAUUGGUAAAGAUGGUUUAAAAAGGUUAAAACCUUCUAGACCUGGCAAAUCUCGAGUCUUAAACGGUUUCAAUGCGUUUGUUUUUAAUAGAUCACGCAUCUUCCCCAUGGCACUAACACAUUGAGAAAGGUCCCCCUCUUUUGCAAAGUAGUUGAAUUUGACAUUUGGGGCUACUUUGGCAUCAUACGAUGAUUGCAGUUUAAGAGAACCAUGGGACAAUAUGGGUCCUCUAACUUUGACCAUAAAGAACCCGAAACUUGAAUUUAUCGUCACGGGAAUAGUUGGAUUAGGGAAAAUACUAUAGGCCUGACUAGAAUAUGGCGUGCCAGAGAUAGACUCUAUAUCGAAAUCACUUGUGAAACCAGCAAUCUGAGAAUAAGUAGGUACUAUUGGAGAUGGGGGCAAAAUGAUAAUGUUACUACGAGGAUUGUCACGCAUAAACUUUCCAACGUAAGGUUGUGGGUGAACAACUGGGAUUUUAAGAGAUGUAAGGUAGGACUUUGGGCCAACACCACUAAGUAGUAGAAGCUGAGGACUCCCAAUUGCCCCUGCACUCAAUAUAACCUCACCCUUACCACGUAUCGAUGCCCAGUGAGACCUCCCGUUUGAGUCAUUGUAUAUGAUUCCUUUAGCUGACGGAUCUGCAUUAAAUUGUUAUCAGAAUUGGACAUAUAUUUAGUUUACAAUUAAGUAUAUAGAAUAGAUUCAAAUCCCUCAAAUAUGCUUCUUUUUAACUCCAUGAUAGAUUUUUUUUAUUGUAAAACGAUAUAUUUGUUAAAUUAGAUGUUAGAUUAGAGAGCCGAUGGGUUAUGAACCCACGCCAUAGUACAAAGGCAACACUCCCCUCCACCACUGUGAUAUGAUAGAUUUGAUUUUUGAUUUUUGGAACAUAUAUACAAGAUCAAAAUCAGAGUUCAAUCAAAAUCCAAUCUAAAGUGGUUUAAUGAAAAAAAUAAAAAACCUUAACUCAUGUUAUCCAAGGAUGGAAAUCUCAAUGGCCUUUAAUUGUAUAUAUCGAACGUUAGCAUACCUGAUGCUUUGGAAGAGAAAAUGAUCCUCUCUACAGUGGCAUGAAUUGCAACUCUCAGGUUUUUCGGAUGUCCUUUAUUUAGCAGUUCCACAGCUCCAUAUCUUCUUCCACGAUUAUCAAACAACGCACCCGAGAUUUUAGUUCCCUCAACGCUAUCCAAAGUGAAUCCAUUGUCUGGACGAACACCAGCUUCUAACAAUGCAUCUUUCACAACAGAUUGCCACUGUGAUACAUUCGGACGGAAUACGAUAGUGUCUUCAACCCAUUCAUAUGACUUAUUGACUAAGUUCAUGUCCAAUUUAAUUCCUGAUUUCUUGUAGAAUUCACUGUCGGCUCUUGAGUAUGCACCACCACUGACCAUACUUGUCCCGCCUAGGAUACGUCCUCUUACAUUAGCUACACCAUCUUCUGAUACGAACCUCUGGAGCGGCGUCGUACCGUCAUCUUCUAGCAUGAAAUUUUCAAGAAUCCCUUCGACAGUCGACACACUUGGAUAUGUUGUUGGAAUAUCGCCCCUUUCUAGAAGGAGCACCGAGUAGUUUGCAGAUAAAGUUGUUGCCAAUGGGCACCCUGCCGUGCCUCCUCCAACUACAAUGUAGUCAUAUUCUUCUUGUAAUGGUAGAUCAGUUGCGUUACGUACAAAUUUCAAGUAGCUAAAAUCUGCAUUAUAAGAAUGAAGAGAAGAGGGAAAAAGUUUAUAGAGAAUUAUUUGUUAUUAAAUUAUUUUUCACGUAAGUUACUUCGAAGAAUCAAUGGGACUUUCAAAAUAUAUUUAGUACCACGAACGUCAGAUGGAGGAGCAAGUGAAUGAAUCCCUGGUUGAGGACACAAGACAAAAAUGUAAAAGACCAAUAAUAUAGCAGCAGUUGUUGAUUUCUCCAUAUUGUUUUCAAAACAAUAUAUACGUUUUUUUCCUGAAAAUAAAAUAUUAAAAGAAAAGUUAGUUUCAUGUUCUUCAAGUAAAGACUUUUGAAGUGAAAUUACUCUCCAUCAAAACUCUAAAUUUUAGCUCUACACGGGAGGAGAAAAACAGUUUGGCAACCUAAUUUGUCUUUUGUGUGCCGAGUUUUGCAUUUGGCAACUCUCCAAUGGAGUUAGUCUAAAGAAAUUAUAUUUCCCAUCAUAUCGUUUUAUAACAUUUUAACAAUAAUACUACCAUAAUCCAAGUUACGUAUUAAUAGAAAUUUUUCUAUCAAUAAAAAAUGAUGAAAAAACUAUUUAAUCUUCUAUUACAACAAAAAAUUAAAAAUAAUAACAUAAUUUCACAAAACAAAAUCUUGCUGCUUUUUGUUUAAAUAUCACGUGUAGGUGAUUUUAACAUCUCUUAAAAAAUAAAGAAUAAAACUAAACCACCCUCCCUCUCUCGAUAAAUUAUAGAGUGGUACUGUAGUACCAUGCGGCAAGGACUUACUAAUCAGAUUAAGACACGUGUAAUUGUGAGAUAAUAUAAAUAUUUAUAAUUUUUUUAUUUAUUUCAUUAACUAUCAAUAAAUCUGAAACCUCUCCGGCUGCUUCCCGCUUCUUUCUGUUCAUCAAGAAAUCUUUAACUUCAUCUCUUUCUUCUUCGUCCAUCUCCUCCUUGCCUUCUUUCUGUAGCAGAACCUCGUCAUCCGUGCGUUCUACCGGUGAAUGACUACUGAUCAAAAUUUAAAUGGGACUUUUGAAUCAUGGAGGUCCCUGUCCGAAAUGAGUUGGGUUUAAAACGUUCACCAAAUAUUGCAUAUUUUUAAUGACCGGCCGACGGAAUUAGAUCCUCUCCGGACAAAUUUCAUAUGGACCCUCUGGACCACUUAAUCCCGACUGUUCACCAUAGAACCGACGGUGAGGACUAAAACUUUUUUUUAUUUGAACUCUUCGCUCACUUUCGUCAAACUCUUCUCGGUUCCCCUCGGCGACAGUUUAGAAAGAAAAACACGAAACAAUGAAAACAAGAAAUUAAAAGAUGAAACUUGAAACACUUUUCAGAUUCUUUGCAGCUGAAAAUUAGUGAAAGGAUGAAAAAUUGUAUUUUUGGAUUUGUACCAAUCUUGAAGGUUUGGAAAAUUGAAACAUUUUUCAGAUUUUUUUGGCAGUUGAAAAAUAGUGGGAGGAUUGAAAGUUGUAGAUUUGCAGCAACCUUCAAGGUCUGGGGCUUUUCUUCAAUGAAAGUCUGGAGCUUUGCUUCAAGGAAUUGUCUUGUGGGAGGAGACAGAAGACAACCGACGAAGUUGAGGCGGUGAAGAGUUAAACGCAUUAUUAAUAAAUUAUUAACUGAUUAUUCAAUUCACAAUUCCACGUGUCUUAAUAUGAUUAAUAAGUACUAUCAUUUGGCCUUGCCACGUGGUACUACACUACCAUUUUAUAAUUUCUCUCCACUCUCUCUCCAUUCCCACGUUCUCUCUUACUCUCUUCAUAUUUUCUUCAAUUUUAAAAACAAAGAUAAGACAUUUCACACACUUUGCUUGUGGGCAUGGGCAUAUACUAAUUUAAAAUAAAACAUUCUUUUUUCUCAAAAAAGUUAUACCAUUACAAAUUUCUAAUUAAUUAAUUUUUUUAUUACACAAAUGAUAGGAUACUUUACAUUAAACUAUGUGAAAGAAGAUUCGAAUACAAGGCCUAAACUGCUAGGAAAUACUCUUAACCGAUUAAAUUACAAGACACUUUACCAUAUUAAAAUAGUUUAGAGAGCAUAACAACGAUAACAUGUUUAUUGAAUAUAUCGGAUUGUAUUGUUAGUGAAAACAAAAAAGACUUGAAAUUUAGAGCAAAAAUAAAUCAUAGAAGAUACAAGAUUUACCCGAGACCACAAUAUUGCCUUUGGUUUUGAAGCUAUUUCCAACAACUCCUUACCCGCAAUGCAGUGGCGUAGAUUUGCUGUGAUCUUAUUUCCUUAUAUAGAUGCUCGCUAGGCCGCUGAAGAUACUAGGCAUAAAUGCAUCUGUCACUUUCCUUUAUUAUACAAGGGGUUGCUAUCCACACAUCUCAUUUUACUUCUCACACACCCCUUAAUAAUUUAUGUCUGUUGAUCUUCUUCAAUUCAUCCGAUCCGACGACCGAAAAUUAAAAAGAUAUGUGAGAAGUAAAAUGAGGUGUGUGGAUAUCGCAUCCCUUAUACAAGUCUUCGUUCUUCACUUGUUAAUUUUAGUCUUACUUAGACUUCUAAGAACUUAUGGGUCUGCAUUAUCUUAUCUACUACCAUUGAGAUUGCGGUCGUUCAUAAAAUGUCCUUGAGAACAAGUAAAAUAGCGACGAAAUUAAUAUGUAUAGUUUAAUGAUCAAUGUGACAGGUACCCCGUUUAAAUAUCAAUUAUGUGAAUUCAGUACAUAAAAUAUUUCCAUCUAAGUGAAAAAUGGCGCGGCAUGGAAUUGUGCAAUUUUGACUAAACUUUGGUUAUAUACAUAUAGUUAUUCCACCAGUCUGCACUUGGACAUUUGGUGGCUUUGGGGGUUUACUACUUAACAACACAUACAUUUUCUUUAUCAAAUUACUUUUCAAAUCAUUUUGCUCAUUUCUUAAAAAAUCUCAAUUAAAUAAGGAUAAAAUGAUAAAAAUACCCUUAAUUUUCAUCAAAUCAUUUCUAUUAUUUUGGUCCUUAUUUAACAAAAAUUUUCACAUAAUAACUAAAAUGAUUGAUGGUGGCAAACUCAAGGACCACUUCUAUGGAUUACUAUGCUUAUUUUCUAUUGGUGACAUCACAUAAUUUGUAAAUUUGAUCUAAAAAGUUGGUCUACCUAGAAUCACUCUAAUUGUUUCCAUCGAAGCGAAAAAUGGCACAGCAUGGAAUUCUGCAAGUUCAAACUAAACUUUGUUUAUAGUAAGGUUUUGUAGCUAAAAUGGUUCCUGAGAUUAGCAUGACUCAUCAUUUUGGUCCAUGAAUUUGUCCACUAUUAAUUUGGUCAUUCCGUGAAAAAAUCUCCAUUAAAUAAGAAUAAAAUGACAAAAAUACCCUCGAUUUUCAUCAAAUCAUUUUGACUUCUUGUUUAUUAAAUUGAGAGUACUUUUUAGUUGUCAGCCCUCCUCCAAUCUAUUCAAACUGAAAAAAAAAAAAAAACGAAGGAAAAAAUGAAGACAUGAUAUAUAAUAUGAAUGAACCAGAUUAAAAGAAGUCUCACCAAUUAAGUGUAGGAGAAGGAGAUUAGACUGAUGUAGAUUAAUCACGAAAUAGACUGAGGAUUCGAAAGGCACAAAAUCAAGUAGAAGGAAUAAACCUUUGUAGAUUUGAACUGUAGGUGUCCGAUUUGACCCGUUACCUAUUGUUUUAAAGAGACUAGCAAUGCACAUGAAACUCAUCGCCUUGCAAUGAUGUAUGGGCUUUUUAAGUUUUAAGGACGUUUUGAUGUUUUGUAAUUUGUUUAAUUUUAUUCGUAUUUAGACUUCAAAGAAUUUCUAGGCCUAAGAGGUGUUAUAAAUAUGACCUUUUUAAAAAAAAAAAAAAACAAUAUUAUCUAUAUUAAGGGAGAGCAUGUGAGUUUAGGCUCACAAUAGGCUAGUAAUAAUGUGGUUCAAAUUCGUCUGUAGCGAAAAUCGAAUUUAAAACUUCUCACUUACAAAUAUAGAGGAAUAUCACUAGACCGUAGUACUAAGUGGUAUAAAUAUGACAUUUAAGUGUGUUAUCUUAUCAAUUAUUAUUCAAUAAAAGUGGAGUUUUCAGUCACCAAAUUUUUUUUUAAUUUUUGUUAUUAUUAUGGAUUCCAAUUUAAAUAUUCUUUAAAAUUAUCUAAACUACACAUUAAUGAAACUCUCUUUGUCAGUUGAUGAAAAUAUAUUUGUGUUUGCUAUCACAACAAAAUUAGUUAAGGAUAACAACGUAAUUUCAUAAAACAAUUUUUUUUUUAAAUUUAUGAAAAGGCGAUAGAUUAUUAUUUCAAAAGAGUAGCAAAUUACAUGAUAGAUCUUCAAACAAAAUAUCUGAAAUCAGGUCGGGAGGAACGCGAUCUCAAUUACAAUUUGAGCUGAUAGAAGAGCAAAACGUGCAAGCCAGUGAGCAGCUCCGUUUGGCUGGCGACGGACAUGAGUGAGAAUAACUCCUGUGAUUGAAGAAUGAGUGCCUUCCAGUCAUGGUCAACAUGUGGGAUUGUGGUCAUUCAUAACUGAUCCAACAUAUCUAGAACACACAUGGUUGAAAUUAGCGGAUGAAGAUGCCUUUGAAAAAAAAAAUGUACAUAGUUGAUGAAUGUGACAUGUACCCCAUGAAAACUCAACCAAGCGAAAAAUGUCGUGGCAAGUUCAAACACCUUUGUAUAUUUAAAAGUGGUAGGCGAGUCCACCACUGCACUUGGACAUUUGGUGUCGAUGGUUACGACCUAAAACAACACAUACAUUAUUUUUAUCAACUUACCAUUCAAAUGGUCGUGCUAUAUGGCCCACUGAUUGAUGCUUUUAACCCACCACGAAACAAAUUAGGACAAAAUUUAUCCUCAGUUGUCACCAAAUUAGAACUAAUCCAUUAUUUAGUCCGGUAUUCCAAUGAGGUCUCUGUUAAUGUAGCAGGUGAAAGUAUGAAGAAGGAGAGGUUCGAGAGGUUCAGAGAGAAAGAGGAGAAGAUAUGAAAGUUUUCUUGUAUUGAUUUCUUAGCAAUUACGAAAGCACGGUGAGAAGGUAUUUAUCCGUUUCACAAUAUCCUAACAAACUAACUCACUAUCUAAUCUUCUAGCAAUAUCACAAUCACACAUUUAUCUUUAUCAGUCUACGUCGCACGAUCUGACCUGGAGGUUUAGACCGUGACCAAUCAAUGGGCCACAAUAAAGUCCACGAAGAUGUUUGAUAUUGCAUGAGUAGUAGAAUGCUCAGUUGACUGAAGUUGUGAUAUAUGGAUGAGGAUAGUCGAGAAUUUUAAGAAUCUUCACAUUAUGGUCAUUUAUUGUAUAUUGUGUGAUUAGUUUUCGUUAGAUACUAUUUAUGUUUAAUUUUAAAUAAAUAAAUUCAAAAUAAUUUUUAACCUCACGACAAAGAUCCCUAAGAUUCCCACAACUUGAAUCCGAAUGAGAUCCAAAUCCGUGAUAUGUCAUAUGACAUGGUUUUUACAAGCUGAUCACUCAGGUAGGAAAAUAUUGGCCAAGUGGAAGCUGAUGUUGCAUUGCAUCAGUAGUAGAUUUGGUCAUGAUAAAAUGGGGUAUGAAAGCUGAAAUGUCAAAGCAUGGAUGCCAUUAUCUACAACUAGCCUUCAAGUGCGGGCAGAAGAUAUUUUUUUAAUCACAGUGUGCUAUGUAUGAAUUACACGAUUUAAAUGUAUUUAUAUGCGUGAAUUAACAAAAGGAAAGUCAAAUGCUUGAAGUAAAUGAAUAAUCAUAGAUCAUGCUAAAAAAACCCCCCACAAACCAAUCAAAGUAGCUGAAUUUACAUAAUAAAAUUGGUCUUUCAAUUUCCAUCUACAUUCUAUUGAAUUUACAUUAAGAAUAAAGAAAAUAGUAUUUAAUAAACAACUGAUUGAAUCACAUUUUUGCUAGCCUAUUGUGAGGCUAAGCCUGCCCCCUCCCCCUUAGUUUAGAUAAUAUCGUUUGUUUAAAAAAAAACUAAUCAUUUGAUAACUAAUUUAAUCACAUUAUUAUGCAAGUGCGAAAGUCCUUUUUAUAACCAGCAUUAAACGCCUUUUAAGAUAUUUUGAACGUGUUUAAAAUAGAGAAAAUAAUAUUUAAUGAACAACUAAUUGAAUCACAUUAUUGCUAACCUAUUGUGAUGUACUAAUUAAAAAAAAAAACUGUAUAAAAAGAAUUAAUUAUUUUUAAAAAAUUGUUAAAAUGAUGAAAAUACCCAUACAUUAUUUGGUGCAUUAUUUUGGGUUGCUUUUGAAAUUUUUUGUUUUGGGAACAUUUUUGUCCAAAACUUUUUGGUCAAGCUUGUGACCCCAAAAUGAGUUGUUGGCUUUAUAUAUAAAGAUUAGUAAGCACUAGCAUAUUUAGGUUUCACUAAUACUACUAAUACUACUAUACUACUAUGCCUUAUUUUCUUUUUUGUUUAUAGGCUAAUUUAGUAUUGUUGUGCUUUUUAAAAAAAAACAACAUUUGCUCUACUAUGAAAAUAAACAGCUGUAAAACCAUUUUUCGUUUGAACAUAACCCCCUAUUUUGAUAACCCAAUAUAGUACAACCUAGUAGGUUUAUCUGAAAACCCUAACAUGCCAUAAAACCAUUGUAAAACAUGUAUAUAUAAAACAGUGCUCAAGAGUGGUAACAUAGUCGGCCGAAGGCAAAUCCAUAAAACCUUCGUAAAGCAUAAGAUAGUGUACUUAACUAGGGGUAUCAUAGUCGCCCGAAGGCAUAACCAUCACCCAAGGGUGAAGCUGUACGACACUGGAUUACGCUAGUGAAGAAAUAUGGUAGGCGCCAUCACCCGAAUGUGAAGCUGUACGACUCUGGGUUACGCCAGAGAAGAAAAGGUACAUAACACAUCGACGCUAGUUGUUGCUAGUGAAACUAUCCGACACUGGUUUUUCCAACGAAGAUGGGAGUAUGUCAUAAAUCUCACUACUCAUCAACUGUGUCAUAUGGCUAUAUAUAGGUACGUACUCGUGUUGUGUGUAUGUGUUGUAUGAUUACCUACUAAAUAAGCACAGAAAACAUAAAUCACAUUUUUCAUAUCAAAUCAUCGAAGCUCAAAAGCUCAAGCAUCAUAUCAUAAAUCCAUAUGAGCAUUCUAGCUCAAAUCAUCAUAUCAUAAACCAUAUUCACAAAUCCAUAAUAUCUUGAAAGGCGUAAAAGCAAUAGUUCGUAAAUCCUUCAUGAAAUGUAAAUCAUGAAACCAUGCUUUUCAUGUAUGCAAUCCUAGCAUUUAAAAUCAUGCAUUUUAAGAAGGGGUCCACUCAUAUAAACUUUGUUGCUGAAGAGCCAUGCAAACUAGAGAGGAUAGAGUCGCCAUUAACAAACGUACCUAAGUACAUAAAAGGACCAAUCAGUAAAACCCUACUAAAACGAUUGAAUUUGGGAAAAUGGACGUCGCAUUUGGAUCCGUGACGUCGAAAAACCUAAGAAGGGACAUCUGUUUCCCCCACGCACCGCCGCACACACCACGGGACGGCUCCUUAGGAGGCCACGCGUCACCGCAAGCGCUGCCACACACCGAAUUGAGUCGCUGGCGUAACCGUUACACGGUACUUCCAGGAAGGUUCGUGUGCUCCACACACCAAGCACUGCAGCACCACACGCAGCCUCACGCGCUCGCGAGUAUAGGCAUACUUGCCUUCCUCUCGAGGCCUGAAACUGGUCGAUUCCUGGGCUCGACUUCCAAAGCUCCGUUCAAGCUCGAUACUCUACCAAAAUCAAUGGUUUUAUUUAAUAUGGGUUUCUUUUCUUCUUUACCGUUGGAGAUCAAUGGGGGACAAAAUUAUAUGAAUCUCAAAUUUAGGGUUUCUACUAUAAGAACUCUCAUAUUGGAAGCAAUAUUUCUUUAGUGACACAAAAAUUUCCUCUAAAUCUCUAAUCGAGUCUUCAAAAGUGGUGGUGAGAGGCCCUAAAUAGAUACUUCCGUUGGAGCAACGCUCUAAAACACAAAUACCCACAAAUAAAAAAGAAAAAAAAAAGAAAAAAAAAACUAUCAUUUUGAGCUCUAUAUAUGGAGUAGAAAGAGCCUAACUCUAAAUUUAGAGUUCUGAUUUCAUUUUCAUUGUCAACUGUGGAGCCAAAAAUAUUCACAAGGCGACACGUGGAUUUUUGGACAAAAAGGACAAAAAUAUCUUUGCAGUACAACGAGGUUCCUACGCGCAAGCAGCGGGCAACCCUCUUUCAACCAAGACAGAAGUGCCCAAAAUAGGUAACAAUUCAAAGUCCAUCUCAUCAAAUCCUUUCUACAAGGUAAUUCCCAAACACAUUCCUUUUAAAUUAUGUUAAUUGACUAAUUAAUGGGUUUAUUGCCUAAUUAACCCAUUAAUUGUCAAUUAAACCAUCCAUUAUAUCCAAAUAACCACAAAAUACAUCCAAUUCAACCCUAAAACACCACAUGGCCGGCUAUCCCCAUUCAAAACCUAAUCCAUCACUUUUUCUACCUUUUUUCACCAUUUCUUCCUUUUUAUUAGCCAAUUAAUUCCAUAACCACAAAAAUAUUUUCUUUUAUGUUUAAUUAGCCAAUUAAUUGGCUAAUUAAACCAAAAUAAAACCUAAACCAACCUAGCCCUAUAAAUAGGCUCAUAUUUUCACCAAAUAUUCAUUCCAACACUUUGGCAAAAAUCCCAAAAUUCUCUAAACACUCUUUCUCUCUAAAUUCUAACUUUGGUAUCGGAGGUUCUUCGGCCAAAGCCCCCCCCCAUUCAUCAUGGGCGCGUGAGGCUCUUGGCCUUAACCUAAGGUGUUAAUUGUUUUGUAGGUGUAAAAUUGUCCAAGAUCAAGGAGGAAGAAAUUUGCAUCCACAAAUUGGUGCUUUCAUUCAGAGUUGAAAUCCAUACUCGUAGAAGACUCUCGCACAAAAAGGUUUUUUUUUCUCUUUAUUUUCUAGUCCAUUUGAAUAUUUUUCAUACGUUCUUAUUAUUAGAAUUUUUUGCGUGCAAAGGUUCUUUGAUAAAACGUAUAAGCAAAAUAUAAUGGCUAGAAAUUUAGAAAAUUCCACAAGUGAAAAUUCUAAUGUUCAAGAAAUGGGAUUGCGGAGAUCUGUGGGGCUAAAUGCGACAAUAAGUGGAGCAGCACCACCACCACGAGUUUCCACCAUGGGAACCACCACGGUGGCUACUUCGGUAGCCACCCGUGGCGAGGUCCAUGGUGCCUUCACCACGGCUUGAGCCGUGCCAUCCAAGGCUCACGGCACCAAGGCCACGGCCCAAGUCGUGCUAUCCAAGUUUGCACGGGCCCGGGCCCAAGCCUCGCAUUCACAUGCAUCACAUACUAAGCAGCCUACUCCCGCCAAGCAACCUGCUCUCGCGGCCCAGCCUGCUCUUGCCAAGCAGCAUGCUCUCGUGACCCAGCCUGCUCCCGACGAGCAGCCUACUCCCUUGGCCCAGCUUGCUUCCGUCGAGCAGCCCACUCCCGUGGCCCAGCCUACUUCUGCCAAGCAGCCUGCUCUCGUGACCCAGCCUGCUCCCGACGAGCAGCCCACUUCUAUGGCCCAGCCUGCUUCCGACGAGCAGCCCACUCUCGUGGUCCAGCCUGCUUCCGUCGAGUAGCCCACUCCCGUGGCCCAACCUGCUCUCGUGACCCAGCCUGCUCCCGACGAGCAGCCUACUUCAGUGGCCCAGCCAGCUCCAGUCGAGCAGCCCACUUUCACGGCCCAGCCUGCUCCCGUGGCUUUCCAAUCAGCCUAAGUCGGCCCAAGACUAUCUCAACCAUCCGGACCUACCAUCGAGCCGGGGGCAUUCUCACCAUAUUUUUUCACGGAUUUGACAUUUCCCAACUCAAAUCUCGUGCCCGGAGUCUACCACCCUUCCACUGCCCAAGGAGGCACAUUCCUUCCAAGCUCUUCCAAUCCAAAUGGCGAACAACACUUGUCUCGACAAGUCAUAGAGUUGACGAGCGCAUUUGCACAACAGACAACCUUAGUGAAUUAACUUUUGCAACGCAUCGGGAUCCAACGUGCCCCGGACAAGGUAUCCUGAAGUAGGACAAAGGCAGACGGACCUUUCCAACAGCGUCCCGGUAAGUAGCCACUCAACCAGCCACGAGCCGAACGUUUGGGCAGUGUACAUUCCCGUCUUAGCACACGGAGGAGCAUGCACUAUCGACUAGGCCCACGGAUGAGCAUACAUUCACGGUUGGGGUCAUAUUCCGAUAGUUAACAUGAGCAACCUUCCGAACAAAGUGUCGAUUCGCGGCUAAGCCCACAAGGAGCAUCCUUCACCUCACAUCAGACUUAAAUUUUACCUUCAAAUGCAAGCAGUCAUCAUCAUGACGCAUUAUUCCGCCGAAUCCAAACCAGCGACGAUAAAGACGUAGACCCUGGCAGAUGCAAAGUUUUCUGACGAAUGCAACAACUCGGUCCAACGACGCCCCGAAGGUAGCCAAGCACACUUUAGCCGCACCUACUCCCUCAAUGGAGAUUUCUGGCGUUUGCAUGUCGACGAUGCAUCCAACUACAAAGGCUCGUGAGCAGCCGUGGUUCUUGCCACCCCAGACGUUUCAAUGCUUAAACAGGCAAUCACUCUAAGCUUCAAAGCAUCUAACAACGAAGCAGAGUACGAAGCCCCACUAGCAGGCCUUCGAAUGACAAAAGACUUGGUGGUGAAAAAGCUUUCCAUUCAUUCCGAGUCCUAGUUAAUCACCAGCCAGACUACCAGGGACAAAAGCAUGAUGAUCGUGGCAACCGACUACUUCACCAAAUAAGUAGAAGCAGAGCCCAUGACGAUCAUGGUUUAGACGGACAUAGAGCGCUUCAUAUGAAGGAGUAUAAUUUGCCGAUUUGGCAUCCCUUAAUCCAUCAUCACCGACAACGGCCCGCAAUUCGUGGGCUAAGAUUUGGCGAAGUUCUUCAAAAAAUAUGGCAUCAAGCAGCACAUGUCUACGCCAAGAUAUCCUCAAGGCAAUAGGCGGGCCAAAGCAUCCACUAAGAUGAUCCUCGACUGCCAUAAGAAAUCCCCCACCAAUAAGAAAAGAAAACGGCCAAACGAACUCCAAGGAUGUCUAUGGGCAUAUCGCACAACCAAAAGACGAGCAACCGAAAAGAGAUGGCCACAAGCUUAGAUCUGGCAGAAAAGAGGCGCGAACAGACUAUCACUCGCAUUGCAGCCUACCAGCAUCAGCUCCUCUCCAGCUACAACAAAAGGGCCAAGAUCCGGCAAUUCCAGCCUGGAGAUCUGGUCAUAAGAAAAACCUUCAUCACUGCCAGCAGAAAAGGUUCCAAAAAUAUGGAUCCCAUCUGGGAAAGUCCGUACAAUAUCAACAGAGUAGGUGGCAAGAACAAUUACACCAUCGCCACCAUAAAACAACAAAAAGAUCGAAAAACAGUGGAACGCCUACAAUCUGAGGAAGUACCAUGUGACCUCUCACUACAUCAAAGCCCGAAGACUCAAGCAACUCGACGGGCACUACCUCACCAGCCGAGGAUUAUCCAGUUGUUAUGUAGUUCUUACCUUACAUCUAAGUUCUCGUUCGUUUAACUCAUUUUUCAAUGAGGAAUUCAGAAGUAAUCACGACUUGGCUUGGCUUCAUGCUUACAACAACUGAUCACUCCUGCACUUCAAAAGAAGACCGCGCCCUUCUUAGGGACUUACCAUAGGAAUUACGCCCCUCGAGGGGACCAACCAUGCUCUCCAGUGCGAGAGGGUAAACUAAUUGCUCUCCAACGCGAUAGGGUAAACCAAUUCCCCGACACCCACAUGGGUCAGCUCUCCAAGAACAGGAGGAUAAACUCUACACUCCGAAUAUCCAGACGUGGAUGAGCCGGGCUGCCCUAGUAUAACUAGAUGCAUGAUGGCUUGCGCCAGGAUUCCUAGAAGUAGCCGCAAUGGUCUUUUUCAAGGCUUAGCUAAAUGAAGGAUUUUGGGUCUCUUGGCCUAAUCCGUGGGGAACUGGGCCCUAGAGACGGAGAGGGCACAUUACGCAGUACAUCCGAUGGACGGCUGCCUUGGAAUCCUAAAGCUGAGGUAGCCUAAAGCUGAGAGCCUACGGAAGGACUGCCUAUGGCUUGCCCUUCGAGCAGUAAAACCGCACUAGACUUAUACAACCGCACAUUCUUGUGAAAGGUUAAACAAGCUAGCACGCAUAUACGAAGUUUUAUCCACUGCCGACAUGCUACGUAGUCGAUAAGCUUCACCUCUACCAAGCGCGGAACAACCUACACCAAGUCCUAAAGUGUUGUGAUACUUACUACGCAACCUACGGAAUUGGAGAAAGUCAAGGUUAACAGCCUAGUGGUUACGCGGACUUGUCUGCUUCUGUAAGUAAGGUAUCCGGCUGCCAACCCAAUGGCUAACAACUUUGCAAAGUUCUACACCAACACCUACGGCUGCAUAGGCUACGCGAGCUUGUCUGCUUAUAAAAAAGUAGCAUGUUUGCCACUGGUCUAUUAAGUCUAAAGGUUAGGGCAUGAACAAAAGAAGCAAAAAUGAAGAAAAGCUAAGGAAAACAUGUUUAUAAACGAUUAGCAAAGGCCGAAGGAGUUCAAGCAAAACAAGAGCUACAAGGAAAAACAAAGAAAAUCUUAAAGGCUACCUAGAUGACUACACUUUAGCAGCCUGGACAUCCCACGACUAUUCGGUCGCCACACCUUCAGCAACCGCGAAGCUCUUAGCAGCGGCAUCACCCCCGACUGCUCCAACCUGGGCACUAACUUCUCCAACUACUUCACCAAUACCAACAUGGACGUGCUGCAGCUCAUCCACUUCUUUCUUCAAACUUUCGUUGAUCUUCAGUACACCUUGAAGUUCCAACACUUGGGGUUCAAGCCUAUCAACGAUUCUCUUGAAGUGGAUCACUUGAUUAUAAGUAGCAAUCAACUUUUCAUCCUUUGCAUAAGCAGCGAAAAAAGUCUUUGGUUUUUUCUCAGCCGGCAUCUCUUGAGCAGGCAGGGAAGAUCCAUUUUCCCACCUUCACUUGCAGCAGAAUCCACAACGGUGAUUAGACGAGCCAAUGCAUCCACCUUGAUCCUAUUUACCUCUUAUUUUGGAAGCAGCCCACGUUUCUCCUGACGAAGAGAGUUAAAGUAGCCAACGCCAUUCGUGCUAUCCAGCAGGGGAGUUCAACCCAACAUUCUAGCAGCUCAUGAGGCCCGCAACCUCUUCAUUUCUCUCAGUCACCUGCCUAGCUCGCGUCAUGUCCAAAAGCCUAAAAAGACAUGAGCCAUGUGACUCGCCUAGCACUGCGGCACAACGCCACAAUCCGUGACCCCAGCCAUAUAAGCUGCCAUUGGUUCUAGCCAAGUCGAGCAGCUUAAAGCAGUUGUCCCUGCCAUAAUACCUCAUCGGCCCAUGCCGAGCCGACUCCUGGCCCAUGCCAGCCGACGUGCCGCACCACCCCGAAGGCUGCCCCGAGGUAGCACCAUCCAAGAAGAAGACAAGGAAAAUUAAUUUUUUCUUACCUCAGUGUGGCGCGAAGAAGACGAAGAAAGCAACGAAAGACGGUCCUUUGCACAGGCAAGAUGUAGAAGAUUGCUAGAGGAGGGGGAACAAAUAUCCUCUAAGCUAUCUCUCUCUUGUAGGGUAGAAUAAAUCGCUCUCCAAAGUUGAUUUAAUAAUCCACUUAAGGUGGACUUAAAUAGGCUUUGAGAGAAAUUUAUUUCCCUUUCCUAGAAGGAUCUAAUUUCCUAUUAAAGAGAGAAUCUACAUCAAAAUAUGAAGCAGUCAUAAGUUUCCUAAAGCAAGAAGAUCUCUACACCUGCUGCCCUUUUCUGCGAGCAGCUCAACAGGUGUGGGGGCAUUUGUGGAGCCAAAAAUAUUCACAAGGCGACACGUGGAUUUUGGACAAAAAGGACAAAAAUAUCUUUGCAGUACAACGAGGUUCCUACGCGCAAGCAGCGGACAACCCUCUUUCAACCAAGACAGAAGUGCCCAAAAUAGGUAACAAUUCAAAGUCCAUCUCAUCAAAUCCUUUCUACAAGGUAAUUCCCAAACACAUUCCUUUUAAAUUAUGUUAAUUGGCUAAUUAAUGGGUUUAUUGCCUAAUUAACCCAUUAAUUGUCAAUUAAACCAUCCAUUAUAUCCAAAUAACCACAAAAUACAUCCAAUUCAACCCUAAAACACCACAUGGCCGGCUAUCCCCAUUCAAAACCUAAUCCACCACUUUUUCUACCUUUUUUCACCAUUUCUUCCUUUUUAUUAGCCAAUUAAUUCCAUAAUCACAAAAAUAUUUUCUUUUAUGUUUAAUUAGCCAAUUAAUUGGCUAAUUAAACCAAAAUAAAACCUAAACCAACCUAGCCCUAUAAAUAGGCUCAUAUUUUCACCAAGUAUUCAUUCCAACACUUUGGCAAAAAUCCCAAAAUUUUCUAAACACUCUUUCUCUCUAAAUUCUAACUUUGGUAUCGGAGGUUCUUCGGCCAAAGCCCCCCAUUCAUCAUGGGCGCGUGAGGCUCUUGGCAUUAACCUAAGGUGUUAAUUGUUUUGUAGGUGCAAAAUUGUCCAAGAUCAAGGAGGAAGAAAUUUGCAUCCACAUCAACCUGACUCUAAUAUCCCAUGUUAAGAUAGUUAUAGAAAGCAUAAAAGAAAGCAGAGAAGGAAGAGGAAAGCAUAAGAGAGAUUGUAUAUGUCCUAGAUUGAAGGGAAUGAAAAACAAUCACCAGUAGACAUGUAAAUUUCUGUGAAAUAAUUAUUCAUCAACAAAUUAAAGUUUUGACAUUUUAGGGCUACGUAACCAGGGAGUGUCACAAAUCACACGCAUGGCAUGUGUCUCAUAAAAAAAGGGCGAGUCAUCAUGAGUGACAUGUGCCAACGUUUGGCAAAAAAAAUUAAAGAGUUAUCUUUAAUUAAUCUUAAUUUAAACCAAAUAAAUCAAUAGAUUUAAACUAAAACAAAUAAAAUGAAUGCCACAUCGAGGGUGAUUAGCCAAAUUACGGAUGACCUAAUUAAGGAUGAAAGGUGAUUGAUUGAUUUGAUUAAAUUAAAGAUUAUUUGAUCAAAUCGAGAAUAUUUAAUGAAGUCAAAUCACGAACCAAGUCCAAAUCAAGUCUUGUUUCUUUCAUUAAUUAAUCAAGUCAAAAAUCAAGACCAAAUCAAAUCUCAAUCAAGACAUGGAGAUACCUAUAAAUACAAGGCUCCGAGACAAAGAAGGAGUCCUCAAACUCGUCCUCAUACACAUCCUCACACUUGAAUAGCAAGAAAUAACUCAGACGCUUAAACUCUCAAUACACACUCAGAAGACUUAAAAAGCUCUUUGCAUCCUUCGCCACACUUGUGAAGAACCAUCAAUCACCACUACAUUUGCCGGUUCCUCCAUCGCCAUAAGCCAUACUCUUGCAGUGUUCAUUCGUUCAAGAACACACUAGAAGAAAAAAAGUCAUCUAUCACAGUUGAUUCCCAUAGUAGAUUGCCAUCCAAUACAGACAUUGUGCCCGUUAGUAGUCUGGACGUGAUAAAAAGUUUCAGUUUCUACCACAUGCAAUUCUUGUUGUCAAAUGUGAUGUAACCACAGAUUGUGUCCAUGCUAGAUUGUAACUAUGUGUUAUGACCUUUGUGAAUUACUUAUUGACCACGAUCAAUGUCCGUUAUAUUUUUUUUUCAUAAAAAAAAAAAACUAUUUAUAAAUAUAUAUUUAAAUAUUUAUAUACAAAAAUAACCAGCAAAAUUGCAUAUUUGCCUCAAGGGUUUGAUCAAGUUGGGGUAGGUUUAAAACUUAAAAUCUGAAUUUUACUCCAGAGGUUGGAGUAUGUCUCACAAGUAUAUGGUCUAAGUUCGAAAGGGUGUUCUUUCUCCCUUUUGAGAUCAAGAACACACAACCUAAUCCAACCCUAGCUAAAUUUUUUGUUUUUGUUUUUUAAACAAGCGAUAUUUUCUACAUUAAGGGGCUGGAGGAUUGAAUUAAGCCUCACAAUGGACUAGCAAUAAUAUGGUUUAAAUUUGCGUUUGGCGAGAAUCGAAUAUAGGACCUCUCAUUUAUAAGUGAAAAUGAAUACCAAUAGACCCUCGGAUCAACCACCCUACAUAUACAUUUUGCAUCUUGGAGAUUGUAUCCGAGGAUCAAUUUUUUGUAUUAGAGGUUGUAACCUAAUUUCUCGUUUAACACAAAUAAUUCUUUUGUACGCGUAUUUUGUUUCAUUUGUCACAAAAAUUUCAUUACACGGCUAAGAAGCUAUCGCAGUCGAUGUAAAAACCAACAUUUUUUUACAGACUUAGCCUUCCCUUUCUGUACUUAUUCACGGCCCUUCAUUUCUUGCACUUAACAACAAUAACAUGUUUAUUGGUAAUAUUGGAUUAUAUUGUUUGUUAAAGAAACAAAGUUCAAAUUUAGAGAACAUUUAAAUCAUAAAAGAGGCAAGAUUUACCUAAGACGACAAUAUUGCCUUCGGUUUUGAAGCUAUUUCGAACAACUCCUUACGCGCAAUGCAAUGGCAUAGAUUUCGUGCAACUUGCUGUAUCUUAUUCCUUCUUAUAUAAAUGCCCGCUGGGCCGCUGAAGAUCCAAGGCACUUUGUCAUACGAAUCUUCGUUCUUCACUUGUUAUUUAUCUUUUUUUUUUUCUUUUCAAGGAAGCAGCUGGUUGCUAAGUUCAUUUUGACAUGGCAGGCCACAUUUUUGAGAGCCAAAAAGAUUUAAAGAUGCAUUUCAACCUACUCCGCUAUUCAAUUUCACUUAUAUUUAUUACGAAUUAAUAAACAAACCAUUGAAGAUUUGUUGACCUGUGAUUACGACUUACAACAACACAUAUUUUUUUGUUAAUUUAGUGUUAAAAUCGUCAUGCUAUAUGGCCCACUGAUUGAGUUUUCAGACCACGAAGCAAAUUAAUUAGGACACUACAAUUAGCCUCACCCGUCAACAAAUUAAAACUAAUCCAUUAUUUGGUCACAUGAUCCAAUGAGGUCUCCGCCGCCUCGAUCUGACCAGGUUUAGACCUGCAACCAACGAAUCCAAGAAGAAGGAAUUGCAUCCCCUCCUGAGCAAAUGAAGGGGAUCCUCAUGAUACUAACAUUCACCGUUGGAUUUUGAUCUAACGACUACAAACAAAGAGUUCUUCUAAAAAUUAUAAUAAUUGUAACCGUUAGAUCAAAAUACAACAGCUCAUGUUAGUGGGUCAUGAGAAUACCCAUCAUUUGCUUAGGAGGGGAUCCAAUUCCCAAGAAGAUGUUUGAUGUUGCAUGAAUACUUUAUUGCUCAGUAAUUGUCAUAUAUAUGUCAUAGGACAUGGUUUUCACAAGCUGAUCAGUGGUAUAUUGGUCAUGAUCCAAUGGGGGUUUGAAAGGUGAAUCGGGAUGACAAUUGGGCGGAUUGAAUUUGGAUGUGCCAUUUUCAAAUCCGAACCGUUUAUUCUUUCUAAACCCGAACCCGUAGAAUCCACGAACGUGUUUUUUUCAUAACUGAACCCGUUGGCUGACGAAUUUUUUAUCGGGGAACGGUUUUCCCCAUUAUGAUAUUUAUAUAUUUAUUUAUGUUAUUAACUAAAUGAAGAAUAUUAAGAAAAAAUGAUAUUAAAUAAAUUGCUAUUAUUAAUACAAUUGAUACAAUGCAUCUAAUAAGUAAUAUUAAAAAUUUAUAUUACUAAGAAAACAUUUACACUCUUAAAAAUUAUAAGCAUAUAAUUCCUAUUAUUAAUGAUAUAAAAGUAAAUAAUUAAUUUCAUAUUUAAUAAUGCAUGAUGGUGAACAACCCCUUUUCAUAUAAUAAAUAUUUAUAUUUUUUACUCAUAAAUGAAAUGGUUCGGUUUCAGAUAUGUGUUUGGGACGGAUACCCCAAUAACCAUAACCGAACCCGAAAUCGAAAAUUUACCCGACGGUUGCCCAUAACCGUAAAAUACCCGAAAUUUUAUGCUCGAAACCGAACCACAUUCAGAUUGGUUACUUACGAGGAUCGAAUUUAAUGGGUUAAAUUGCCAACCCUAAAACUGAAUUGGCAAAGGAUGCACGCCAUUAUCUACAAUAGCAUAUUUAGGUGUCACUGAUACUUCAAUCCUUAAUUAUUUUCUUUUUCAUUAAGUUUAGGGCACCAACUUGUAUAUCUACAUUUUUAAAACCUGUGAAUGUUCCAUUCGUUUGUAUUUGUUGGUACCUACAGUUUGUAAGCAACUACCAUAUUAAAUAUUAAAUGUCCUUAGUACUACUAUUUCUUAAGGUUGAUUCGGCACCAACUCGUAAACAACUUUUUAAAUCUAACUGAGCUAGCAUAAUUUCACUCCUUUGUGUUUUGACUACUAUUUACAAUUGGAAAACAACUGCAAUAUUAAUGCGCCAACUAAUAUUCAAAUUUUUAAAUUUUAAUUAUCCGAUGUAGCAUAGUUUAAAGAGAGUUUUCAUGAAAAUGACUUAGACUAAGUUUAUUUUAACAAAAAACCAUGCUAUAACUUUAUUUAAAGAAAAAAAAACUUGGAUUUUAAUGAAAUUUUUUAAUAAAGAGGACAAAAUAAUUUAAAUUUGAAUGAAAAUGACACAAUUUUAAUAUAAAAAAAAUUAAUAAAAACCUGACGUGUGGGAUCCGCACCGCGAAUCCAUCACAUACAUUGUUUAUGAAAUUGAACAGUAUUACACUGUUUAUGAAACUUAAUGGUACUACACUAUUUAUAAAAAUGAACGGUACUAUACUAUUUAUGAAAUUGAACACUGUUUAUGAAACUGACCAAUACUAUACUAUUUAUAAAACUGAAGGUACUAUACUAGUUAUGAAACUGAACGGUACUACACUAUUUAUUGGUCUAUAUUCAUAAAUAGUGCCUAAUAUUUGGUUCACUUUUAUAAAUAGUACCUAGUUAUUCAGUCCCGUUUCAUAAAUAGUGUAUAGUAAUUAGUACAAUUACAUAAAUAAUGUCUCAUUCUUGGUCAAGUUUCAUAAAUAGUGCCUAAUUUUUUGUCCACUUGCAAAUAUAGUGCCUAGUUCUUGGUCAUGUUUAAUAAAUAGUGUCUAGUUCUUGGUCUAGUUUCAUAAAUAGUGUAUAACAAUUGGUACAAUUUCAUAAAUAGUAACUCAGGUCCAGUUUCAUUAAUAGUGUCUCUUUCUUGGUCCAUUUUUUUGUUUAGUUUUAGAAAUAGUGUCUUCUCCGAUUUCGCUGCAUCCUCUAAGCAACAACCAUGGUGAUGCCCUUGCUCUUGGCAUUCUUCAUGAGAUAUCCAGUGCUUCCUCCUUUUUUUACAUUCUUUUCAUGAAAUACUCAAAUCCAAAAAGCCAAAAUCAAGUUUCAAGCAUAUCGAGGACUAAACCUCAAUCACAAAAGCCAAAAUCACUAAAACCAUAGCCAAAAUCAUAGUAGUGCUAGCACUGCUGGAAAAGGGAGGUUGGUAAUUAAGCUUGGCCAUGAUGCUUUGUGACCCUUGGAUCUUCUGACCUUCGAGGCUCAACAUUGAGCCUUCAUGGUAUAGAUUAGCCAAAUCAAAUAUACGUUCCAUCUUGUGCUGAAACGAAUAUACCCAAGAGUCUUCCUUGGAUCUUCUGACCUUCGAAGAUCAACAUUGAGCUUUCCUGGUAUAGAUUAGCCAAGGUCGCGCGGUUAGCAUAAAACAACAUGUAGUAGUGCUCAACGAAGGCCUUGAAAAGUGUGUCUGAAUCGCACCGCACCUAAUCGUUGCGUCAUAGAGGAGACUCGGCUAUGAAAUUUGUUAGAAGGGAUUGCUGCAAAACAAAGUGAUGGGAGGAGACAGAGCAAGUUGGCAACUAGGUUUGAGUUGCACGUGCUUUCAUUAGUUUUUUUUUUUGUCAUUUUUCUUUUCAUUUUUUAUCCUUAUUUUAUCACCAAUGGUCCAUAAGAUUGACCAAACUCAUUAUUUUGGUCCCUCACUUUCAAAAUCAAUCAAUGUCGUCCCUGAAAUUGACUACCACACAUCAAUUUGGUCAUUCUGUUUAGAUUAUGUCAAUUAUUCUGUUAGUAUGCAUGUGGGACCCACAAAUCCAAUAAAAUGGUGACAUGUGGAUUAUACAAAAAAGGGUUUUUAUUGCAAAUGGUCUCUGACAUUCAUCAAACUCCUCAUUCUGGUCCAUGAGUUUCAAAAAUCAAUAAAUUUGAUCCCUGACUUUCACUAUCGCACAUCAAUAGAGUCAUUCCAUUAAAAUUUCGUCAAUAUUUUUUGUUAGUGUACUGAUGUGGUCCCACUAAUCCAAUCAUAUGGUGCCAAGUGGAUUAACUAUCAGAAACUAAUUUUUUUUAGAGUGAACCAACUGACGAAUAUUCUGCGCUGACAUUUCUCUCGCAUCCCACAUUUUCAAUUGGAAAAUAAGAUUCAAUCUAAAUUCAAUAAAAUUGAAUCCAAAUUUGAUAGGAUUAUAACCAACUAGAGAGAUUGAGAAGUGAGUUCACGGAGGACAAGAGCUUUAGUGGUGUCAUGGUGCAUUCCUUUUCUUUUUGAGCAUACCUACAUGAAGACGAUGAUGUCUUUUUUCUUUCUUUUUUUUUAAUUUUAAAUUUCUUAUAGUACUUUUAGUUUUAAAUCUUAAAAAAAAUAUUUUUUUAUAGUUAAUCCAUGUGGUGUCAUAUGAUUGGACCAGUGUGACCAUAUUAUUACACUAACAAAAAAUAUUGACGAAAUUUUAAUGGAAUGAUUAAAUUGAUGUGCGGUAGUGAAAGUCAGGGACUAAAUUUAUUGAUUUUUUAAACUCAGGGACCAAAACGAGGAGUUUGAUCAAUGUUAGGGAUCAUUUGUGAUAAAAAUCCUUCUUUUGUGUAAUCCACAUGUCACCAUUUUAUUGUAUUUGUAGGUCCCACAUGCAAAUUAGCAGAAAAAGUUGACGAAAUUUAAACGGAAGGACCAAAUUGAUGUACGAUGGUGAAUGUCAGGGACGACAUUGAUUGAUUUUGAAAGUGAGGGACCAAAAUGAUGAGUUUGGCCAAUCUCAAGGACCAUUGGUGAUAAAACCCAUAAAAAAAUAUUAAAUAUUUUUUAAUUAAAAUUUAAAAUUUUAAAAUCCUUUUCAUUAGAUUUUUUUAAUUAGUUUUAUUCGUUUGUAUUUGGACUUUGUUUUUUCAAAAUAUUAGGGCCGCCAACUUUGAUCCAAACUUUUUAAUUCCUAAUUGUGCUUGAAUAAUUUCAUUCCUUUGUAUCUGGACUAAUUUACACUUUGUAAUCAAUAUUCAUAUUAGGUCCUUUUUUUUUUCCUGAACAAAUGAUAUUUUCUACACUAAGGAGAGAGGAUGGGCUUAGUUUCACAAUGGGCUAACAAUAAUGUGGUUCAAAUUUGCCACUAGACCAUAGUAUAAGUGAUGAUGAAUACCACUAGACUAUAAUACUAAGUGACAAGUCCUUAGUACUAUCUUUUCUUUAUUUUUUUAUUAAGGAAAAACAUUAAAAGCAAUUUUUCUCCCUGUUUAUAAAUACAGAGAAGAUUUGUCCGAAUAAUUUGGAUUAAAAACAGGCUCCCCGAAUAUACGUAACUAAGAAGAGUACAUGGUAGAGACAAAGUUAUCUUGGCCAAAAUCCAAAUAUUUUUUUCCAAAGCGGUAUGCAAAUGCAAGAGUACAUUUCUUGCACAAAAUCAAUUAUUGUGUUGUGCUUUGAAAGUAUAUAUCCAAAUUCGUAUUGGCCCAAAAUAUAUUUUAUAUUAAUUUAAUUUAAAUCGUGUGGUAGGAGAUUCGAACUCAGUUGCAUAAAAAUAACAAUUUUCGCUUUAACCAACAUGCCUACGCUCACGCCUACUACAUGUUUUACCAAGAUUAACACAAGAUAUUGAUCCAUCUAGUUUAUUUAUAUCUAUAUUUCAUUUAAUUUCCUUGUUUAGUUGCAUUUUAGAGGUAGGGUUGAUUCAAAUUAAUAUUUGAUUAUUUUUAAUUUUUGCAUUGCAGGUUUCAGUCCUAAGAUGUCUCCAAUUUCCGGCGAAAUGAAUGUUUUGCACUAGUGAGUUUGAGUUUUGUCUUCAUUAAAGGUUCAAAUUUAUGAGAGAUUUUUUUUUGGCUUUUUUUUUAUCUUUUAUUUUUUUUAUCCUUUUUUAAAGACUUGAAAAUGGGUUAGAAAAUUAGCAAUUGAAGAACCAUUUGUUGUAGCACCUUUGUAGCACCUUAAUUUACUUUUCAUUUUGCCACAUAGUAUUACGAUCUAGUGGUAUUCCUCUUCACUUGUAAGUGAGAGGUCUUAGGUUUGAGUCUAGCCAAAGGUGAAUUUGAACCACAUUAUUAUUAGCUCAUUAUGAGUCUAAACCCAUCUCCCUCCGCUUAGGGUAGAUAAAAUCCAUACGCUCUUAGAGGAAAAGGCCUUCUCAAAGUUUGAUGCUCAAGGGAAAGAAAUUAAGAAAGGGCUUGAGCCAAGUGAAGCUCCAACCAAGGAUCUAAGCAAAGAGCAAAAAGGGUAUUGGAAUUAAUUUGAAGAAAGUUAAGGUUCCAUCAUAAAACCAAUUGGCAAAAUGAGUAGUAGUCACCCUCUUAUAAGCACAUGCAAUGUCCAUCUUCUCAUCAAUGUGUGAUUCAUUCUCAACAUGCUCCUCACAUGUGGGAAACUUUCAAGCCUAACACGUGAACAACACAACUCAGGUGACUUGGAGCACGUGUGGUUGUUAGGCUUCACACAUGGGACGACAACCUGCUCUGAUACCAUAAAGAAAGUUGAGGAUCCACCAUAAAACCAAUUGGCAAUAUGGGGGGUAGCUCAACCUCUUAGAAGCACAUGCAAGGUCCAUCCUCUCAUCAAUGUAAGAUUCAUUCUCAACAUAAUUUAAAUCAAUUUACUUUGGGGGUUGUUUGGACAAAAUAUAAUAUGCAGAUUUCAGUUCGAUUACGUACUUGAUUUCGUUUCAAUGCAUUGAUAUUGGAUUAAACGUUCUGAAGUUUCCUUUUGCAUUUUUCUUGUUCCAAUCAAGAAAUACUCAUACUCAUCUUUAUUCGUUUGUAGAAUUAUCAAAGAUUUAUAGAACAACUCUGUCCAAUUUGUAGAAUUUUCUCGAAGAUUCGACCACCUCUCUUCCAUGCUAUCUAUCUUUUAGUUCUCCCUUUUGUGAAUGUAAUGCCGUGUUUAAAAUGGUACCUUAGCAUUCAUGUAAUGCCGUGUUUAAAAUGGUACCUUAGCGUUCAUAUUGACAUUCACUGUCUGAACUCCGUUCGAAUAGGGUAAUAGCUCCAAUGAGCCUGCCACAGAACCUGGCAGUCUAUUUCCUUAUGGAUGUAGACUGAGUAGACCGGCUCUUUAGGUUUUUUAAUAUUUAGUGACUGAUCUUUAUUUCUGUACAGAACUCACCAGCUGAAUGCAAUAGGGAGAAGAACGUUAUCCCUGAGCCAACCUCCACUGAAACUCCUGAAGAAGUAAAUUCCUCUCCUUUACUCUUCUUUAAGAUACUAUACUCAAACUAAUCAUUCCUCUCCUUUACUCUUCUUUAAGCACUCUAACAAACAUUUCAACAAUCCUAACUGACAUACUAACCACCUGCUGACAUGCCAUUGCUGAUGCUACAUGCUAACCAGCAUUUUGUUCAAGUGUGGUGAAUUAUCUUCUACACAGAGACAGGCACUGAAUAAGAUUGAACAUCUCUGGCAGCCGUAUGAGACAGCCAUGAGUAAAGCUGAAGCAACUCUAAUGAUCAAGAAAGAUCUCCUCUUUGGCUAACAUUUUGUAAGGCGAAGACUUCUUCCACUUAUGCUCUUUGGGAAAGACAACAUGCUUUGCAAGUAAAACUUGCAUAUUUGAAACGAGAAGAAGCUACUCUUUGCAAGAAUUUUGAGGGUGAGGUUGACGAUUUUAAUUUCCAAAGAUUCUCCUUCUACAAAAGCCUUUCCCCCCACGUCAAUUUUUCUUAGCACUUUUAAUUGCUACCGCCAUUAUUAGUUUUAUUGACAAGACAAUACAAAACUGGUCAUAAGAGAUGGCACAUCUUCUUAAUACACCUACACCAGCCCCCUUCUCUCUAGAAUCUCUCUCUCUCUCUCAGCAGAAGGAAAACCCCAAAAGAAAACAUCACAUAGCCGCCGGCCCUAGCCUUUGGCUUUAGGGUCGGUGGCAGCCCCCUGAUUUCUCUUGUUUUCUUCUUUUAUUCCUCCCUUCUUCUUCACCUAUGCUUUCAUCUGAAUUUGUUUCAGUUUUCUGAGCUCUUAUCUCAGUUUUGGACCAUCUCCUCACUCAAUGGUAGUGCAUCGCCAAAACCAUCUUCCCUCCCUAUCGCACCCCUCUUUCCUUUCUUCCCCUUGCUCCCCCUCAUAUUCCCCAACCUUUAAUCAAAAAUUAGGUCUCGGAUUGUUGGGCUCUAUCUUGACAAUAGUCCCAACUCACACAGCAUUCACCCUCCCCUUAUCCCAUUACGGUUUGUGUCCUUUCUUGUAGGUGCUGUGUCAGUUUUGGUUAUUGGGGGAUGGGUUCUGCACAACCUCUUAGAUCUAUCUUUUGGUUAGUGUGUUUUUUUCAGUUUGGGGCGAUGUUUUCCUUCGUGGCGGCUGCAGUGGUGGUGGCAGCAGCAGUGACUGUUGUUGUGAUGAUGGAGAAUAGGGUUUUGCUGUUGUCUUUUCUUACUUUGCCUACGGACCUAAGUUUAUGUGGGCAUCCCAUUAUAUAUUGGGUUCUUACUCUCCCUUUGUUUGGGCUUGUUUUUAUUUUAUGUCUUGCUUUUUUAUGUAGGGUCUUAUGUUUUUGUGUUUUGGUUGGGUUUAGGCCUAUCUUGCAUAGAUUGUAAUGUACCUUUCAUGAAUGAAGCUUUAUUUUCGAUCAAAAUUGAAAUGACAAAUCUAUCCAAUACUUGAGUAGACUUUAUCAUUUUUUAAAUGUUAUGUGUUAUCUUUUAGAGUUGCAUAGUGAUAGGGUUGAAAUUCCUAUUUUUCAAACAAAAGCUCAUCUAAUUUUAACAUCGAAUAAAAGAGAGAUUUUUGGAACAAUUACUACAAACAUGUUUACAACUUCUUUUUUUAACAAACGAUAUUAUGCAUACUAAGGGUGGAAGAGUGGGAUUCAAAUUCAUCUUUAGUGAGAAUUGAACCUAAGACCUCUCACUUACAAUUAAAGAGGAAUAUCAAUAGACUGUAAAAUCUCUUGUAUUUGGUAUUUCUAUUAACUUAUUAUUUGGUAUUUGGUUAUUUGCUAAAUACUUAUCUAUUAUGUCAUUUUUCUUAUGAUCUUUCAUACAUUUAUGUGAUCAUACCUAUGUGAGAAUUGCAAACUAAGCUAAACUGUGAGUUAAUCAGUUUGUAGUUAUCAUCUAGCCUACACAAAGAAAAUGUUUGAAGUCCCUUCACAAACAAGGCAUAGAAAAGAACCAAACAUGGAUCUAAACCCCAUUCAUUGCACAACCUUUGGAUUAGAAGUUGAAUUUACUUGUGGUGCAAGUUUACAUUCAAAUAACAUUACUAUUCAACAAUUCUGUUGGUAUUUGCAAACAGCACGCCUACCAUAGCAAAUCACUAAUUUAAAAGAGCCUCAUGCCUACUUAAGGUGUUACAAGGCAUUGUAAACUAAUAAAAGUUACAAACACUCGCAUAAGGAAUUGUGUCUCCAACAUAAUGUGACCUAGUACUUCUCAUUUACAUCUGCUUCUCUAAAUUUGAGUGAUGAAAAAUUGAAAAGUUAAAUGAUGAGUUCGGCGAUGAAGUUUACAAUUCUCUAUCUUGUGGGAAUUGGAUGAGUAGUGGUAAGUAUCCUUGUGGGUCAUCUGUAAUGGUGGAAAAGAAUGUAAAUGUUCCAAUACUUAUUGUGGUAGCAAAUUUCCACCCUCUUCAGUUUUGAUUAAAAUGUAACUACAAAACAAUCAACACUUUUGAUCAAAUAACUAAGCUUCACGCGCCCACGAGGUUGGGGGAGGGGGUUAGGCUAAUGGAUCCUUGAUGCCUAUGUUAGUUUCUCUGAAAAGAGUGAGUGCUUAGAGCAUUUAGGUAGCAAAAGCUUACCAAAAUUUGAUAGAGAUGGAAGUAUUUAUAGGAGGAGAGAGCCGGACACAAUGUUAGGGUUUUAUCCUACACGUGGCAGCAUCAUAGUGGCCAAGGUGUGAGGAAAAGGAAUAUUUUCAAGAUAUUAAAUAGAAAAAAUAUCUUGAGAUAAUGGUGGAAGUAUCCCAAAUUGAUUGAAAUAAGGAUUACUUACUUGAUAGAGUUGAUCUUUAAUUGGAAAUGUAUUAAAGAUAUGAUUUGGUAAUUAAUCCCUAUAUUUAAUUGUAACUUCCCACAUCGCCCAGGGGAGUGGAUCCUCGUAAGCUUUAUAUGUAUAUUCUCAUCUCUACAUAGCACGAGGCCUUUUGGGAGCUUAUUAGCUUCGGGUUCCAUCGGAACUCCAAAGUUAAGCGAGUUCGCGCGAGAGCAUUCCCAAGAUGGAUGACCCACUGGGAAGUUCUCAUCUGCGUUCUUAGAAACAAAACCGUGAGGGUGUGGUGGGGGCCCAAAGCGGACGAUAUUGCGCUAUGGUGGAGUCGAGCCCGGGAUGUGGUAGGGGCUCGGGCCGGGAUGUGACAAUUUAGUAUCAGAGCCAAUCCCUGGCCUGAAGUGUGCCGACGAGGACGUCAGGCCCCUAAGGGGGGUGGAUUGUAACAUCCCACAUCGCCCAGAGGAGUGGAUCAUGUAAGCCUUAUAUGUAUAUUCACAUCUCUACCUAGCACGAGGCAUUUUAGGAGCUCACUAGCUUCAGGUUCCAUCGGAACUUUGAAGUUAAGCGAGUUCAUGCGAGAGCAUUCCUAAGAUGAGUGACCCAUUGGAAAGUUCUCAUUUGUCCCAUAAACAAAACCGUGAGGGUGUAGUAGGGGCCCAAAGCGGACAAUAUCGUGCUACGGUAGAGUCGAGCCUGGGAUGUGGUGGGGACUCGGGCCGGGAUGUGACAUUAAUGUUUUUGACUUCCUUGCCAUGAGUAGGAGAGCUAUGAGCAAUCAAAUUCAGUUGCUUAAACAUUCUGGGAUGCUGAGCUGUGUGUGGGAGUAUCUAAGAGACCUACCAUCUAAUGAGUGAGGGCAAUCUUAUCUUUCUUGAGCAAAAGUCCACGUGUCACCUCCAGAAUUUUUAGGAUUAUUUUAGACUCCACACUUAUAAAUGUCAUGUCCCACAAAUUGGGACUUAAUCCAAAUAGAAUAAGUUCUAUAAUAUAAUAGGUUAUUUUUAUAGUGUUCCUUAAAGUUGGUAUUUUUUUUGUUAGCACCUAUAUUUAAAUUGAACUGUUAUUGACAUUCUAAAAAUCUCAUUGUGCACCUUUCACAAGUGUGUUUUUCUUUUUAAAUAUUAAAAAAUUGUAGCACAUAAUGAACAUAUUGGAGUCCCCAUAACAAUCUUUUAUUCAAAUUUGUAUUUAAUAUAACGAAAAAUUAGUAUCUGGUCCUUAGUUUCUAAUGUUCUUUGACUGAGACUUUAUCAGUUUUUAGAUUUUGAUCAAUGUGACAACCCAUCCCUAGUUCUAGAAUUUUAUAAAUUUUAAAGGUGUGAGUUUACGAAAAUGCCCUGAGAGGCGAGGGUAUUGACUUACGUUGUCCAACGUAUAGUGAAACGUAUGACUUAUUCCUUUAACAUACCCUCGUAGUACUCAUUAGUACGCACGCAUAGGCGGAAGCCGUUUACUAGUACGAAUUAUAACGGUAUAGUUACGGACGUUUGAUUUUGGGUUAUUCAAAGAUUAGUUAUAAAUUAUUUGAAUUCCCACCUUGUGGGAUGAGGACCAAUUAAAUUAAAGUACAAGGGACCAAUCAAAUAAAAGGGAACUAAGGACCAAGCAACCAAUGAGAAAAGAGAUUAAGGAGGGAAAUGAGGGAACCAAUCUCCCCUCUUAUUUUUGGACUAGUGUACCUAUAUCACCCAACCCGUUCGGCCGGGGUUAUUCUGGCCAAUUUCCACCCAUUUCCAGGUGAUUAAUGUCAAAUUAACACUUAGGAAACACUUCAUGACCUUUCCUCUACCAAUUACAACCCAAAAUUUAUGGAGUUUGGCUUUGAUUUGAUGAAAACCGUACCUAUGGGCGUGAUGAAUCCGUGUCUUCGAUCCUCCAAAUCUGAAAUGAUUUCAUCCAAUUACUACCACCAUUAGACUCUCCUUGAGGUCUAGAACAAAGCCCAAACAUUGAUUGGAGCGUCGAAGUUGCUUUGGAGUCGAAUCAAGAACACCCAAAUUCAAGGGUUUCCGACGGGUUUUGGAAAAAUUGAGGCUUUUCUCGGCCAAAUUCUAGAAGCGUCAUGUACAUCUUUGGAAGUAACGGAUUGGAAAUCCAUGAUGCGGAUCUUCCGGAUCAAAUCUUAGGGUUGUGUUUUAUGUAAAUUAUGUAUUUUUAUCGGUCAAAAUUCUGAGAUGUGAUUUGAUAAUUAGUCAUAGGUGAUGAUGGUUCGUGACGUCUCGAUAUGCGUGCUAGGGAGUCGUAGUGCGGACCUCAGGUGAAUGGAUCUCUUCCUUUCUAUCGUAUAUAUAUAUAUAUAUGAUUAUGAUUGACAAUUCCAUAAACGUUUAUAAAUUGAAUUAUUGCAUAUAAUUAAUGUAAAUGCUUUGAAAUACUAUCGUUAACUACGAAUCGCUUCAUUCCUGUUUAGGGUACGUAGGCAGUCUAACGAGACGUUAGAUGCAGCCAUAGAAGAAGGGAGACUAAAUAAUUGAGGCAAUAGUCUUGUUUAGGGAAUUGAGUAAUGUGAGGGACAUUGGUGGAAAAUGUGAGAGUUAACAUUAUGACUUGGUGAUUAAUUGGUGGUCAAAAAUCAAUGUGUGAAGAAUUAAGAAUUUGAAGUAAGGAAACGUAAGUAAUGAUAGUUAAUUAAACUAGUGUAUAGUUGGGCUUAUCACCGAUAAUUAUUCCUGAAAAUAAAUAGUUCGAGAGUAGAGCGUUACAGCUUAUGCAUUUUUAUGCCAUAUUAUAUAUAUAUAUAUAUAUAUAUAUAUAUAUAUAUAUGUACAUAAUUGAAAAUGCUAUAACAUGGUUGAGUAUUAGAUUGCAUCAUGGUUUAUCUAUAUGUAUAUUACCUGCACAUAAUUAGUGUGAACGCUUGGAGUGCAAAGGUGAACACAUGACAUUUAGGUAAGUUCAGGUGAGUUUAUGGUAUUAGUUGAAAUGAUGGAGUUAUGGCAUGACCAUAUAAUAUUUUAAGCAACUCCGACACUGUCGUACAAGUUGCCCAUGAAUCGUACAUGUUAUGUUGAGAUGCAUUGAGAGCUCAUAAACCUGCACCCCGGUGUUAGUGCUCCCGCCCAUGGCCAGGGCACAGUCCUUCACGUGAUGUUCACCUCCCGCACCUUACGCUCACCUUGGAUCUAAGGUAGGUGCACAGUCAUGUCGUACAGACCACUAUAGGUGGUUCCGAAUCGUAGGUGACCCGAGAUUAUUCGCACAGUCUUCACGUGAUUGGAGCACUUGAGCGUAUUUAUUUACACUCAGUCCUGUUGUACAGACCAUCUUAGGUGGUUCCGAUUCGUGUGCAGGUAUACUUAUUGAGCUAUGGAUAAGUCGUACAGGUCAUUAGAGGUGACUCCUGUGGAGCCAAAAAUAUUCACAGGGCGACACGUGGAUUUUUGGACAAAAAUGACAAAAAUACCCAUGCAGUACAACGAGGUUCCUACGCGCAAGCAGCGGGCAACCCUUUUUCAACCAAGACAGAAGUGCCCAAAAUAGGUAACAAUUCAAAGUCCAUCUCAUCUAAUCCUUUCUACAAGGUAAUUCCCAAACACAUUCCUUUUAAAUUAUGUUAAUUGGCUAAUUAAUGGGUUUAUUGCCUAAUUAACCCAUUAAUUGUCAAUUAAACCAUCCAUUAUAUCCAAAUAACUACAAAAUACAUCCAAUUCAACCCUAAAACACCACAUGGCCGGCUAUCCCCAUUUCAAAACCUAAUCCAUCACUUUUUUCUACCUUUUUCACCAUUUCUUCCUUUUUAUUACCCAAUAAAUUCAAAAACCACCAAAACAUUCAUCUUAUGUUUAAUAGCCAAAUAAAUUGGCUAAUUAAACCUAAAUUAAACCUAAAAACCCUAGCCACCUCCUAUCCCUAUAAAUAUACUCCCAUUCUCACCAAAAAGCUAAUUCCAACACUUUGGCAAAAAUCCCAAAAUUCUCUAAACACUCUUUCUCUCUAAAUUCUAACUUUGGCAUCGGAGGUUCUUCGGCCAAAGCCCCCCCCAUUCAUCGUGGGCGCGUGAGGCUCUUGGCCUUAACCUAAGAUGUUAAUUGUUUUGUAGGUGCAAAAUUGUCCAAGAUCAAGGAGGAAGAAAUUUGCAUCCACAAAUUGGUGCUUUCAUUGAGAGUUGAAAUCCAUACUCGUAGAAGACUCUCGCACAAAAAGGUUUUUUCUUUAUUUUCUAGUCCAUUUGAAUAUUUUUCAUACGUUCUUAUUAUUAGAAUUUUUUACUUGCAAAGGUUCUUUGAUAAAACGUAUAAGCAAAAUAUAAUGGCUAGAAAUUUAGAAAAUUCCACAAGUGAAAAUUCUAAUGUUCAAGAAAUGGGAUUGCGGAGAUCCGUGAGGCUAAAUGCGACAAUAAGGGGAGCGGCAUCAUCAUCACAAGCUUCCACCAUGGGAACCACCGUGGUGGCUACCUCGGUAGCCACCCGCGGCGAGGUCCAUGGUGCCUUCACCACGACCACCAUGGGAACCACCGCGGUGGCUACUUUGGUAGCCACUCGUGGCGAGGUCCAUGGAGCCUUCACCACGGCUCGGAGAUCCGUGAGGCAAAAUGCGACAAUAAGGGGAGCGGCAUCAUCACCACAAGCUUCUACCAUGGGAACCACCGUGGUGGCUACCUCGGUAGCUUUCCGCGGCGAGGUCCAUGGUGCCUUCACCACGGCCACCAUGGGAACCACCGCAGUGGCUACUUCGGUAGCCACUCGUGGCGAGGUCCAUGGAGCCUUCACCACGGCCCGAGCCGUGCCAUCCAAGGCUCACGGUACCAAGACCACGAUCCAAGCCGUGCCAUCUAAGUUUACGUGGACCCAAGCCCAAGCCUCGCAUUCACAUGCACCGCGCAUUGAGCAGCCUGCUCCCGUGAUCCACCCUGCUUCCGUCAAGCAACCCACUCUCACGGCCCAACCUGCUCCUGCCGAGCAGCCUGCUCUCGUGACCCAGCCUGCUCCCGACGAGCAGCCCACUCUCACGGCCCAUCAUGCUCCAGUGGCUUUCCAAGCAGCCCAAGUCGACCCAAGACUAUCUCAACCAUCCGGACCUACCAUCGAGCCGGGGGCAUUCUCACCAUAUUUUUUCGUGGAUUUGACAUUUCCCAAUUCAAAUCUCGCGCCCGAAGUCUACCACAUUUCCACUGCCCAAGGAGGCGCAUUCCUUCCAAGCUCUUCCAAUCCAAAGGGCGAACAACACUUGUCCCGACAAGUCAUAGAGUUGACGAGCGCCCUUGCACAACAGACAACUUUGGUGAAUCAACUUUUGCAACGCAUCGAGAUCCAACGUGCCCCGGACGAGGUAUCCCGAAGUAGGACAAGGGCAGACAAACCUUUCCAGCAACGUCCCGGCAAGCAGCCAUUAGACCAGCCACGAGCCGAACGUUCAGGCAGUGUACAUUCCCGAUUGGGCCCCCGAGAUAGCGUAUACUCCCGUCUUAGCGCGCGGAUGAGCGUGUACUCUCGACUAGGCUCACGGAUGAGCAUACAUUCACGGUUGGGGUUACACUCCGAUAGUCAACAUGAGCAACCUUCCGGACAAAGUGUUCAUUCGCGGCUAAGCCCACAAGGAGCAUCAUCCACCUCACAUCAGAGUAGGCAGCACGACGGACGGAGAGAGGCAGUCACUCAAUCCAGCUCAAGUUCAACUAGCAGCCUGCGAAGAACUCGCUCGCCUGCUAGGAACGCACCACAUGCAUUGCAUCUGCGGCGUAGACGAGCCAAACACAUGGAAGAGCAGUCUAGACCAGCAAGUCAUGGCUGGGGGCAGCCGAAAGCUCCGCUACCCCAACAAAGGCAAAUUCAGGAAGAAGUAGAUAGACUCUUGACCAAGCGAUUGCAUGAUUUCCAAUGCAACGAGGUCACCGACGAGGCACUACGAUGGAACAUGACCAACAUAAGCAGGUCACCCUUCACGGACGAGAUCGAGCAGGCAGAGCCUCCACGAGAGUUCAUCAUGCCACAUUUCACAUCUUUCAAAGGGGAUGAAGACCCGGAGAGACACUUAAAGCGCUACCGAAGCGCAAUGAUCCUUUAUCGAAACAACGAUGAGCUUAUGUGCAAGAUAUUCGCCAUCACUCUACAAGGCGAGGCGCAAGAUUGGUUCUACACCCUGCCGCCACAAUCCAUCCGGAAUUUCUACGAACUUUCUUUGGUUUUUACCAAAGAAUAUUCAUCCUAUCGCUCGAUCAAAAAGAAAUCCGAUCAUUUGUUCAACGUCAAGAAGAACCCAAAGGAGUCACUUCGCGACUAUGUGAUGAGGUUCAAAGUAGAGAAGGCAAAAAUAGUCGGAUGCAACGACUCGAUAGCUAGAGCAGCCUUCCAAAAAGGACUUCCAGCAGACCACCCGCUAUUCGGAAAAUUGAUCAUGAAAGAAAAUCUAACUCUGGCAGACUCUUUUGCUUUGGCAGAGAAGUAUGCACUUUGGGAUGAGGCUCGCCAAUGCACAUUCAAUGACUUGAAGAAGUACCCGACAUCACCUCCCUAGAAGCAGCGGAUGACUUAUUCACAUGUUUGACGGUAUCUAAAGUAGCAAUAAGCUCUACCAUCAUGCGAGAAGAGAUGGGGGCCCGACUACCUGUAGUCCACAGUUACCUGUAUUCUACAGUUCAAAAGCUCUCCUCAAUGUUAUUAAAAAUUCAAAAGCUAACUUUGGCGAUAGUUGUUGUAACCCAGAAGCACAAGUUUUACUUUCAAACGCAUGCAAUCAUCCUAAUGACGUACUAUUCUGCCCAAUCCAGACGCGCGACGAUAAAGGCGUAGACCCUGGCGGAUGUAAAGUUUUCUGACGAACGCAACACUAGAAGGACACACUCGAAAGCAAGUUUUGUCCUCGUUACCCUAAAAGAUUCUACAUAGGAGCAACAUGUACCGGCAGUUGAGUACCAUUUCUUGUUGCGCAUCACAUGGCCCUAGCCGACCCUUGCUCAAUGAUUCAACUCUAGAGUGGCCCAAUACCGGCAGUUGAGCAUCUCCUGUUGCGUAUGACAUGGCCCCAUCUCCACAGCUCCCUACUGCGUCUUCACGCCGAGCCUAGGUGACGCAACAGAGCGGCCCAACGAUGCCUCAGAAGUAGCCGAGCACACUCUAGCUGCGCCUACUCCACCCGAUGGAGACUUCUGGCAUUUGCAUGUCGACGACGCAGAAAAGCCUUCAUCACUGCCAGCAGAGAAGGCUCCAAAAAGAUGGAUCCCAUCUGGGAAGGUCCGUACAAGAUCAGCAGAGUAGGGGGCAAGAGUAAUUACACCCUUACCACCAUGAAGCGGCAAAAAGAUUGAAAAGAAAUGGAUGGCCUACAAUCUGAAGAAGUACCAUGUGUGACCUCCCGCUAUAUCAAAACCCGAAGACUCAAUAAGCUCGACGGGCACCACCUCACAAGCUGAGGACUAUCCAGUUGUUAUGUAGUUCCUACCUUACAGCUAAAGUUCUCGUUCGUUUCACUCGUUUUUCAAUGAGGAAUUUAGAAGUAAUCACAACUUGGCUUGGCUGCAUGCUUACAACAACUAAUCACCCCUGCACUUCAAAAGAAGACUGCGCCCUUCUUAGGGACUCAUCGCAGGAAUUGCGCCCCCCGAGGGACCAACCAUGCUCUCCAGUGCGAGAGGGUAAACCAAUUCUCCGACACCCAUAUGGGUCAGCUCUCCAAGACGGGAGGAUAAACUUUACACUCCGAAUAUCCAGACGUGGAUGAGCCUGGCUGCCCUAGUAUAACUAGAUGCACGAUGGCUUGCGCCGGGAUUCCUAGAAGUAACCGCAAUGGUCUUUUUCAAGGUUUAGCUAACUGAAGGAAUUUGGGUCUCUUGGCCUAAUCCGUGGGGAACCGGGCCCUAGAGACGGAGAGGGCACAUUACGCAUUACAUCCGAUGGACGGCUACCCUGGAAUCCAAAAGCUGCUACCGAGUGCACUAAGGUAGCCUACGGAUUCCGGAAGACUGCCUACGGCUUGCCUUUCGAGCAGUGAAGCCGCACUAGACUUAUACAACCGCACAUUCUUGUGAAAGGUUAAACAAGCUAGCGCGCAUAUACGAAGUUUUAUCCACUGCCGACAUGCUACGUAGUCGAUAAGCUUCACCUCUGCCAAGCGCGGAACAACCUACACCAAGUCCUAAAGUGUUGUGAUACUUGCUACGCAACAUACGGAAUUGAAGAAAGUCAAGGUUAACAGCCUAGUGGUUACGCGGACUUGUCUGCUUCUGUAAGUAAGGCAUCCGGCUGCCAACCCUAUGGCUAACAACUUUGCAAAGUUCUACACCAACACCUACGGCUGCAUAGGCUACACGAGUUUGUCUGCUUAUAAAAAAGUAGCAUGCCUACCACUGGUCUAUCAAGUCUAAAGGUUAGGGCAUGAACAAAAGAAGUGAAGAUGAAGAAAAACGAAGGAAAACAUGUUUUUAAACAACUAGCAAAGGCCGAAGGAGUUCAAGCAAAACAAAAGCUACAAGGAAAAACAAAGAAAAUCCUAAAGGCUACCUAAAAUACUACACUACAGCAGCUUGGACAUCCCACGACUACUCGGUCGCCACACCUUUAACAGCCGUAACGCUCUUAGUAGCGGCAUCAUCCGACGCUUCACCCCUGGUUGCCCCAGUCUGGGCACUAACUUCUCCAACUACUUCACCAAUGGAAACUUUAAAAGUAAAAGCAAGCAAGUCUUCCGGAGAAAUAGAAAAGGUCUUAAAACCUCAAGCCCAUCCUUCUCACCCUUCAGUUGCUCAUUCUUCUUAAGCAGACUAACACGGACGCGCUGCAGCUCAUCCACUCUCUUCUUAGCAUAAGUAGCGAAACGAAGCUUAGAAAUUGCAAGCUUAAGAUCUUGAAUCUGAGGCGAAUCAAUCUCAGCAGCAAAGGGAGCAGGCUUUAGCGCCACUUUAGUAGCAGAGUCCACCUUACCACUCUUCAUAAUAGCAAGUCUCUACAAAGGUGAACCGGACUUGGCUCCCAAAGAACGUCCUGGUACAGACUUCGGCACUGGGGGCAUGAUAAAACCUUUACGCUGAGUAAUCUUAUCCACAAUUGUACUAGCCAUUCUCAACAUGGAAGACGCCACAUGCUCAGAUCUAGCAGCCUUACAUUUCUUCCCAUUGGAAGAAGUCAUGUCAAUCACAUACCUCUUGGUAGCAAACAGACCCUCAUGAGCAGCGAAAGAAGUCUUUGGUUUUUUUCUCAGCCGACAUCUCUUGAGCAAGCAGAGAAGAUCCAUUUUCCCACCUUCACUUGCAGCAGGAUCCACAACAGUGAUUGGACGAGCCAGUGCAUCCGCUUUGAUCCUAUUCCCCUCAUCUUUUGGGAACAGCCCACGUUUCUCCUGAUGAAAAGAGUUAAAGUAGCCAACAUCAUUCGUGGUACCUAGCAGGGAAGUUCAACCCAACAUUCCAGCAAUUCAUGUGGUUCGCAACCUCUUCAUUUCUCUCAAUCACCAGCCUAGCUCGAGUCAUGUCCAAAAGCCUAAAAAGACAUGAGCCAUGUGACUUGCCUAACAUUGCGCCCCAGUGCCACAAUCCGAGGUCCCAACCACACAAGCUGCCCUUGGUUCUAGCCAAGUCGAGCAGCUUAAAGCAGUGGUCCCUGCCACAAUACCUCAUCGGCCCAUGCCGAGUCGACUCAUGGCCCAUGCCAGCCGACGUGCCGCACCACCCCGACGGCUGCCCCGCAGUAGCACUAUCCACGAAGAAGACGAAGAAAUCAACGAAAGACGGUCCUUUGCACGGGCAAGAUGUAGAAGAUUGCUAGAGGAAGGGGAACAAAUAUCCUCUAAGCUAUCUCUCUCUUGUAGGGUAGAAUAAAUCGCUCUCCAAAGUUGAUUUAAUAACCCAUUUAAGGUGGAUUUAAAUAGGCUUUGAGAGAAAUUUAUUUCUCUUUCCUAGAAGGAUCUAAUUUCCUAUUAAAGAGAGAAUCUACAUCAAAAUAGGAAGCAGUCCUAAGUUUCCUAAAGCAAGAAGAUCUCUACACCUGCUGCCCUUUUCUGCGAGCAGCCCAACAGGUGUGGGGGCAUUUGUGGAGCCAAAAAUAUUCACAGGGCGACACGUGGAUUUUUGGACAAAAAUGACAAAAAUACCCAUGCAGUACAACGAGGUUCCUACGCGCAAGCAGCGGGCAACCCUCUUUCAACCAAGACAGAAGUGCUCAAAAUAGGUAACAAUUCAAAGUCCAUCUCAUCAAAUCCUUUCUACAAGGUAAUUCCCAAACACAUUCCUUUUAAAUUAUGUUAAUUGGCUAAUUAAUGGGUUUAUUGCCUAAUUAACCCAUUAAUUGUCAAUUAAACCAUCCAUUAUAUCCAAAUAACUACAAAAUACAUCCAAUUCAACCCUAAAACACCACAUGGCCGGCUAUCCCCAUUUCAAAACCUAAUCCAUCACUUUUUUCUACCUUUUUCACCAUUUCUUCCUUUUUAUUACCCAAUAAAUUCAAAAACCACCAAAACAUUCAUCUUAUGUUUAAUAGCCAAAUAAAUUGGCUAAUUAAACCUAAAUUAAACCUAAAAACCCUAGCCACCUCCUAUCCCUAUAAAUAUACUCCCAUUCUCACCAAAAAGCUAAUUCCAACACUUUGGCAAAAAUCCCAAAAUUCUCUAAACACUCUUUCUCUCUAAAUUCUAACUUUGGCAUCGGAGGUUCUUCGGCCAAAGCCCCCCCAUUCAUCGUGGGCGCGUGAGGCUCUUGGCCUUAACCUAAGAUGUUAAUUGUUUUGUAGGUGCAAAAUUGUCCAAGAUCAAGGAGGAAGAAAUUUGCAUCCACAACUCCAACUUAUGAGCUAGCAUAUGUGAUGAAAUAUGUGAUGAGCUAACAUAUGUGAUGAAAAAUGUGAUGAGAUAGCAUAUGUGAUGAAAUUUGUGAUGAGCUAGCGUAUGCGAUGAAAUAUGUGAUGAGCUAGCAUAUGCGAUGAAAUAUGUGAUGAGCUAGCAUAUGCGAUGAAAUAUGUGAUGAGCUAGCAGAUGCGAUGAAAUAUGUGAUGAACUAGCAUAUGUAAUGACAUAUGGGUAAGUCGUAUAGGUCAUUAUAGGUGACUCCGACUUAUGAGUUAACAUCGAUUGAUGAGAUAUGGGUGCAGUUGUAUAGGUCACCAUAGGUGACUCCGACUUGCAUGCUAGUAUGAGUUAUUAAUCACACGAUUAUUGAUAUUGCUGAUGAGAUGCUGUGUUGUGGUAUAUUUAUGAUUUUUCUGGUAAGUAUACAAAUGUUGUAGCGAGGAGUUAUAAUGUUCUAUAUGGUUUCUAUUAAAAUUUUAUUACCAGGGCCACUCACCCUUGGUUUGUUUUCACCCUACAGGUUUUAUUAGCUGAGCUUUCGUAUCAACGAAGAUUUGUGGCAAGUCUUGAUAUGGGAGAUUACCUUCAAUGGUAUGAUUUUCAAUCCACUCUACUGUACUUUACUUAUGCUCUGACGUUACGUGUGAAAUGAAUUCAUUUCCGCUCACGGCGCACUCUGGUAUUUAGGCACUCUUAGGUUCCAAUUUAUUCAUAUUUUUUCACAUCUUUACACUUUAUGGCUUCGUCACCUUCCAGGUGUCGGCUAGCACAGCUCGAUUAGGAUGCCUUGAGGUGUGUCAGUUUGGUAUCAGAGCAUAAGUUUUGCAGUAUUGUGUUUAUCACAGCGUGAUGUGAGUAUUCUUGGUUCUCGAGUCUAUUGUUUGAAUCUUGCCGCCUCGUCAAAUACGGAAAAUAUGUUAGUUGUUCCUAAGUUUGGGCAGAUUUGACGACUCGUCGAUCUUUAGAAGAUCAUUUUGGCGAGUGUCUCUAGAUUAUAAGCAAAGAACUUUUUUGCCAAUGAAAGGUAUAGAUUUGAGGUAAGUUGAUGGCCUAAGUUAAUGUAUUGUUAACCGUGUAUCACCAAAGAUUUUACCAAAUAAUUAUACCAUUAUUCUUCCAUCGUUAGUAUUGAUCCUUUUGAGAUUGGGAAAUCUCAGCUAGUCUUGAUUUCUUGGUAGCAUUUCACGGAAGAUCAUCUUAGGGAUAAUUACUUUUAGUCCCUAUUAACACUAAUAUUUUCAAACGUGCUUGUGUUCAUGUUGGAUCUUCAAGAGGAAGGUCGACUCUCAAUAAAGUUCUUUUUGAAAAUAAAUCUUUAGCAAAGUCUUUUUCAGCCGUGGAAUUUUUCGACCAACGCUCAAUUCCAGAUGGUGCUUUUAUUGUUAUACUUAUUAAAUGGGUGAGAAUAGGCUUGCGAGUGUAAGUUGUCAUAUCCUAGGAGUAGUAGAAAUCCGAAAAGCAGUUAUCAAGUCCUCCUAGGAUCAAUGAACUACUUCGUUGAGCCGAAUAAACUAGGAUCGUGGAAUCUUAGGAACAAGCUUUGUAUUAGAAUAGUUAACUCAAGGUUGUUUUUACCUUAUCACUUACCUAGGUAAAUAAAACCUCUUUGACUAGCCACAUCUUGAUCACUUUAGUUCGUGUCGUAGAGUUGGUUAGUAAUACAGUGCAUUUCGCGGACGUAUACUUUUAGCGUCAUAUUCCAAAAUCUUAGAUGGGAUAUCACCAAAUUAUGAAGUGAGGUACAUCAUCAACUCACCUCCUAGUGUUACACUAAUUUUCCUUACUUCAUAUCAAACGUUUUUGACGUCGUUGAGAAACUUAGUUACAAAGUUUACCAAUUAGGAAUUUACCCAAACUGGAACCAAACACUUUAGCGUAGGAACCUCAAACCUUUCGGCUACAGUGUUUUCCUCACUUAUGACCGAGGAAAGUUAAAUUAGAGUGGGUUAUUAGAAAUGAUUAAAGUACCUGACAACUGAAGUGUUGUCUUAUCUUACCCCUAUUUUACACCUUUUGUUGACUCUGAUCAUUUCGAAAUCCAGUGUGACGUGUUCGUUGGAUGUUUCGACUGGGCAGAGGUAACAUGACGAGUAUUGCUUUUAUUUUCCAACGGUUAGAACCGUUCGAAACGAACCAUCUUAUUCAUGACCUAAAGUCAACAGUCAUCAUCUUAUUUCGGAAGCUAGAUGACACCUAUAUAUGGAGAUUUUGGUGAUGUAUGGUGAUUGUCGAUUGAUGUGACAAGUCAAUUCGCUUUCCGUUGGUUCAAAAGGACAAUAUUUUCACUUCUUUGUACUGGAAUGUCUUCUAGUUAACCUUAGGUACGUGUCUACCCUACUACACUUUGUAUUGCCUUAAACGGAAGCACUGUCAAGAAGAACCACUAACAUUGAAAGUGUAGUUGUAACCAUUAAUUACUUAAUCACCCAGUAAACUCUCAGUUGAACGAAUUUUACCGUGGCGAUCGAAUAUCUCAAAAGCUAUUGUCGUAGUUCGAUGUUAUGUAUUCAGUCUAGUUAUCUCUUAUUCUAAAUUUGACGGACUUGCCUUGAUCCCCAAAUUCUCGAGUAUUCUUCUACCCUUCUUGACAUUAUCACUUUCUCACUAAGUUCGAGGGAACUUCAUUAUAAAAUUACUUGAUAAAGCGUUGCAAACUAUGUUAGCUCGACUACAUAACAGGUAUGUCACUAUUACAUCUUAUUGGGAUGCAUGUUUACAAGUGUUUGGGAAGCCUUCUUGAUACCAGUUCAGGCAAACAGAAAUUCAACAAGAUUAUCAUCUUGGUGUAUUUAUAUUUCAUCGUGCUACCUGUUUCACUUCCAAACCCUUGGGAAGUCUUUAUGAAGGUUAUGAAUAUUAGAUGCUGUUUAGUAUCACAUUUCUACCCCUAAACUAAUUAUUAGCUCGAAACUAGCUACUCAGACCUUAGUGGACGAAUUUCAUCUUGUUCGUUCCACCAUUAUCCUGGUUGCAACAUACCAUUGUCUCUAUUUUAGUUGCUUGUAAACACGGUUACAAUUUUGGUUUAGCGAUGGUACCAUUGGAGUCGACAUGCAAAGACUUUAUGCACAUUGCAUAUUUGAUAGACGCUUAAUUUGUUAGAGUUAUGUGUAUCUACAGUUACAUUUUUUAUUAGGAGUAUGGCAUCAUUUGAGAGAUAAUGUAAUUAUUAUAUUUGUGGCAUGGUAGUGAAAGAGAAGGAAAGUUUGAGCUUGGAAGCAUAAAAGAGGAAUUACUGCACUCCGAUCGCGAUAGAAUGACAUUCUAUUUUAUGCAACCGCUCUAGUUUGAUUUCUUCUUAUGUGUACAUUUUCUUACGAUUUUUUGGAGCAUUUUAUGUAUAACUAGUGAUUUCAAAUUUCGGGGACGAAAUUUUUUUAAGGUGGAUAGAUUGUGACAACCCGUCCCUAGUUCUAGAAUUUAUAAAUUUUAAAGGUGUGAGUGUACUUAAAUACCCUAAGAGGCGAGGGUAUUGACUUACGUUGACCAACGUAUAGUGAGACGUAUGACUUAUUCUAUUAACAUAUCGUCGUAGUACUCAUUAGUACGAACGCAUAGGCGGAAGCCGUUUGCGAGUCCGAAUUAUAACGUAUAGUUACGGACGUUUGAUUUUGGGUUAUUCAAAGAUUAGUUAUAAAUUAUUUGAAUUCCCACCUUGUGGGAUGAGGACCAAUUAAAUUAAAGUACAAGGGACCAAUCAAAUAAAAAGGAACUAAGGACCAAGCAACCGAUGAGAAAAGAGAUUAAGGAGGGAAAUGAGGGAACCAAUAUCCCCUCUUCUUUUUGGACCCGUGUACCCAUAACACCCAACCCGUUCGGCCGGGGUUAUUCCAGCCAAUUUUCACCCAUUUUUCCGGCGAUUCAUGUCAAAUUAACACUUAGGAAACACUCCAUGACCUUUCCUCUACCAAUUACAACCCAAAAUUUAUGGAGUUUGGCUUUGAUUUGAUGAAAACCGUACCCAUAGGCGUGAUGAAUCCGUGUCUUCGAUCCUCCAAAUCUGAAAUGAUUUCAUCCAAUUACUACCACCAUUAUACUCUCCUUGAGGUCUAGAACAAAGCCCAAACAUUGAUUGGAGCGUCGAAGUUACAUUGGAGUCGAAUCAAGAACACCCAAAUUCAAGGGUUUCCGACAGGUUUUGGAAAAAUUGAGGCUUUUCUCGGCCAAAUUGGCUUUGGUCAUAUGUAUGAAAGUUGUUCCACUCAUUGAGAUUGUCAUUCCUGUAAAUAUUGGUAAUUUUUGGAAAUAGUUGGAUUUUUCGACGAGUCGGGGCGGUCGACCGCCAAUCGCGGCGGCGCGUGGCCAGGGGACCGUCGAUGUUAUUCUUAGGCUAAAUUAGAUGUCUUGAGUUCAGUUUUGGUGAUUUUAUAUCGUAGGUUGAUCGUUUGGACCUAAAUUACGUUACUUGGUAAAAAUGUGAAUCGACGAUCCGAUCGUUGGAUCGUCACCAAACUUUUAUACAUUAUAGUACAUAAUGUUUAAGGACCAUAGAAACUUAUGGAUUGGGAAUCUGACGAACGGAUCUUCCCAAAUUGGAUAUGUAAGUUCAUAAAAUAAAAUGUUGACCGCCACUUGGUUUUUGACAAUUAGCGGAGAUCCAACCAUUGGAUCGUAAUGAAAUUUUAGGAUGUUAUUCUAGAAGCAUAAUGUGGAUCUUUGGAAGUAACGGAUCUGAAAUCCAUGAUGCGGAUCUUCCGGAUCAAAUCUUAGGGGUGUGUUUUAUGUAAAUUAUGUAUUUUUAUCAGUCAGAACUCUGAGAUGUGAUUUGAUAAUUGGUCAUAGGCGACAAUGGUUUGUGACAUCUCGAUAUGCGUGUUAGGGAGUCAUAGCGCGGACCUCAGGUGAGUGGAUCUCUUCCUUUCUAUCGUAUAGUAUAUAUAUAUAUAUAUAUAUAUAUAUAUAUAUAUAUAUAUAUAUAUGAUUAUGAUUGACAAUUCCAUAAACGUUUAUAAAUUGAAUUAUUGCAUAUAAUUACUGUAAAUGCUUUGAAAUACUAUCGUGAACUACGAAUGGCUUCAUCCCUGUUUAGGGUAUGUAGGCAGUCUAACGAGACGUUAGAUGCAGCCAUAGAAGAAGGGAGACUAAAUAAUUGAGGCAAUAGUCUUGUUUAGGAAAUUGAGUAAUGUGAGGGACAUUGGUGGAAAAUGUGAGAGUUAACAUUAUGACUUGGUGAUUAAUUGGUGGUCAAAAAUCAAUGUGUGAAGAAUUAAGAAUUUGAAGUAAGGAAAUGUAAGUAAUGAUAGUUAAUUAAACUAGUGUCUAGUUGGGCUUAACACUGAUAAUUAUUCCUGAAAAUAAAUAGUUUGAGAGUAGGGCGUUACAGCUUAUGCAUUUUUAUGCCAUAUUAUAUAUAUAUAUAUAUAUAUAUAUAUAUAUAUAUAUAUACAUAAUUGAAAAUACUAUAAUAUGGUUGAGUAUUAGAUUGCAUCAUGGUUUAUCUAUAUGUAUAUUACCUGCACAUAAUUAUUGUGAACGCUUGGAGUGCAAAGGUGAACACAAUACAUUCAGGUAAGUUCAGGUGAGUUUAUGGUAUUAGUUGAAAUGAUGGAGUUAUGGCAUGACCAUAUAAUAUUUUAAGCAACUCCGACAUUGUCAUACGGGUUGCCCAUGAAUCGUACAUGUUAUGUUAAGAUGGAUUGAGAGCUCAUAGACCUAUACCCUGGUGUUAGUGCUCCCGCCCGUGGCCAGGGCACAAUCAUUCACGUGAUGUUCACCUCCCGCACCUUACGCUCACCUUGGAUCCAAGGUAGGUGCACAGUCCUGUCAUACAGACCACUAUAGGUGGUUCCGACUCGUAGGUGACCCGCGAUUAUUCGCACAGUCUUCACGUGUUCAUAGCACUUAAGCGUAUUUAUUUACACUCAAUCAUGUCGUACAAACCACCUUAGGUGGUUCCGACUCGUGUGCAGGUAUACUUAUUGAGCUAUGGAUAAGUCGUACAGGUCACUAGAGGUGACUCCGACUUAUGAGCUAGCAUAUAUGAUGAAAUAUGUGAUGAGCUAGCAUAUGUGAUGAAAAAUGUGAUGAGCUGGCAUAUGUGAUGAACUAGCAUAUGUAAUGAGAUAUGGGUAAGUAGUACAGGUCACUAUAAGUGACUCUGACUUAUGAGUUAACAUCGAUUGAUGAGAUAUGGGUGCAGUCGUAUAGGUCACCAUAGAUGACUCUGACUUGCGUGCUAGUAUGGGUUAUUAAUCACACGAUUAUUGAUAUUGCUGAUGAGAUUUUGUGUUGUGGUAUAUUUAUGAUUUUUCUGGAAACUAUACAGGUGUUGUAGCGAUGAGUUAUAAUGUUCUAUAUGGUUUCUAUUAAAAUUUUAUUACCAAGACCACUCACCUUUAUUUUGUUUUCACCCUCCAGGUUUUAUUAGCUGAGCUUUCGUAUCGACGAGGAUUUGGGGCAAGUCUUGAUAUGGGAGAUUACCCUUAAUGGUAUGAUUUUCAAUCUACUCUACUGUACUUUACUUAUGCUCUAACGUCACGUGUGAAAUGGGUUCAUUUCCGCUCACAGCGCACUCUGGUAUUUAGGCACUCUGAGGUUCAAAUUUAUUCAUAUUUUUCCACAUCUUUACACUUUGUGGCUUCGUCACCUUCUAGGUGUCGGCCAACACAGCUCGAUUCGGAGUCCUUGUGGACAUUCCGGGUCGGGAUGUGUCAAUCAAAGUCUCUAGUAUUAAUGUAUUAAUGAAUUAAAUGUCAGUUACAUAAUUUUUAAAAAUAAAAAUUAGUAAUUGAUUUAGGGUUUAAAUACUCACAUAUUUAUUAAACUCCUAAUUAAUUUUCAAUUCAAAACAUUUCCAAAAUAUAAAAAAAUAAAAUUAGAAUAAGUUUGUACCCAUUAAUUUUUUUUAUAAAAAAGUUCAAUUUUUUUAUCUUAUAUGUACCCAUUCAUAUAAUUCUUCAAUUUUAAUGUACCUUUUUUUUAAAUAUAAAAUUCAUUCAAUCUUUUUUCUAAUCCACUUUUUUAACUUAUAUGGGUACAUUCUAUGAUUUGAGAAUGUAUCCAUGUCAAGUUUAAUAGAAGAAAUUUAAUAAUGUUAUUAAGCCUAAUAUAUAUAUAUAUAUAUAUAUAUAUAUAUAUAUAUAUAUAUAUUUGAAAAAUGUAUCCCAUGUUUUGGUGCAAUAAUUUUUUGGUUAGUUUUGAUGAACAUACCCAUGCAUGUGUAUAUAUAUAUACACAAUAUAUUGGAGAGUAUAAUUUAUCUUUAAUAUUUUUUAUCCCAUAAAUAAUGGGUUUUAUUUAAAAAUUAAAAAUACAUUAUUACAUUAAUGUCAAAGACUUCGAUCAAAAACUGAAAACCACAAAGGUUUUAAUUAAAAAACAUUAAUAAUUAGAGAUCACAUCCAACGUCUCCUUUAAUAUAAACUUGCUCUCGUUAAUUUGAGAAGUCCUCCAAAAAAAUUACUUUGAAGGUCAACUGAGACAAGUAUAUAUUGACUAAAAACAAUUUAAAAAGAAGGAAAAAAAAUAAGAUAAAACGAAGGGAAAUUUGGUCUAAUAAUAGCCUUGGCAAAAAAAUCACCAAUAAAAAAUAGCCCUGCUUAAAAAAUGUAUUCAAUUAUAGCUCUUUUUGACGAAAUUUUCUUAACUUAGGAUUUAUCCAUAUCGACAAAAUAUAAAAAUGCAUCGACGAAAUAUCAAUAACAGAUAAAAUAUCAACAUUCGGACAAUUUAGUACAUAAUGAAUUUCAGGAGUAGGGCUAAUUUUUAUUGCUGGCUUUGCAGUUGGGUCAUUGAAGCGACAUCAUGACCUUAUUAACUGAGUUUGUCUUGAGUAAAAACCAUAACACUAAACCAUUGAAUAAUCUUCAAUUUAUUACAUGACAAAUUAACUAUAGUCUUAAAGAAGGGGUGUGAUAUUCACACAUCCCAUUUUACUUCUCACACACCUUUUUAAUUUUCGAUCGUCGGAUCGGAUGAAUUGAAGAAGAUCAACAGAUAAAAAUUAUUAAGGGGUGUGUGAGAAGUAAAAUGGGGUGUGUGGAUAACACACCCCUUAAAGAAACGUGUCAUUUUGAUAUUAAAGAAAUCCAAUAUACGGUUGAAAUGUUGAAUUAUGAUCAACGACCUUGCAGACUGAUCUUUCUUCCAGCAUUCGAAGGCCAACGUACCUGCCCGAAGAACAGAAUUUGGAGUGGGAAAACAACAACAAUAUAUUCUUAUAUGAAAAAAAAAAGGAAAACAAAAUAACCAAAUAAUUUAUAUUUCGGAGGAUUAUUUAGUUAAAAAUGAUUAAGUAGUUGUAUUAAGUAAAGGUAAUUUCUUAUGGAUUUAUUUGAAUGUAUGUAGCAUGCAUACCUGCCUAACAUCAUAAGAGUAGCCUGAGGAUUGGUCCCUGGUGAUAAACUUUUGAAUACAGAUCCAUCAACAACACGUAAUGCCUUGAUCCCCAUGACCCGCAAAUCUCCAUCAACUACCCUUCCGACCAGGCAUCCACCAUGGUAAUGCCAAAAUGUGGCUACUGUAUUUCGACAAAAGGUUUCAAAUGAUGCAACAUCUGACUGGUUCAUUGGUAAAGACGGUCCAAAAAAGUUAAAACCUUCUUCACCUGGUAAAUCUUGAGUCUUAAACGGUUUCAAUGAGUUUGUUUUUAAUAAAUCACCAAUUUUCCUCACGGCACUAACACAACGAGAAAGGUCUGGCUUCUGUGCAAAGUAGUUGAAUUUGACAUUUGGGCCGACUUUGACAUCAGAGGAAGAUUGCAAUUUAAGAGAACCAUAGGACAAGGGUGCUGGAUGUUUUACAACAAUGUGCCCGAAAGUUGAAUUUAUCGUCAUGGGAAUGGUUGGAUUAGGGAAAAGACUAAAGGCCGGAGUAGAAAAUGGCAAGCCGGAGAAAGUCUCUAUAUAGUAAUCACUUGUGAUACCAGCAAUCUGUGCAGUAGAAGGUUCUAGUUGAAAUGGGGGCAAAAUGGUAAUGUAAUUACGAGGAUUGUCACGCAUAAACUGCCCAACGUAAGGUUGUGGGUGAACAACUGGGAUUUUAAGAGAUGAAAAGUAGGACUUCGAGCCAACACCACUAAGUAGCAGAAGUUGAGGACUCCCAAUUGCCCCUGCACUCAAUAUAACUUCACCCUUACCACGUAUCAAUGCCCGAUGAGACCUCCCGUUAAGAUCACUGUAUAUGAUUCCUUUAGCUGACAAACCUGCAUUAAAUCGAUAUUAGAAUUGAACUAAUAUUUAAUUUGCAAGUAAUUAAAUAUAUAGAUUAGAUUCAAAUUCAAAUUCAAAUUCUUUAAAUGUAUUAAAGAGUUUUUCUUUGUAACGCCAUGAUAGAUUUGGUUUUUGUUUUUCGAAACAUAUUAAUGUACUUACACAUAUGUAUAUGCAGUAAUAUGUACGCAACAUACAAGGUCAAAAUCAAAGUCCAAUCAAAAUCCAAUCUAAAAUUGAUUUAAUGAAAAAUAUGAAAAACCUUAACUCAUCUUAUCCAAGUAUGGAAAUCUAAAUGGCCUUUAAUUGUAUAUAUCAAAUGUUAGCAUACCUGAUGCUUUGGAAGAGAAAAGGAUCCUCUCAACUGCGGCAUGAAUUGCAACUCUCAG
This 90867-nucleotide long non-coding RNA is filed under the name Malus domestica (apple). Lineage: Eukaryota; Viridiplantae; Streptophyta; Magnoliopsida; Rosales; Rosaceae. The record is from RNAcentral.